ACAUGUUGUUCGUGAACUGCAAGAUAUAGUAUUAAAUUUCUCAAGCUCAGCUGCAUGUCUCUUUUGUUGUCCCCUGUAAAAUCCCUGUCUCUUACAUGAUGGAGCAAGGGUCAUGGUGCUGGGCGUAUCCAUAUGACGGCAACUCUUGAUACACAUAUAGAGGUUGAUUAUAUGGCCACACAUACGCCGCUGGCUUUACCUCGUCUUUAUUCUCAGCUUUCUUCUCAUCCUUCUUUUCACCACCCACGGCACUCACGCUUACCAGCUCUGUAUGCCCCACACUCUUUCUUAGCUUACUUGUUAGCUUAACUGGAUCAAACCCAUCUCCUGUUACCUCUAUUUGGCUCUUGUCAUCGCCUUUCAAUGAAGCAGACUCCACUCCUUGACACACACCAAAAAAAAAAAAAAAUCAGCAAUCAGCAUAAAAAUUUUCCCAAAAUGUUAUCAUCAGAAUGAAUGAAAUCAAAGUGGGUUUCAGCUGGUUUUUACUACCUGAGAGACCAACUACAAUUUGCAAGGCCUUGGAGCGGGACUUCUCUCCAUUCAUGGUUACCUUGACUACAAUCUUUUGCUGCAAAAAGGAAAAUUUAAAUUCAACAUAAAAUUCAUCAAUCAAAGAAACUUUUAAUUUCAUGAUUAAUUUUCAUACCGUCAUGGUGUCGUUUAUCUGUUAAGAGAGUAGGAAAACGAUGGCAAUGGCUAGGGAAAGAUUUUUGGAGGAAGAAGCUAGAUAGGUACUAACUGCUUACUUGUUUUGUUUUGGCGGAGGCAGAAACGUUUUGUUGGUAUUUAUAGACCUUUGGGGAUUGAGAAUUUGCUAGGAACUUAGCUGUAUGAUAUCUUUGAAACUUCUAGGAACCGUUGAUCUUCAUUAUAAGCUGACCCCACCCAGCUUACUAAGUCAGCUCUUUCACUUUUGCUCCGUACUUCGUCGAACUUUACCAUUUAGAGUCAGUUCAAAUAAAUAUAUAUAUAUUUUUUUACAAAGUCGGUUUUGAAUCUUCUUCUUCUAAUAAAAUACAUAAAAAUUAAAGCAACUCGUACAUAUAACUCUCAUCGAAAUUUUAAAUUCCAAUCUUGUAAUCACCCUUGAUGAAGAAAGAAGCAUACUCAAAAAUUAAAGUUUAAUUUAAUUGAUUUUUAAAAUUAUUUAUAAAAAUUAAAUUGCAUCAUUUAUAAAUUUUUUAUUAUUUUCAAAUUAUAACUUAUUUUAUUAAAAAAAUAAAAAAUAAAGACAUGUUUGUGAGAUCAUGAAUCUUGAUAAAGACACAGGUUUGCUGAUACAAUUUAUUUAUUUUUUUAAACUUCAACAAUACUUUCACAUAGAGAUCUUCACCAUUAAAUCCUAAAUAUAAUUCAAAGAUUUUACGAAAUUAAAAAAAGAUAAACUUUCAUUGUUUAAAUCUCUUGCAGGAUUUGUUCAAUUAGCAAUGUGAUUGACUUACCAUAUACUUAGUUUUAUAGAGAAUAAGGAAAGAGAGGAUGUUUACGUAGCAUCUCAUUCUUCCUUCAUUUUUUUUUUAUUUAACUUUUAUAUUUAGUUUUUAUAUUUUAUUUUUAUUCGAUGAUCAAUAAAAUUAAAAAAUGAUAAAACAAUCCAUAUUUGAUUAGUUUUGAUUUGCAAGAAUCAAAUAUAGAUGUAUUUUCUUAAAAAAUCAAAACAGAUUUUUUUUUUUUUUUAAAUGAGAUAUCAGGUGAAAGAUGAAUUUAAAGUGUUUCAAUUUGUAUGGAGUAUCCAUGGGUCACCUCUCUCUCUCUCUUUCUUUUUCUUUUUUUACUUUUUAAAUUUUUUAUUUUUUGGGUUUUUUAUUUUUUAUUAAAUAAAAAUUUAUAACAAAAAAUCAAUUAAGAUAACUAUAAUUAGUUGAAGGUUUGAAGGCAAAUUAAGAUCAUAAACUUUUAUUAAAUGAAAAUUAAAAUAAAAAAUUUGAAAAAAGAAUAUAUUAGUAGAAUUUCAUGAUUUGACAAAUAAUAUUAAAAAUAAUUGAAAAUAAAACCACAAUUAAAAAUAUUACCAUAAUCUUUCGUAGAGAACAUUAUUUAAAUAAAAUAAAUUUAACAAACUCUAACAAUCCACAAGUUUUUAUUUAGAUUUAAUUUAAUCUUCAUUUAAUCAUUUUGAUUAAAACUUUCACAAUUAAUGGAGCUAUGUAACCUAUGACCUAAAGGUUAUAAAUCCUUUUAACAAGGUUUCAUUGGCUUAAAUUUUAGUUAUAUUCCUUUCGGUUUGGUACCAAUUAAUAAAUAGAUAUAACGAAAUAAAUAAAAAAAUUAUCAAUAAACUUAAUUUAAUUAAAUUCUAUAAUUACUUUUAAAUAAUAAUAUUUAAUAAUUUUAAAUUUUAAAUUUCAAUACCCACAGCCUACUCAUUAGAAUUUUCGGUUGGUACCAAUUAAUAAAUAGAUAGAACGAAAUAAAUAAAAAAAUUAUCAAUAAACUUAAUUUAAUUAAAUUAUAUAAUUACUUUUAAAUGAUAAUACUUAAUAAUUUUAAAUUUUAAAAUUCAAUACCCACAGCCUACUCAUUGGAAUUUUCUUCAUGCCCCGUAAAGUAAGAACUCGGCGACUAGCCGUAAGGUGAUCGAGGAAUUCAAAGGCUUUGCCAACUGGCGUAAAAGUCUCCACCAAUAAAAUAAAUUAGCUAGAGCCCUUCCAAGUCUACCCCAGAUUUGUCGGAUACAGGCGUUAGGUUAGGCUACGCGGUUUAGCCUCGCUCUUUUGCUUGACUCUCUCAGCCAACGGAUACGCCAACCCUUUUGCUUUCUCCCCUGUUCAUGGCCUGGUCCAAAGAAGUGUCGCUUCUUUCUAGUAUCACAGUUAUAUCCAAAUAAAGCUCCAUUUUUUUUUUUUUUUUACCACACUUUUAGAAAGACCUUUUUUUUUUUUUUUUUGGCUUUUGGGGCCAAAUAAAUGGAAAGUGGAAUCUCGGGUAUAUACAUGACUCAUUUCUUGUUUAGAUUGUAUCUUGAAAAAGGAAGAUUUUCUGUAUACUUUAAAGAUAUAAAGUUAAAUUGUUUAGAUCAAAUAAUUUAAAUCAAAAAUUAAAUUUAAUAAUUUAAAAUAUGAUACAAUAAUACGAUAUAAAUAUAACAUAAAAAUAAGAUAUAAAAGUAAUGUAUUUAAAAUUAUAGUGAUAUUUAUAUAUGUAUUUAAUAAAAUAAAAAAAUUAUAUUUUAUAUUUUCAUAUCAACAUGAAUUAUUAUACUUAAUUUUUAUAUAAAAUAUAAUAUAAAUAUAUGAAUUUUAAUAUUUUAUAUUAUACGAAUACAUAAAUCAUUAAAUUUAUUAAAAAAAUAAUUAAUGAAGGAACAAAGAAAAUAAUUUUCUUUGUUUUGUUCAUCAUCAUGGACUCGUAUAAUAGGCCAUUGGAUGAAAAACAUGUUUUGAAUGAAUAAGAUUAAAUUACUACUUAUUAAACUGAAUAAAAAAAGGAAUUGUAUUAAAUCUUCAUUUGACAUUGCUCUUAAAGCUAUAAAAUUUCUUGCAACGUUAAAUACUAGGGCUAAACCAACAAAAUAAUGAAAGAAAGCCAAAAUAGUAAAUUAAAUUAGAAAAAGAGGCGGAGUUUUAUAUUAAAGGGACCGAGCCCCUAGAAUAGCCCUUAGUUAAAUAAGAUAAGAUUUCUGAUAAAAAUCUCAAUUAUAAGAUGAAUUUUUUUUAAUUACAAAAGUAAUUACUUGCAUUUGGAGUUACUGUAAAUUUUCUCUCUCUCUCUCUCUCUCUCUCUCUCUCUCUCUCUCUCUCUCUCUUUUUGAUACAUUAAUCACAAUUUUUACUUUUAAAUGCAACUCUUGAUCACAAUCUUAAUGCCAAGCUUAAAUCCAAUCCUAGUUUCUCAUUUUAUUUUCCGAACAUAUAGUUGUUUUCUUAAUAAUAUGAAGGCAUAAAAUUGUAUUCCCAAUAUACCAUUUCCCAAUAGGCUUAAAGUAAUUUUAAAAUUAAUUAAAAUUUAUUAAAAAGAUAAUUUUAUGGUCUAUGAAACAAUCUAUGUUCGGGAGUCAGUUACGAUGAGAAAUGAUUAGUACCCCCACGACGCCCGUUUUAAAAACGGUAUCACUUAACUACGUGUUAUCCUUUGAUUUUGAUUAAAAACAGUCUCAUUCCUGAGUGUUUGAAAAAAUAAUUUUUUUGAUUUUUUUAUUUAUUGGAAAUUGGUUUGUUUUGUUUUAUUUUUAAAAAAUUAUUAUUCAAAUUUUAUUCGAGAAAAAUAAAUUAGAAUCUUUUUAUUGAAAUAAUUCUUAAAAUAUUUCAGUACGUUGGUAACAUUACAAGAAUUUUUUCUCACGUAGAGAUUUUUUAGGCAUCGCUUCUUGGAAUACCUUAGAAUCUCAUCUUAGGAGGUCUGAAUUUACUUUUCGUAAAAAUUAUGUCAUGUAUGCAAUGCAGAAUGUUAUCAUGUUGAUGCACACAUUUUAUUCUUUUUUUUUUAUAGAAAUUUUAUUAAUUAUUUUAUUAGGAGAACUUUUGUUAUAUUGAAGAUUUUAUAUAAAUAUUUCAAUACACCGGUAAUAUUUAAAAAAAAAUCCCCUCACCUAGGGAUUUUUUAAAGCACCUUUACUCGAAAUAUUUUUAGAAUCUCGUUAUUGGAUAGAAUUCCCUUUUUGUCUCAUUUUUUAUUACUUAUUCUUAAUUUAUUAAUUAGUUUUUAUUUAUUAUUAUUUUAUAAUAAAAAAGGAAAUUUUUUAUUUUAUUGAAAAUUUUUUAUAAAAUACUCCAAUACGCUGGUAGUACUUAAAAAAAUUUUCUCACCUAGAGAUUUCGUAAGUAUCACUACUCAGAAUAUUUGAAUCUCAUUGUCGGAUAAAAAUUUCUUUUUCUUACAUUUUUUAUUAGUUCUGUAUUAUUAUUAAAUUUGUUUUAUUUUAUUUUGUUUUUAAAGUUUAUUUUUUAAAAAAAUUAACAAAAUUAUAAAAAUUUUAAUUACAAUUUUAUCAUUUAAUCUAACAAAUAUGAAUAUUUUAAUAUGCAUAAAUUUUAAUAAAAUACUAUAUAAAAAAUAAGAAAAAAUUCAAAAAAAUUUUUUUUACCUAAACCGGACCGGUCAAAGGUCCGGUCAAUGCGUAGUUCGGUCUGACAGUUUUUGUGGGCUUCGGUUUGAUCUGGGCGGUUCGGUUGGUUCAACGAUUCGUACCAGUUCGGUUCGGUCGGGGUGGUUCAAUUCUGGUUUAAUCAGAUUGAUCAGAGGCUGACGAAGAAAGUGGGUCUCGGGUCGAGUGCGCUGACCUCGAGUCGAGUCACGGGUUGACGUGCAGAUCCUUAGGGUUCAAAAUGACGUCGUUUUGGCCUUUAAGCCUCUAUAUAUAACUGAAAAUUUUUUUUUUGUUCAUUCUUUUUCUGUUUUAGAAAAAAAAAAGGGGGAGAGUUCUGGGGAGAGCUCCAGAGCUUCCUCGCCAUCCGAUCGCGGACCGCCACGUCGACGGCCGUCGAGUCGCCGGUGGUGGUUGUUGCCGGUGAUCACCGAUGAUCGUCGAUGAUAAAAAAUUAUCGAAAUUCUCCGAAAUACUCCUCUCGAUCUCCUAAGUUCAGAUCCAUUGUCCUUUUUGGGAAAAAAAGCUCCGAUCAGCAUAGAUCUGGGUUUGAAGUAUUUUGAUUUUUCUAUUUUCAUUUUUUAUUUUUGAAAACCCGCACUGACCGCUCUCUUUUUUUGUUACAGGAAAGCUCUAGGCGCUGGGGUUCCUCGUCGAACGGCGAUGAUUGUGUUAUUUUAUUUUUUUUUUUGCAGGGUUCCCUUCCUUCUUCUUGUUUCCUUUCCCCCUUUUCUUGUUCGGCCAAGAGCUCUAUUUAUAGAGCUCCAGUAGUGAAUGGCACAAGGCUAGGCAUGGGGUGCAAGCACAAGCCCCAUGCUGCCUUUAUUUAUUUUUAUUUUAUUUGAUAACGAAGGUAGUGGAUAAGGUGUGGAUGUAGGAUAAGGGGGGAUGAGUGGUAGGAUAUGGUGACAGUGAUGUCGGGAAAGGCACCACUGCCAUUCCCCAUUUUUUUGUUUUAUUUUUUUUUAUAUCUUGUAUUUUAGUAUUUUUUUAAUAUUUUAUAUUCAAUAAUAAUAAUAAUAUUUUUUUAUCGUACAAAUUUGAUGUCCACAAUCAGCGAAUAGUUUAAAAUGAAUUUCAGGCCACGUCGGGAGACUUGCAUGAAUAUAUCCAAAUGAUGUCUGAUUUUUAUUGUUGCCUUUAGCAGGCUGCCGUAAACUAACCAUCAAAUUAGUAACAAACUUUCCAAAGAUCAUUUGACAAAUACCUUUAAAUUUUACUAUUUAUAAAUUUGAAAUAGACCAAAAUUUUGGAUCAGAAGAUAGGACUCCUAAUCUCUUGAGGUCAUAAAAUAAUGUUUAGAUUAAAACGUGACGCUCUUUUUUUAAACAUAAAAUAUGGUGGGAGAUUUGCUACUUCAACUCUCAGGUCAUGAUGUAGAUUAUUUACUUAAAAUUUUCGAUUCAAAAAGUAUCCAACAUGUAAGUAGAGAAGAAGAGAAGUAAUCUCGUUAUCAGCUGAUGUUAAUUUCCAAAGUGGAGUUGUCCUUUUCUGUUUCCGAGAGCCAAUCUUUAAUUUCUUUCUUCACUUUGUUAAUUUGAGAGUGACCCUAUACAUGUGAAAAAUGCCUAUACAUGAUGUUGAUGAUGGUGAUGAUAUUUGAAGGGCGUCACCUUAAUCACUAAAUUAUUCAUUGCAUGUGUCAAAGAAAAUGUAAAUUAUUCUCUAGAGAAUAAAAAUGUUAAGUAUUUAUGAAUUAAGGUGAAAAGAACAGAUUAUAAUAUAUGAUACAAGGUCACUUUCCGCUUGCGUUGCGGCGCAUAUUAUAUAUUUUUUAUUGUAUUUAAUAAAUUAUACAUACAUUUUUUUCUCAAAGUAUAAAUUCUAUGAUAAGAUUGGAUUCCUAUGGACUGAUGUAAUACCAAUUGCAUCAAUAAUUGAUUCUCUGUUGAGUCCAGCCAGAAACUUCACCAUCUUACGACUCACUCCUACUUACCCUGGAGGCAAGCACUGGACAGUAAUCUUUCUAUCUCGCCACCAAAAAUGCAUAGCAAUUUGCCAAAAAAAAAAAAAAAAGAGGCAAACUAAUACACAACAAACCAUAAAUACAUUUCUUUAAUUAAAGAAAAAUCAUGUUGAAACUUUUUUGCAAGAAAAGGUUUCAACAAAAACAGAAGAUGUAACUAGAUUUACUGUUGAAGUUGCUGCAGGUGGAUUCUCCCUAGCUUCCUGAUUACUCUCUAAUAACAUCAUUACAUGCAACGUUUAAUCAAUAUCACCAAAAAAGAAAAAAAAUCACUAAUUAAUGGUAAUUUAGACUUACAAAAAUAAAUACAAUUCUUUAAGUUGUUACAUACCAGCCGGUUAUGUAUUUUCUGACUACUGGUUGUUCAUAAACUACUCACAAUGAUUUCAGCAUCAACAUCAUCUCACACACAACGUGAAAUGAAAUACUCCACUGACUCGUCCGAUUGAGGUGCUAGCUAGAAAUAUGCCUACCAUAAAAUACAACCCAGACUUGUCCAAUUGUCUAAAUUAUGUUCUUCGAAACCUUUUAAAGGCAUUAUAGACAUCCAAUUUGAUCCAAACUUGGAUCAAUUGGACCUGAUCUAAUGAAAUUAGUUAAGUUCAGGAUUGGGUUUAAUUAAAUAGUUAUUUAUUUAUUUAUCUAUUUAUUUAUUUGUUUUUUAGAUUUUAUCUAUUUCUGAUUAAUUUUUGUUUGAUAUCAGGAGAUAGUGAUAAAAAUCAAAAUAAUUAAAAAUAAUAAAAAAAAGAAUGAAUCCUGUCAUGAAUAAGGCUAGUAGAGAGUCAUAGGUGGAUUUAACUUGCAUAGAAUAAGUUUAAUAAUUAAUCUGAUAAUCCAGAAACUUAAUCAAAGAAGGAAUCCUGAUUAAUUAGAAAUUUUGUGAUUGAUCCCUAUAAUACCUAUUGAUCAAAAGCAAAGAGACACACAAAAAACAAACAAAGAGAAAACAAAAGCAAAAAAAAGUGUUUAGAAGAGCAAAGGCAGUUCUAGAAUUUUUAAGAUUUUUUUUGAAUUUUUAGCUUUUUUUUUUUGAAAAUUUUUUGGGAAUUUUUCAUAUUCAAGUCAAUUUUUCAAUGCUGUUUAAAUUUUCUGGCGAGAUUCCAGUGAACUCCUUAGUUUUUGACCAGUUCUCCAGUUUCUAGCAUCAUAUCUCUAGAAAUCGUUGAAUUUUUUGGUGAACUUCUGACAAAAAACUAGAUUUCGUUAAAUUUUUUCAAAAUUCGGUGAAAUUCAAUCGGUGUCCUUAGGAAAAUCUAGAGAGAGAGGGACAGAAAAUGAGAGAAGAGAAAGAGGGAAGAGGGGAAAUCUGAUGAAAAAGGUCAAAAUUAGCCUUUUAUACUAUCGUAAAACGAUGUCAUUUUGGGCGCUAAGAGACCUCCAAGGAUCCGCGCAUUUCUAUUUGGUCCAACCCGACCUGAGCACAACCUACUUUUGGUCGACCCACGUUCCAGCCAAACCUUCAGUCGAGCCAAACCGCCUGAGCCACGCCUUCUAACCGUUUAUGUGCCUCAAGCUAAGUUAUUUCAGUUGCAAGCCGAGCCAUUUUUUUGGUAUUUUCUUUAUUAUUUUUUCUUUUUCUAUUUAUUUUUAUGUGUUUGUUUUGUUUUUUAAUAUUUUUGCAUGAUUUAAUUUAAUAAAAAAAUAAAAAAAAUAAAAAAAUAAAUUUUAGGAAUAAAUAUUAAUUAUCUAAUGAUGAAUUUUAUAGAAAUUUUAAAUGUUAAAUUUUUAUAAAAUUUUUAGGUGAAAAUUUUUGUCUAAAUUUAUCCAAAAUGGUGGAAUAAUUUAAAUAAAGAUUCAAUAACAAUAAUUAAUAUUUAUUUUUAAUCCAAAAAAAAUAAAAAAAAUAAAAAUUUGGGUUGAAAAUAUUUGAUAAUUAUCCAAGGAGAUUCUUAAAAAUUUCAAAUGGUAAAUUUUUAAGAAAUCUCUAGGUGAGAAAUUUUCUUUAAAUUUGUCCCAAAUGGUGAAAGAAUUUAAGUGAAAUUUCAAUAAAAAUAAUUGUCAUAUUAUUUUCUUUCCAAAAAAAAUAAUAAAUAAAAAAAUUUCUAAAUAAGCUCAAAUGGUGAAAAAUUUAAAAAUUUUAAAAAAAGAGAAUAUUUCUAAUUUGGUCUAAAUGGUGAAAUAAUUAGAUAUAUUUUCAAUUGAAAUAAAAAAAAUUAGACAUUUUUCUGACGACAGAGCCUUUUCAAGAAAAUAAAUGGGAUUCUUGAAUACUCCUGAGGUGAGAAUAUUUUUAAGAGUUCUACCAAAUUGAUGGAGACUUUUAAGAAUUAUUUCUACUAUUUUGAUAUAAAAAUUAAAACAAGUAGAAUCAAGACCUUAGGAUAAAUUUAAAAUAAUAUAGUACCAUCUUUCGGAUGGGCAUGUGGGGGUGCUAUAACUUUUUCCAUAUGUAACCGAACUUCCAAACCUAGUUCUGGUUAGCAUACCCAAACCUAUUCUUUUAGAGACCCUUAGUCAAGCUUAUGAGCUCCUUAAAAUGAUAGAUUAUUUAGGUGGCCAAUCACACAUAGAUAAAAAAGAUUAGUGGCGACUCCAUUUGUUAAAUCUAGCUAUAGAUUUUCGGAUCUAUAUGUUAUGACAAUUUGACAACUUCACUGGGAAACUGCCAUAGAGAGUCAGGCCAUAACUUUUAAAUUUAUCCUAUCCUUUGAUCUAAUGGUUUUAAAUUGUAAUUAUUUGUUUACUAACUUUUUUUUUACUUGUAUUUUAUUUUUAGGGCAUGAAACCUAUAUGUUCAUUCACAUACACUAUCAUUUGCAUUUGCAUUACAUGAGCUCUAUACCCGAGCUCUGUCCCUAUUAGGAGGGAGUAAAGUACCUACGCUCUCAUGAGAUGAUAAUCUCCGUAAUGGCUAGUGAAAUACUCCCACUCAAAUUGAAUCUUUUUUGUUAGUAGCCUGUGAUGGGUGAGGAUUGGACUGCCUUACUAGUUUGUGAUGGACGAUGAUGUAAGAAACAAUUUGAGAACCUUUAGUGGUCAAAAUCACCUAACCUUGCAUAUAGUCACAUCUAAGAAGCCAGCCUUAGGAUAGAGCCUUUCCUACCUAAUUGAUAGAUAUAACCUGAAAUUAGGACACAAGAAUGAAUAUUUUGUAUAUUGCUUAUCUAACUAUAUUGUUUGUCUGACUUUGUGCAUCUACAUCAUUUUAUUCUAUGCAUCAUUUUUCUGCUCAUGUUUUAACGUUAUCAUUUACAUUAUUCUCAUAUAGGAAAUAUAUGUCACAUAUAAGUUAUUGUUAAAUCAAAUCUCACAUUUACAUCUAUAGAAAGCCAAAUGCAAUCAAAGUCUGUAUCAAUUCGCCAUGAAUCUGUUCAUCAAUUGAAAAUUAAGUCAGAGGAAGGUUAAAGAAAAUAGGGUGAUUGCUUGCCUGAGGGUUUUAUUUCAUCAUUUCCCAAGAGAAUUCAUCUCGACCUCCAAUAGAAUGACUUGACUGACUUAAACAAUAUCUAGAGAUGCAUGAAUAGAGCAAGGCACGAGGUAUUUGAGAACAAAUAUAGGGACAUAGCAUCAUUGCUCUAAGUGGAUGUGGACAAUAAUCUAAUUAGAGCCAUUAUUCAAUUUUGGGAUCCUUCUUAUAGGUGUUUCAUCUUUAAUAAAGCAAACAUGGUGCCCAUAAUUAAAAAAUAUAUAGUCUUACUUCGCCUUGAUUUGUCAAACCCGGAUAAGAUCUACUGGUCAAAUAAGGUAAGUUAUCGUAAAAAAUUGGUGCAAAUGCUUGGACUUAGCCUGCCCCAAGUUGAUGCAUAUGUCAAGAUAAAAGGUUAAGGUAAGGCUAUCCCAUAGAGUUUUCUGCAAGAUUUUAUCCAAAGGCAUAUGGAUGAUGAUCAGGGGUUAGUGGCCAUGACUAUAGCUCUAUAUAGACUGAUGGUCUUCCCAAAAGUCAUCGAGUAUAUUGAUGUCAUAAUGAUAAACUUUGUUAAUCAGCUAGCAUACUAAGUCAAUGCAGCUCCAAUCAUUUUAGCGAAAACCAUUCGCUCCUUGAAAUUUUGCCAUAAAAAUGGUAAAGGUCAAUUUAAUGGAUGCUCACAAUUGCUCUAUGUAUGGAUAAAAGGUCAUAUUAAGUGUGAAGAAAGCCAGUUUCAUAAACGGUGCCUAUAUUCUAGCAUUUCAAUCAAAGAGUUUUGUAACAGCACAUGGCCUAAAGCAAAGUCAAAAGAAUAAUGGGUUUCAUACUUUCGGACCCUUGAUGGUCAAGGGAUAGUCUGGAGAGCACCUUAGAUGCGUUAUGACACAAAAUUGUAUAGUUAUGGAAAUCAACUUUGAGUGUUUCUAUUAGGCCUGUGGGGUGCUAUUACUUAAGCCCUAACUUUGGUGAGAAAAUAAUUCGGAUGUGAAAAAUUUAUUCCAGAAACCCAUGGACUUAGCUAAUGAGAAUUCUCUUUCACAGAAAAAAGGGCGUAUGGAAUGAUUGAAAAGAUAAAAAAAAACAUGAAAGCAAACUAUCCGAGUUGACCAAGGGAGGUUCACCUACAACAUCACCCCAUAAUAUAUUGUGUGGCAUGCAAGGAGGGGUAAAGAUAUUGUACUUCCUCGAGAGUAGUUAGACAACCAGUUUUUAAAGUCGAUCCCUCAAGACCCCUGGUUCAAAGUGAAAACAGAUAAAAGGAAACUCCAAACCGAGAAAGAUGAGUUGGAAUAAAAAAAUGAACAAUUAAAGCUGAAAUAUAAUAAAGCUCAAAGCUUCGAAAAUAGGAAAUCCAAAACCUCAGAGCAAAAAGAUUAAUGGAAAGCCUUAUUCAAUGAUCUGGACAUGACACAUUCAUCAGUCACGUUCGAGCUUGCUCGACUAUUAAAAAAAAUGAAUUACUAAAAGUGAGGGUGGAAGAAGGAUAAAAAGCCACUACUAGGGCACAUAGACAUAGUCAAUGAUACAAAAGAUAGUGGAUCAAUGCACAGCAUAAGUAGAAGCUUUGUCUAAUAAAUACAGAAAACAAGCUAAACGGGGUGAGCUAUGAAAGGACAUGUAUACAGAAAAACAAAUGCAUCUAAGGCACUUGUUCGAUCAGUUAUGCGUUGUUACAGUCAAGGCAUCAAAAAUAGAAGAAAAAAUGAAAAAUUUAAAGGUUGUGGUGCAACCAGUGGGAGCUCAUGGCCAAUAAUUGCUUGGUUUCCUAAAUGAGACACAAAAUCAUUACCAGCAAGCUAAAAAAUUUAUAAAGGCAUUAGAAAUAAUGAUGCAUAGGACUUUAAGAUACUAUUAUGGCUUUAUUAGGAUGUACUUUUAAAAUUUUAUUUGAAAUUAAGAUUUUUUAUCAAUAAUGAUGAUGUGGCAAAUAUUAGUAUAUCCCAUUCAUGCAUUUGCAUAUUAAACUUACAUGUAUAAUUUCUAAUAAUCAUAUAAUUAUGGUACUCAAGGUUCAAGGAUAGCUCUAUCCAGCAGAAACCCCAUUCAUCGAUAUAACACAAAAGCUAGAGCUAGACAAAUGGAAUAAGAAAACUCUCAUCGACUUGAAAAGAUAGAAAAGGCAUAGGAAAAGCUUGAAAAUGAGUUGAGUAAGAUUAUGGAUACUCUUAACAAGUUAAACAAAGGAAAAGGGAUAGAAGAUAACACAAACAAACAGGGCCUUUCAUCAUAAGAAAUGGUCGACCCUCUAUAUCCUCUCGGGUUUAGUCCACAACAAGCCCAGUCCACACAGGAUAUAUCGCCAUAGUAGUUUACAUAUCUUGUAUACCCUGGAAUGUCAUCAGUUUCGAACCCAUGGUAUUACCAUAGCUAUGUGAAUCCUAUCUUUACUGAAAAGAUAAUAGAACCGAUCCAAGUUCUCGAUCUAGAUGACUUGAAAGAAAAAAAGAAAAAAAAGACAAAAAUGGUUUAAUCUCAGGAAGACUCGAAGAUUAGUAUGUUCAAACAAAAGUUAUGGGUUGUGAAAGGAAUUGAUUUUUAUGGUUCUAUCGAUGUUGCUGGGCUUUGCUUAGUCUCGAAUGUGAUUAUUCUUCUAAAGUUCAAAGUACCAAAAUUUAAGAAAAAUGAUGUUAUGAAGUGCCUAAAUACUCAUAUUACCAUGUAAUAUCAGAAGUUGGCAGCCCAUACCCAUAAUGAAAAACUACUAAUGCAUGUUUUUUAAGAUAACCUCACUGGCUCCACUACUAGGUGGUAUGUCUAAUUGGACAAAAUUCGUAUCUGUACUUAGAACGAUAUGGCUCAUGACUUUAUUAGUCAAUACCGACAUAUCAUAGACUUAGCUCCUGAUCGUUUGUCUUUGUAAAAUAUGAAAAAAAAAUUAAAUGAAUCAUUCAAAAAAUAUGUCCAGAGGUGGAGGGAUGUAGCCUCUCAAGUGUAACUCUUCUAAUUGAAAAGAAAACUACAAUAUUGUUUGUUAGCACCCUAAAAUCUCCCUAUUAUGAAAAGAUGAUAGGGAAUGCAACAAAAAAUUUUGCCAACAUGGUAAUCUUGGAUGAAAUCAUAGAGAAUGUCAUUAAGAAUGGUAAGUUAGAAGGAGAGAAAGCAUCAACUAAGAGAACCCUAAAAAAUAAAGAGACUGAAGCUCAAGCUAUAUGUGGGGCACAUGUCAGUGGACAUAUGAUGGUGAGACAGGUCAUGAGAACAGAAUACUACUGGUUGACAAUGGAGAGUAAUUGCAUUGACUAUGCUUGUAAAUACCAUAAAUGUCAGAUAUAUGCUGAUAAGAUUCAUGCUCUGCCAUCUGUUUUACAUGUUAUGGCAUCACUUUGGCCAUUCUCAAUGUGGGGCAUGGAUGUCAUUGAUCUUAUCACCCCAAAGGUUUCUAAUGGGCAUAGAUUUAUUUUUAUGAUGAUAGAUUACUUCACAAAAUGGGUAGAGAUAGCAUCAUAUGCAAAUGUAACAUGAUUUAUGGUUUGCAAGUUUAUAAAAAGAGAGAUUAUCUGUAGAUAUAAACUUCUGAAAAGAAUUAUUUCAGAUAAUACCAAGAAUCUAAAUAGUAAGAUGAUGCAAGAAAUAUAUGCUCAAUAUAAGAUCAAGCAUCAUAACUCGGCACCAUACCGUUCAAAAAUGAAUGGGGCAGUUGAGAUAGUCAAUAAGAACAUAAAAAAUUUUUUUAAGAAGAUGACUGAGACUUAUAAAGAUUGGUAUAAGAAGUUACCAUUUACACUGCAUGCAUAUCGAAUAUCAGUGCGUACCUCUACUGGGGCAAUCUCAUUUUCUUUGAUUUAUGAGAUGGAAACUAUACUACUAGUGGAAGUGAAGAUCUCAUCCUUAAGGGUUAUAAAAGAAAUUGAAUUGGAAGAAGCUGAAUGGAUUCAAAAACACUAUGAACAAUUAAAUUUCAUAAAAAAAAGAAAAUUGGCUGCAUUGUGCCAUGGUCAGCUAUACCAAAGAAGAAUGAUGAGGGCUCAUGAUAAAAAGAUUCAACCCUGUUACUUUCGAGAAGAAGAGUUGGUCUUGAAGAGAAUCCUCCCAACCUAGAAUGAUAAUAGAAGAAAAUAGACUCCGAAUUGAGAAUAAUCGUAGGUGGUGAAACAAGUUUUCUCGGGUGGAGCACUGAUACUGACUGAGAUGGAUGAAAAUAAUUUAUCACAUCCUAUAAAUUCUGAUGCUGUGAAAAAAUACUAUGCUUGAAAAAAAAAAUAAAAAAUGAAAUGAAAAAAAUGAAAAAGAAAAAAAUGAAAAGAAAAAAGAAACAAGAAAAGAAAAAGUGAAUGAAAAAGGAGGACUCAAGGCGAAAACCCUAAAAGGACGGUUUGAGUCAUAGGGGGUUUAUUAAAGUUAAAAACCUAAAAAGACAACUUAGAUAAGGAGAAUACAGCAUCAAGUUUGAAAAUCCGUUGGCAUGAAGACUAGCAAAUUCGGAGGAGCUCUAAGUUGUUGAAUGCAUUGGAUGGUUGAGUUUUCAUAAAAACCUUGAGAUAUGUUAUCAGGAUUGUCCAAUUGUUCAUUUUUGGGCAUUAUCUCCCCAUACUUAUCCUUGUAAUCCUUUCUUGGCCAAAGUUUGCCAACAUUUUACUAAUGAAAGACAUUCUAUUUCACUCUUUGUGUGUCUCUUCUGUUGACUGUUUCUCAACCAUUCUUAUUUUUUUCUUCUUAAUACCCUACAAUGGAAGAAAUGUGCAAAUGCAUUCUUACUUUUUGAGUUUGGAAUAAUGAUUAAUAAAUGAACAAUGGCAUGAAAGAUUUUUUCAUUACAUUGGAAAGGUUAAGAAUGAUAAAAAAAAAUUUGAGAUGUUUAGUUUCCAAUAAGGACAUUGAAUUUGUAAAGAGAUUGCCUGCAGAAGGGAUACUAGAAUUAAAUGAAAGAGAGGAUUAAAAGUUACGUUGACUUAGUCUUUGAAGAACAAAGGGUUUGAUGCCUAAGAAAAGAGCUUGAGAAACUUGAGUACCACAAUUGAAUAGGAAUUAAUUAGCCAACAUUUGCAUAGCAUGCAUUGAAUCUCGCAUGCAUUGCAUAGCAUAUACUACAUUCAAGAAAAUAUAGUGCAUAAAUUCAAGAAGCAAGGGUAUUCCAACAUCCCACAUAGAGAAGACAGAUGUGAAGACAUUUUCAAAUUUGAGAAAAAGCUUUUCAGGCAAGUUUAUAAUCCUUGAAAUAGGAUGUCUCUCGGUAUCAAGGUUGAUUUGUAAAACCUUUGGGAAUAAUCUCCUGAAAUUCUUUCAAACAUGAUUUUCAACUCCUUUGGACAUGAUUGUCAAUGAGCAAUUUAUUUUUCAAAUUUGUGAUGCCUCUGUUUAGAGAAGCAACCUAUUUUUCAAAGUUGUGAUGCCUCUAAUUAGAGGAGCAAUUUACUUUUCAAAAGUCGUUGAGCCUCUGUUUAGAGGAGCAAUUUAUUUUUCAAAAGUUGUUGAGCCUUUGAUUAGAGGAGCCUUUUAUUUUUAAAAGUUAUUAAGCCUUUGUUUAGAGGAGCUUUACUAUCUUUUCAAAAGUCGUUGAGCCUCUAUUUAGAGGAGCUUUAUUUAUUUUUUCAAAGUCAUUAAGCCUCUGCUUAGAGGAGCCUUCGUUUAUUCUUUCAAAGUUGUUGACUAUCUGUCAUUGAGCCUCUACUUAGAAGAGCUUUGAUCAAAAUUUAAAAAAAAAGUAAAAAAAAAAAAGUGUCAAGUUGAGUCUUGAAUGGGUGUAUGUCUUUGCACAAUUUCUGUUUCACAGAAAAUGUAUAAAGAGGGGCAGCUGUAGACACUCAAUUGGUCCAGGCCUGGAUCAAUUGGGCCUAGUCCAAAUGGGUAGCGCAUUUCAUUCUAUUUUAUUUUAUUUUUUAUUUUGUAUUUUAUUUAUUUAUUAUUACUAUUUAUUAAUAUAUAUUUAUUAUUUAUCUGUUAAUAUAUAUACUUUAUUAUUAUUUAUCUAUUAUUAUUAUUAUCUAUUAAUAUAUUAUCUUUAUUUUAUUUAUUUUUUUCUUUCUUUCUUUUUCUGCUUACCCUAUUGGAAUUGGGAUUAAGAGCAACUGAAAUCUAGCAUGAAUUUGGGGCUGGCGGAGUUGGGAUUGGAUUCAAAGAUUGAAUCCAAAUCCCAGAGGGAAUUGGGAUUGAUCAGAAACUCUUCUGAUCAAUCCCUAUAAAUAGAUGCUGGAAUAGAACAAAAAAAUAGACACUGAUAGAGAAAAUAAAUAUUAGGAGAGAGGGAGAGCAGAAGAGAAGAAAAAAGGCAUUCAAAAAAGUCAGAAACAAUUUCAAGAACUUUUUAGAAAAUUUGGGAGAAUUUUAGGCGAUUUUUUUCUGAAAAUUUUUGGAAAAUUUUCAGAUUUCGAUUGAAUUUUUCGAUAAAGUUUGAAUUUUUUGAUGAAUUUUUUGGCACCUGUUGAAUUUUUCGGCCAGCUAUCCAGUUUUCGGUAACUAUUUCCAGAAACUGACCAAAUUUUCAAUGAACUUUCGAUAAAAAACUUAGAUUUUGAUGAUAUUUUCCAGAAUCCAGUGAGAUUUAAUCGGAGUUCUUCAUCCGGGUAGAGAAAAAAAUGAGGAAAAAAAGGGAAAAGAGAGAGAGGAAAUGAGAGAUCUGCUGAAAAACAGAGGUUAUAGCCUUUUAUACCUAUUGAAAACGACGUUGUUUUGGGGUUACUAUUUCCAGAGGAUUCGCCCGUUUUGAAAUCGAGUGACCUAACCCGAGCAUCGACCUGCGUUUGACCCGUGUGUAACCUGAGUACGAGCCAUUUUUGAAGCCCAACCAAACUGACCCGAGUCGUAUCUCCUAGCCGUUUUCUUCCUUAAGUCGAGCCGAGUCGAGUCGAGCCACUAAGUCGAGCCGUUCGAAGGUUUUUUUUUCAUUUAUAUUAUUUAUUUAUUUAUUAUUAUUAUUAUUUAUUUAUUAGGUUAGAAUUAUUUAGUAUUUCUUAUUUUAUUUUAUUUUUAUCUUUAUUUUUAUUUUCUUUAAAUAAAAUUCCAAAAAAGUAUCAAUUUUUCUUAAAAAUAAGUUUUUCUAAAAAAUAUUUUUGAGGAAAGUUGAAAGUAUCAAUUUUUCUUAAAAAUAAGUUUUCUAAAAGAUAUUUUUGAGGAAAGUUGAAAGUAUCAAUUUUUCUUGUACGAAAGCAAUAAGUUUUUUUUUUAAGAGAAAAAGAUUUAUACCUAAAGCUGAAUCAUUUUUUUCUUUUUUUUUCGUUUUACUUCUUUUCCUUUUUGUUUUCUUGAAUUUUCUUUGAUGUAAAAUAAUCCGACGAUAAAGCCUCUGUAAGUAAAACAAUAGUCUCUUUGCAUACUCUUAAGGUGAGAAAAUUUUUUUAAUUUUCUACUAAAAGUAUUAGAGUUAAUUGAAAAUAAUUUUCAGUAGUUAAUUACUUGAUAAAUUUUUAAGGCUUAUUGGAUAAUACAAAAUUAAGCUGGUAUCAUCUUUCAAUGGGCGUUGUGAGGGUGCUAUAACCUUCCUCACACGUAAUCGAACUCUCGAACCCUAUUCUGGUUAGUAGACCUGAAUCUAUUCUUUUAGGGACUCUUAAGUUUAGGUGCUCUUUAAAAUGAUAGAUUCCUUAGGUGGCCAAUCGCACAUAGAUAAAAAAAAUUGGUGGCGACUCUUUAAGUCAAUGUCUAGCGAUAGAUCCCCGGAUCUAUCGUUAUGACACCUAAUUUUGGCCAACCCGCGUUCUAGCCAAACCUUUAGCCGAGCCGAACCGCCUGAGCCACACCUUCUAGCCGCUUUUGUGCCUCAAGCUGAGCCGUUUUAGCCGCAAGCUGAGCCAUUUUUUUGGUUUUUUCUUUCUAUUUAUUGUUAUGUGUUUGUUUUCUUUCAUAAUAUUUUUGCAUGAUUUAAUUUAAUAAUAAAUAAUAAAAUAAAUAAAAUAAAUUUUGUGAAUAAAUAUUAAUUAUCCAAUGAUGAAAUUUAUAGAAUUUUCAAAUGGUAAAUUUUCAAAUGGUAAAUUUUUAUGAAAUUUUUAGGUAAGAAAUUUUGUCUAAAUUUGUCCCAAAUGGUGGAAUAAUUUAAAUAAAAUUUUAAUAACAAUAAUUAAUAUUUAUUUUCAAUCCAAAAAAAAUAAUAAAAAAUAAAAAUUUGGGUUGAAAAUAUUUGAUAAUUAUUUAAUGAUGAAAUUCAUAGAAAUUUAGAUGAGAUUCUUAAAAAUUUCAAAUGAUAAAAUUUUAAGAAAUCUCUAGGUGAGAAAUUUUCUUUAAAUUUAAAUGGUGGAAGAAUUUAAGUGAAAUUUCAAUAAAAAUAAUUGUCAUUUUAUUUUCUUUCUAAAAAAAUAAAAAUAAAUAAAUAAAUAAAUAAAUUCUAAAUAGGUCUAAAUGGUGAAAAAUUUAGAAAUUUUGAAAAAAAAUAUUUUUUAAUUGACCCAAAUAAUGAAAAAUUUAGAAAUAAAUAAUAAUAAUAAUAAUAAUAAUUUCUAAAUAGGCCCAAAUGAUAAAAAUUUUAGAAAUUCAAAAAGAGAGAAUAUUUCUAAUUUAGCCCAAAUUGUAAAAUAAUUAGAUAUAUUUUCAAUAAGAAUAAAAAAAAUUAGACCUUUUUUCGAUGACGGAACCUCUUCAAAAAAAUAAAUGAAAAUUUUGAAUACUCUUGAGAUGAAAAAUAUUUUUAAAAAUUCUACCAGAUUGAUGGAGAAUCUUAAGAAUUAUUUUCAAUAUUUCGAUAUAAAAAUUAAAAUCAUUAAAAUCAAGACUUUAGGAUAAAUUUAAAAUGACACGGUACAUCUCAUCGGAUGGCAGUAGGGGUGCUGUAACAUUCUCCAUAUAUAACCGAACUCCCGAACCUAAUUUUAGUUAGUAGAUCAAAAUUUAUUUUUUUUAGGGACCUUUAAUCAAACUUAAGAGCUCUUUAAAAAAAUAGAUUUCUUCGGUGAUCAAUCACACAUAAAAAAAAAAAAAUUAAUGAUGACUCUAUUUAUUAAAUUUAAUUAUAUAUUCUCGGAUAUAUAUGUUAUGACAGGCAUCACAAUUCACAACCGAAGCUCUUGGUAGAUUGACCUGAUUAGAGUGCCCAUGUGCAUUAAUAUCACGGCAUGGAAAGGUAAAGCUUUUGCCACCAUUGAUGGCAUCCUUCGUUCAAUUGAUCUAUCGAAUUACAACUUAUUUUGUAAAAAAUAUAAAAAUAUAUAUAAUUUUAAAUUCCAAUCGUGUAAUCAUCUUUAGCGCUAAAAGAAGCAUAUUCAUAAAAUUUAAAAUUUAAUUUAAUUGAUUUUUAUAAUUAUUUUUAAAAAUAACAUUUAAUAAAUAUAUAAUUUAAAAUUUAAUACCUACAAUUUCUUUUAUUAUUUUCAAGUUACAACCUAUUUUGUAAAAAUAUGUAAAAAAAAAAAGAAGAAAAACAAAGAUAUAUUUUACUUAUGAGGUCAUGAAUAUUAAUAAAGACAAAGGUUUCCUGAUACAAUUUAAAUUUUUUUUUAAAACUUCAGCAAUACUUUCACUUAAAGGUCUUCACCAUUAAAUCCUAUAUAUAAUUCAAAGAUUUUACAAAAUUAAAAAAGAUAAACUUUCAUUGUCCAAAUCUCUUAUACGAUUUGCUCGAUUAGCAAUGACACAGACAUAUCAUAUACUUAAUUUUAUAAAGAAAAAGGAAAGAAGGAUGUUUAAGUAACAUCUCAUCCUUCUUUCAUUUUAUUUUUAUUUUUUUAUUUUUUUAUAUUUAACUUUUAUAUUUAGUUUUUUAACUUUAUUUUUUAUUAGAUGAUUAAUGGAGUUAAGAGAUGAUAGAAAAAUCUGUUUCUAAUUAAUUUUUAUUCGCAAUAAUUCAACAUAAAUGUGUUUUUUUUUAAAUUAAAAUUUAGUCGAGGUUUUUUUUUUUUCUUUUAAAUGUGAUUAGGUUAAAAAUGGAUUUAAAAUAUCCCAUUCCAACUUGAGUGUCCAUGGACACCUCAUUCUUUUUGUUUUUAUCAUUUUAUUUGUUUUUUAAUUUUUACAUUUUUUUCUUUUUUUAAAAAAUUAUUUUUAUUUUUAUUUUUUAUUAGAUAAAUUUUAUAAUAAAAAAUCCAUUGAGAUAGAGAAAACUAAAUAAUCUAUAUCCGAUAGGUUUAAAUUCAACUCGAUCUAAUUGGUGUGCUUUUUUUUUUUUAAUUUGAGAUAAUUUGGGUUGAGUUCUUUUAAAUCGAAUUCAAAUAAAAAUAACAUUUUGAGUAUUACGCCUCAACCUUAAUAUAUAAAAAUUAUUUUUAAUUAUUUAUUUAAUUCUAUUUUUAUAUAUUUUUUAUUUAAAAAUAUAAUUUAAUACUUUAAUUUUAUAAAAAUUAUAUUUAUAAAUAAUUAAAUUAUAAUUUAUAUUAAAAAUAAAUAUACUUAUAUUUGUUUAUACGUUGUCACCCAUUAAAAUUUGAUAUAAAAAUUUUACUUUUGUCAUUUUUAAAAUAUAAUUUAAAAAUAAAAAAUUAAUCUCACGUUACAAUGUGCGUCUAAUUCUAAUAUAUAUUAACAGUAACUAAUUCCUUUCCCAUUGACAAUGACCCCCACUGAUAAACAACAAAUUAGACUAAACAAACCCAAAUUAAUGUAAUUAAUUUAGUGCAAUAAUUUAUACAAUGGAGAAAGUGAAACAAAGGAGUUGUUAAAUGUGAACCUGAGUUAAAUAUUAGUAUCAUAUUUAAUAUUUUAGAUGAAAAAGUAAUCAUAUAAACAACAAUAACGCAAAAGAAUGAUUUGAUGGAAAAAAGUUGAAGCAACUUUCUUUCUUUCCUGUAGAAUAGAUUUAUUAGAAUUAGAUGGUUUUGGUUACUUUAGAAUGGUCAUUGGCCAGUUGGAGGGCGUGACCUUUCUUCUCCGUUCGUUGGAUUUUUCCUCAUUCUAGAAAUUAAUUAAUAAUAUACUCCCUUCCAUCACAUAUUUUAAUCUAGUAAUUUUCGUGCAAUUUAAGAAAAAAAUUUUAAUUUUAAUGUUUUUUUAAAUUUGAUGUGCCAUAAAUUUUAAUAUAAAAAAAUUUUAAAAAAAAGUUAAAAAAUUAUUUUGGAAUAUUAAAAAUAAGAUUUAAGUGUUAAAAAACAUUACCUUAAGUCAUUAAAAAAAUGAACAAAGAAUGAGUAUACAAUUAAAUUAGUAAGUCUUUUCUUUGCAUAGGGAAUUUUAGCAUAGUUGAUUGGUUUCAUUGACUUCCUACGUCAACUUGACCCAGUCAUUUGCUCUUAAAUUAGUGAUAUAUAAUUUGAUCAAAAUAGCCAUGUGCUUCAUAAUUAAGCUGGUCAAAAUUGGAUGAAACAUGACAUGAGUUUAGAAAUAUAUUUACUUAAGAGUAAAACAAUAGUUACAUGAAGGUUUUGAGGCAAAUUAAGUUCACAAACUUUGAUUAAAUGAAAAUUAAAGUAAAAAAUUGAAAAGAGAAUAUAGCAGUAGAAUUUCAUGAUUUGACAAAUAAUAUUAAGAAUAAGUGAAAAUGAUAUCACAAUUAAAAAGAUUAUCAUAAUCAUUCAUAGAGAACAUUAUUUAAAUAAAAUCAAUUCAACAAAACUCUAACAAUCCACAAGUUUUUAUUUAGAUUUAAUUUAAUCUUCAUUUAAUCAUUUUGAUUAAAGAGUUUCACAAUUAAUGGAGCUAUGUUACCAAUGACCUAAAGGUUGUAAGUCCUUUUAACAGAGUUUCAUUGGCUAACUUUUAGUUAUGUUCUUCUCUGUUUGGUUCCACUUAAUAAAUAAAUAUAACGAAAAAAAUGAAAAAAAUAUCAAUGAGUUUAGUUUAAUUGGAUCACAUAACAAAUUUGAAUUUUAAAUUUCAAUACUUAUAAUAAUAUUUUUUUAUUCUCAAGUUGCAACUGUUUUUGUAUAAAAAAUAUUAAUGAAUUAAUGCUUCAUUGAUUUUAGGUUUGACUCCACGCGUUUUGUCGUUUUGGCUCCACGUCGUUUUGGCUUUAAGUUAAUCAGAGGAUCCACGUCAUUUUGUCGAAACCCGACCUGACCCGAGCGUCGACCCAUUUUUUGACCCGCGCGUGCCAGCCCUCCUCCGAGCCGAGUCAAGCUGCCAAGCCGCUCCCCUCGAGCCGUUUCCCUGCCUUGAGUCGAGCCGAUAGCCGAGCCGCUCCAGGUUUUUUUUUUUUAUUAAUUAAUUAAUUAAUUUAUUAGAUUAGGUUUAUUUAAUAUUCUUUUUAUCUUUAUUUUAUUUUUUUACUUUUCUUUAUUUUUUUUAUUUUAUUUUUAUUUAUUUUUAUUAUUAUUCUCUUUUCUUUAAAUAAAAAUAAAAAAUUCCAAAAAAAAAUAUUUUUAGAGAAAAGUUGAAAGUAUCAAUUUUCCUUAAAAGAAAAAUAAAUUUCCAAAAAAUAUUUUUGGGGAAAAGUUGAAAGUAUCAAUUUUCCUUAAAAGUAAAUUUUCAAAAAAAAGAUUUUUGAGGAAAAGUUGAAAGUAUCAAUUUUCCUUGAAAAUCGAAAUUUUCAAAAAAAAUAUUUUUAGGGAAAAGUUGAAAGUAUCAAUUCUCCUUAAAAAUAAAUUUUCAAAAAAAGAAUUUUUAGGGAAAAGUUGAAAGUAUCAAUUUUCCCUACACAAGAACAAUCAUCAUUUCCUUCCUUUCUAUUUUGAUUUUGAUUUUGAUUUUUCCUUAAUUAAUCCGACGACGAAGCCUCUGCAAGUGAAGCAGUAGUUUUUCUUGCAUACUCUUGAGGUGAGAGAAUUUUCUCAAUUUUCUGCUAAAAGUAUUAGAGUCAAUUGAGAAUAAUUUUCAAUAAUUAAUUACUUGGUAAAAUUUUAAGGCUUUUUUAGAUAACAAAAAUUUAAGCUGGUACCAUUUUUUGAUGGGCGUUGUGAGGGUGCUAUAACCUUCCUCACACGUAACCGAACUCCCGAACUCUGUUCUGGUUUGCAGACCUGAACUUAUUCUUUUGGGGACCCUUAAACUUAAGUGUUCCCUAAAAGGAUAGAUUCCUUAGGUGGCCAAUCGCACCUAGAUAAAAAAGAUUGGUGGCGACUCCCUAAAAGUCAAUGUCUAGCGAUAGAUCCCCGGAUCUAGACGUUAUGACAGCUUGGCGACUCCACUGGGGACUCUGAAAGUCAGGCCAGCAAAUAAUUUGUGUUAUCCAAAAGCCUAAUAAAAUUGAACCUUUUUGUAUAUAUGUGUUAUUAUUCAUUCAUGUUUAUUUACUUUGUUAAUUAUGUCAUUCAUGUGCAUGUGCAUAACAUGAGCUCUACACCCGAGCUCCGUCCCUCUAGGAGGGAGUAAAGUACCUAUUGCUUUCGUGAGGUCUAAUGCCUCCGCAGUGGCUAGCAAAAUACUCCCACUCAAAUUGAACCUUUUUCGCUUGUAGCCUGUAAUGGGUGAGGAUUAGGAUGCCUUACUAGUCUGUGAUGGACAAGGAUAUAAGGAACAAUUUGAGGACCUUUAGACUUUGACCCUUAAAACCACAUAUAGUGAACUUUAGAAGUGCCUAACCCAUAGAUAGAGCCAUCACUCUUCCCUGUUAGAAUUAACCAAAAGCAUAGGAUUCAUCCUUUUUACUUUGUGUGAUGUUUAAAUUUAUUUAGUUAUUUAUUUUUUUUCUGGGUAUACUAACCUUUUUUUUUCUUUUGCAUUGGUCCAUAUGCAUAUCAUAAAGUUACAUAAAGAACAUUUGCUUGAAAAAAGAUCUUCAACAAAUUUUUUCAUGGACGUCAAUAAACGCUUAGUUUAUUUUUCAUCAGUAUUAGCACCCUGUGGGACACCUAAUGAAGUAAGGGCCCAGUCAAAAAAAGCUCAACUGAAGAUGGGAGAUUGCUUGCCAAUUGGAUAUGAUUCUACUCUGUCUCAAGAAACAUCUAUCCUCCUAAAACAGAAUAAUUUAGAGGAUUUGGUUGAUAUCUGAAAGAAGAUGAGUCCGUCAAAACAAGAGCAGUUUUGUCAGAAACACGGGCAUAUAACACACCUCCUAGCAGUGGUUGUUGAUGAUCAACUAAUUAGAGCUGCAACACAAUUCUGGGAUCCUACAUACAAGUGUUUCAUCUUUAACGAAGCUGAUAUGACUCCCACCAUAGAAGAAUAUUCAGUUUUGUUGGGUUUGCAUCUCAAGACUCCUGACAAGAUAUAUGUAAAAAAACAUAAGUCAGGAUUUCGUAAAAGUCUGGCUCAACUCAUGGGGAUAGACAAGGAAGUUGUGGAUUCUCACACAAAGAAGAAACAAGAACAGAUUUGCCUACCUUGGAAGUUCUUUCAUGAGUUUCUGAUGCAACAUGCCAAUGAAGAACGGGGGUUAGACAUAUUUGCCUUGGCUAUAUACGGACUGGUGAUCUUCUCAAAGGUUUUGGGACAUAUUGAGAUAGCGGUGGUUGAUUUCUUCGAGAGUGUGAUCAAUGGUUGUAAUCCUUCAACGGUAAUAUUAGCAGAGACUAUCAGAUCUUUGAGUUAUUGUCGUCGGAAUGGAGGGCGCUUCAUAGGAUGCAUACAGUUAUUGUACGUGUGGAUGAAAAGCCAUUUUGAACAAGAAAAUGGUGCUUUCUCAAAGAUUUACAUCCGUAAUCGUUUUUCGAUCAAAGAAUUCUACGAAAGUGGGUGGUCAAAACGGAAGUCCAAACAAGAAUGGAUAACUUUCUUACAAAAGUUGAAAGGUACCAGGGUGAGAUGGUUAGCCCUAUGGAUGAAUCGAGAGCCUAUGUUAUACCAAUGUGGGGAUAGUACAGUGGUUCCACUUCUGGGUUUAUGGGGAGUGACGAAUUAUGCACCACUCCUAGUGAAAAGGCAAUUGGGGGGAGAACAGUUCAUUCCUAUGACUUAUGGGCUUCAUCAGUUAGAUUUCUCUUAUAAUGAGCCUAAAGCAUUUCAGAGGAUGAAUGAGAUGAUCAAAGCAUGGAAAAAUCCUCAAAGAGUGAGUCCACGACCAUUCACUGAAAAAGUCACCCCAGGUUACUUGGUUUGAAGAGCAAAGAAAAGACAAGAAAUGGUAUUCACUUAUGAAAUCUCUCAACCACUAACAGAAGAAAAACUUGAAGAGACACCAUCAGAGUUAGAGCUGGUAACAAAAGAAUUUGAGUUUGAAAAGACCAAGUUAAAGAAAGAGAUUCAGGAACUUCAAGAAGAAAAAGCCCAAUGAAAAGGUAGAGCCGAAAGCUAUGAAGUCAAAGUUCACAAGAUUGCUAGAGAACGUGAUACAGCUACUGAAGAUCUAACAAGGUUACACCAGGAACAUAAGAGGCUAUGUGUGAGAGAAAGAGCCAAAGAGAUACCCAUUGUCGAGUUGACUGAGGAAAAUACAAGACUAAAACAAGAGUAUGACAAAUUGGAAGAAGAACGUACCAAAGCACAGGCAGAAAUUAACAUGCUAAACAGUUAUUUGAGCAGCCUAAGUCAAAGGUUGGAUGAACAAAGAGACCACAUCACUGCAUUGGCUAGAGAACAUAGAGAAUUAUCAUACCAAGUCUGGUGUGGUAAAAGAGAGAACCUAGGAAGGCAGAAAUACAUUGAGCACCUAACAACCCAAAUUCAUAAAGGGGUGUGUAAGGCAAGAGAGAUGGUGAAAGAGGCAGAAGCAUUAAGACAAGUAAUGGCCCCAGUAAGAGAACAUGGACAGCGUCUGUUGAACUUCAUAGAAGAAGCUAAGGCCCAGUAUGAACAGAUCAAACAAUUUUAUGGCUAUAAUUCUAGGACGAUAAACUCAAUGUAGAUCAAAAUUUUUUGGAAUAAAUGAAAUUUUUUAGUUGAAUACCGUUUUAAGGCAAAUGUUCUUUGCAUACAUGCAUUUUUCAUUCAUUGCAUUCUCAUUCAUUACAUUUAACAAAGUAACCAUAUGAUGAUCAUGCCAAUUUACUAAUUCUGAGAUAUGGUACUCAAAGUCCCAGGAUAGCUCCAUCUAGUGAAAACCCUGCUCAUCCAUACAACACAAGAUCCAGAGCAAGGUAAAUGGAGGAAAAAAAUUCUCAUAGAUUUUAAAAGCUAGAAAAAGCACAAGAGAAGAUUGAAAGUGAGCUAAGCAAGAUUCUGAAGGCUCUUAAUAAUAUGAAUAAAGGAAAAAGAGUUACAGAAAGUACAAGCCAGCAAAUUCCCCCAUUACAAGAAGUGGCUGAUGCUUUAUACCCUCCAGGUUUUGGCCCACCUCAGGCCCAGUCUGCCCAAGAGGUCCCCCCAUAACACUUCUCAUAUCCAACAUAUCCUGGAAUGCCAUCAGCUUUCAACCCAGGGCAGUAUAAUAGCUAUAUAAAUCCUGUCUUCACUGAAAAGGUAGUAGAACCAAUUCCUGACCUAGAUGACUUAAAGGAGAAGGAAAAAAAAAGAUGAGAGUGGAAACUGAAGAAAGUUCCAAGAUUAGCAUGCUAGAGCAAAAGCUAAGGGCUGUGGAAGGAUUUAGCUUUUAUGGGUCAGUUGAUACUGCUGGGCUCUGUCUAGUUCCUGAUGUGGUUAUUCUCCAUAAGUUUAAAGUAUCGAAAUUUGAAAAAUAUUACGGUACAAAAUGCCCCAAAACCCACAUCACCAUGUAUUGCAGGAAUAUGGCAGCUCAUGCACAUGAUGAAAAACUCUUGAUGCAUGUUUUCCAGGACAGUCUUAUUGGCUCUGCGGCCAGAUGGUAUGUUCAGCUAGAUAGGACUCGCAUUCGCUCUUGGAGCGAUAUGGCACAUGACUUUAUCAGUCAAUAUCGACAUAUCAUCGAUUUGGUCCCAGAUCGUUUGUCUUUGCAGAAUCUGGAGAAAAAGGUAAAUGAGUCUUUUAAAGAGUAUGCCCAGAGGUGGAGAGAUAUUGCUUCUCAGGUACAGCCUCCUCUGAUCGAGAAAAAAACUACAGUGCUAUUUGUUAGCACUUUAAAACCUCCCUAUUAUGAAAAGAUGAUAGGGAAUGCAACAAAAAAUUUUGUUGAUAUGGUAAUCUCGGGAGAGAUCAUUGAGAGUGCCAUCAAGAAUGGUAAGCUAGAAAGAAAUGAAGCAUCUGGCAAAAGAAUCUCGAAGAAGAAAAAAAUUGAAGCUCAGGCUGUGAGCUUUGAUAGAUAAUAGUUUAGAGGUUAUUCACCCUACCCCCCACCAGAAUAUCAGCCAUAUCACCUUAUUGUAAAUAACACUUGCUUUCACCUAUACCAACCAUUUACACAACCACCAUACCCCCAAACCUAUCAAACCUCUAAUAGACCCCAAAAUACCAUGUACAGUCCUAACAUUCAACCUGUCUCAAGACCAUAAAAUCGCCCAACUAACCCUACUGGUGGCUCGCUUGAGCAACGAACCACUCGUGAGAAACCUAUUUUUGACCCUAUUACCAUGACCUAUACGAAAUUAUACAAGGAGCUCUACAACAAUCACUUUAUUGCUCCAAGUAAAUUAGAACCCCUUAAGCCACCCUACCCUAAGUGGUAUGAUCCCAUCGCCCACUAUGAUUACCAUUAUGACAUUGCUGGUCACUCCACCGAAAAUUGCACUACCCUAAAAUACAAAGUGCAACGGUUGAUUAAGGAUGGGAUGAUUUGUUUUGAUACUGGAGGGAUGACUACGCCAAAUGUUAGUGGCAAUCCUUUGCCAACUCAUAACGUGAAUGCUAUAGGUGAAGAACAGGAGCGCCAUGUGAAGAAGGAAGUGGCAGAUAUUAAGACACCCAUGGGCCAAUUGUUUGAUGUUUUACAAAGAGCAGACAUGAUACAACUGGUAAGCUUACACAACUAUCACGGAGCAUAUAUAGCUGGUACCAGUUGUAAGUAUCAUAGUGGGGCAAUGGGCCAUUCCCUUGAAACCUGUGAGCAGUUUCACCAGGAGGUGCAAAGACUCUUGGAUUCAUACCAAAUGGAGGUCUAUGAAAAAAAAGAAAACCUGAAGAAUACUGAGGUGUACAUGACUGAUAGGCCUGAAAAGAUGUUUCCCAAACCAGUGACAAUUCAGUGUGGGAACAAACCAAAGUCAGUCAUAGAUAAACUCUUUCCCAGGCCAGUAACUUUUAAAGUCCUAACUCUUUUCCCAUAUAAAAAUGAUAAAGCUGUACCCUGGAGAUAUGGCUGUGACACUGUAGUUCAGGGACAAAAAAAAGAGGUCUCCAAAGUCGAUGCUUCCAAUAUUACUAGUGUAUGAGGCAUUACUCGAAGUGAGAGAUGUUACACCCUAAAAAUGCUAGAGAAGGCUAGAAGGGAGAAGGCUAAAGAAGGAGAAAGACAAAAUAAUCCAGAGAUAGAACCUGAAGAAGAUCAACCAAAGCCAGUAUCAGAAAGGGAGGUUUGUGAAUUCCUGAAGCUGGUAAAACAUAGCGAAUAUUCAGUUGUGGAACAGUUGAAUAAAAUGCCAGCUCAAAUCUCAUUGUUAUCACUGUUGCUGAACUCAGAGCCACACCGAAAUGCCUUGCUGAAAGUGUUGAAUCAGGCAUACGUGGCACAUAACGUGUCUGUCGAAUAUGUGAAUCACCUGGCUGGAAACUUAGUCAUGCCAAAUCAUAUUUCAUUCAGUGAUGAUGAGAUUUUUUUGAAGGGAAAGAGAAAUGCCAAGGCUCUGCAUACCACAGUCAAGUGCAAGAGCCAUAUCAUAGCUAAAGUCCUUAUCGAUAAUGGUUCUGCCAUCAAUGUCAUGCCUAUGUCAACUUUGGCAAGGCUACCCAUUGAUUAUUCUCAUAUGCGGGAUAGUCAAAUGAUUGUGAGAGCCUUUGACGAGACCAGAAAAGAAGUCCUGAGAGAUAUUGAGAUGCCAUUACAAAUUGGGCCAUGCACCUUCAAUGUAAAAUUUCAAGUGAUGGACAUCUCUCCGUCCUACAGCUGUUUAUUAGAAAGACCAUGGAUUCACAUGGCAAGAGCUGUGCCCUCUACUUUACAUCAAAAGAUCAAGUUCAAUGUAGAAGGUCAAUUGGUAAAAGUAGUUAGAAAGGAAGACAUGCUGAUGACUCAACCAUUGAACACUCUAUAUGUAGAGGCUGCUGAAGAAGCAUUGGAAUGCUCCUAUCGGUCUUUUGAAUUGGUCAAUACUGUAAGUGAAGGAUUUCAAAGUCAGUCUUUUUCAAAGAUAGUGGUGAGCCAAAUCAUCAACAAAGGUUGGUAUCCAGGACUUGAGCUAGGCAAAAAUUUACAAGGAAUUAAAGAACCUCCGACAAUAACAGACAAUAGCGACAGGGUGGGCCUAGGCUAUGAGAUGGCAGAGUGGGAAGUCAAAAGAAGGCCAUCAAGAAAGACACCAAGACUGAUGUUUAUCCCACAUUUAUAUGAAACCUUCAGACCUGGAGGAUUCAUGAACCCAGAUGCAAGGAAAAGUGUGGAAAACGAUUUUGCCCAGUUAACCAUUAAUGCUGUUAAAGAUGAAGUGAGGGUUAAUCAAGAGGAGUGGGUUCGCCUUUGUCCACCAGAUUAUGAGCUAAACAAUUGGAGUGCCAUCAAAAUGCCUUUGACUUUUGGUUUUGACACAAUGUAAUUGUAACAUCUCAAUAGCUUUUGCCCAAGGCUAUGGGGUGAUCUUUUUUUAUUUGGGCCAUUCAUCAUUUAUUAUUUUUAAUAAAAAAAAAUAGAAAGGAUGCAUUUUCAUUCAUUUCUUUUUAUGCCCUCAUUAUUUUCAUCUUUCCAAGCACAUCUUACCAACAUAUCCCAUUUCAUUCAAUUUCAGGUCUUUAAAUGAACAUGAAGAUAAUCAUGAUAACAAUUAAGAGGUUAGCUUUGAGAAUUUGAUUAAUACUGAUGAACUUGACAACGAAGAGAAUUCUAAAGAAUAUGUUAUGCCUCCGGACCUAAUGAGGAUGAUUGAACAAGAAAAUAAGCCAAUUGAGCCUCAUCAAGAGGUAGUGGACUUAGUGAAUCUGGGAGAUGAAGAAAAUAAGAAAGAGGUCAGAGUAGGCACUUCACUUUCAUCUGAAGAUAGGCAAUGAUUGGCAGACCUACUUCAAGAAUUUAUAGAUAUAUUUGCUUGGUCUUACUAGGAUAUGUCAGGAUUGAGCACAGAGAUAGUAGAGCACAGAUUAUCCUUAAAGCCAGAAUGUAAGCCAAUUCAGCAGAAACUGAGACGGAUGAAGCCCGAAAUACUGCUAAAGAUUAAAGAAGAAGUGAAGAAACAAUUUGAUGCAGGUUUUCUACAAGUGGCCAAGUAUCCAGAAUGGGUAGUCAAUAUAGUCUCGAUUUUUAAAAAAGAUGGAAAAGUACGAAUGUGUGUAGACUAUCGGGACUUGAAUAAGGCUAGCCUAAAGGAUAACUUUCCUUUGCCUCAUAUCGACACACUGGUAGAUAACACAGCUAAACAUUCGAUUUUCUCCUUUAUGGAUGGUUUCUCGGGGUGUAAUCAGAUAAAGAUGGCUGCAGAUGAUAUGGAUAAGACUACUUUUGUGACCAUGUGGGGAACCUUCUGCUACAAAGUCAUGCCUUUUGGAUUAAAGAAUGCUGGGGCAACAUAUCAAAGGGCCAUGGUAACACUCUUCCAUGACAUGAUGCAUAAAGAGAUCGAAGUGUAUGUAGAUGAUAUGAUUGCAAAGUCUUGUGGGGAUGAAGAUCAUGUCACCAGCCUCAAAAAAUUAUUUGAGAGGUUGAAAAAAUUUCAACUAAAAUUAAACCCAGCCAAGUGCACCUUUGGGGUAAAGUCAGGAAAGUUGCUAGGCUUCAUAGUCAGUGAAAGAGGAAUUGAAGUCGAUCCCGAUAAGACACGGGCCAUUCAGAAUUUGUCACCUCCUAGCACACCAAAAGAAGUUCGAGGUUUUUUGGGGAGAUUAAACUACAUUUCUCGGUUCAUCUCUCAACUUACCUACAAAUGUGAUCCCAUCUUUAAGCUUCUCCGUAAAGAUAAUCCUGAAAAUGGAAUGAAGAAUGUCAAGAGGUGUUUGAUAAAAUUAAGCAAUAUUUAUCAAACCCUCCAGUAUUGGUGCCACCUGUUCCAGGGAAACCUUUAAUCUUAUACUUAACUGUAUAUGAAAAUUCAAUGGGAUGUGUGCUGGGGCAGCAAGACAAGGCUAGUCGAAAGGAGAAAGCUAUUUACUAUCUGAGUAAAAAGUUCACAGAGUAUGAAUCCAAGUAUUCUUCAUUGAAGAAAAUGUGUUGUGCAUUAGCGUGGACUGCCAAAACACUCAGACAGUACAUGUUCUACCAUACUACGUGGCUCAUAGCGAAACUAGAUCCCAUUAAGUAUAUCUUCGAGAAGCUUUCUUUGUUUGGAAGAAUCGCUAGAUGGCAAGUAAUGCUCUCGGAAUACGAUAUCAUAUACGUGAGCCAAAAAGCAAUAAAAAGAGGUGUUAUAGCAGAAUUUCUUAUAGAUCGUGCUACUGAAGAGUAUGAGCCGAUGAAGCUAGAAUUCCCUAAUGAAGACUUAAUGACUAUUUCUCAACUGGAGGAAAUGGAGCAUAAAUGUUGGAGAAUGUACUUUGAUGGAGCUGCUAAUGCUUUGGGGCAUGGAAUUGGGGCAAUUCUGAUUUCUCUGAAAGUAUCAAUUUUCCUUAAAAAUAAAUUUCAAAAAGGGUUUUUGAGGAAAAGUUGAAAGUAUCAAUUUUCCUUAAAAGAAAAAUAAAUUUCCAAAAAAUAUUUUUAGGAAAAAGUUGAAAGUAUCAAUUUUUCUUAAAAGUAAAUUUUCAAAAAAAGGAUUUUUAAGGAAAAGUUGAAAGUAUCAAUUUUCCUUGAAAAUCGAAAUUUUCAAAAAAAAUAUUUUUAGGGAAAAGUUAAAAAUAUCAAUUCUCCUUAAAAAUAAAUUUCCAAAAAAUAUAUUUUUAGGGAAAAGUUGAAAGUAUCAAUUUUCCUUAAAAAUAAAUUUUCAAAAAAAGGAUUUUUAGGGAAAAGUUGAAAGUAUCAAUUUUCCUUAAAAAUAAAUUUCAAAAAAAUAAUUUUUGGGGAAAAGUUGAAAGUAUCAAUUUUUCCUACACAAGAACAAUCAUCAUUUCUUUUCUUUCUAUUUUGAUUUUGAUUUUCAUUUUUCCUUAAUUAAUCCGACGACGGAGCCUCUGCAAAUGAAACAGUAGUUUUUCUUGCAUACUCUUGAGGUGAGAGAAUUUUUUCAAUUUUCUGCUAAAAGUAUUAGAGUCAAUUGAGAAUAAUUUUCAAUAAUUAAUUACUUGAUAAAAUUUUAAGGCUUUUUUGGAUAACACAAAUUUAAGCUGGUACCAUCUUUUGAUGGGCGUUGUGAGGGUGCUAUAACCUUCCUCACACGUAACCGAACUCCCGAACUCUGUUCUGAUUUGCAGACCUGAACCUAUUCUUUUGGGGACCCUUAAACUUAAGUGUUCCCUAAAAGGACAGAUUCUUUAGGUGACCAAUCGCACCUAGAUAAAAAAGAUUGGUGGUGACUCCCUAAAAGUCAAUGUCUAGCGAUAGAUCCUCGAAUCUAGACGUUAUGACAACUAUAAAUAUAAAUUUUUAAUUCGACAAAUAAUAUUAAGAGUGGCAAAUAUCUUAUUUUUAUUUUUAAUUUUUUUAUUUUAUUACAUAUAUCUUAAGAGAUAUGUGACACUUUUUAAAUUUUAUUUAUGAAAUUAAAAAUUUUACUAUAAGUGUUUUCCAUAAUUUUUAAUUUUUUUUUAUCAUUUAAAAGUUUUAGAAUGAAAAUGAAGCAUGGAUGUAAAAUAAUAAAAAAAAAGAAAUGAUUACUUCUAAGUUUUGAUUCUCUUAUGAAUCCACAUCAUUACCGAUAAAAAAUAUCCUCCCAAAUCUCAACUAUGAAUUUUAUAAAAUUAAAAAAAAAAAUUAUAAGUAUCAUUAAUAAACAAAAGGAACUAUUAUCAGCCAAUAGUUUAAAAUGAAUUUCAGACCACGUCGGGAGACUUGCAUGAAUAUAUCCAAAUGAUGUCUGAUUUUGAUUGUUGCCAUUAGCAGGCUGCCGGAAACUAACCAUUAAAUUAGAGACAAAUUUUGCAAAGAUCAUUUGACAAAUAAUUUUAAAUUUUAAUAUUCAUAAAUAUGAAAGAGACCAAAAUUUUGGAUCAGAAGAUAGGACUCCUAAUCUCUUGAGGUCAUAAAAUAAUGUUUAGAUUAAAACGUGACGCUCUUUUUUUUUAACAUAAAAUAUGGUGGGAAAUUUGCUACUUCAACUCUCAGGUCAUGAUGUAGAUGAUUUACUUAAAAUUUUCUACUCAAAUAAUAUCCAACAUGUAAGUAGAGAAGAAGAGAAGUAAUCUCGUUAUCAGUUGAUGUUAAUUUCGAGAGUGGAGUUGUCCUUUUCUGUUUCCGAGAGCCACUCUUUAAUUUCUACACCAUGUCUAUUUAUCCUUUCUUCACUUCGUUAAUUUGAGAGUGACUAUACAUGAUGUUGAUGAUGCUGACGAUAUUUGAAGGGUGUCACCUUAAUCACUAAAUUAUUCUUUGCAUGUGUCAAAGAAAAUGUAAAUUAUUUUCUAGAGAAUAAAAAUGUAAGUAUUUAUGAAGCAAGUUGAAAAGAACAAAUCAUAUUAUAUGAUACAAGGUCACUUUCCGCGCAUUACUGCGGGUUUAUAUAUAUAUUUUUAAUAUUGUAUUUUAUAAAUUAUACAUGCAUUUUUUUCUGUAAGCAUAAAUUAUAUGAUAAGAUAGGAUUUCUAUGGACAGAUACCACACCAAUCGAAUCAAUAAUGGAUUCCCCGUUGAGUCCAGCCACAAACUUCACCAUCUUACAACUCACUCCUACUUACCUUGGGGCAAGCACUGGGCAAUGAAUCCUUUCUCUCUCACCACCAAGAAUGCAUAGCAAUUUGCUAAAAAAAAAUACAAACUAACGCACAACAAACAAUAAAUACAUUUCUUUAAUAAAAAAAAAAAAAACAUGUUGAAAUUUUUUUGUAAGGACAGGUUUCAUCAAAAAUAGAAGAUGUAACUUGAAUACUUACUGUUGAAUUUGCUGCAGGCGGAUUCUCCCUAAUAACAUCAUUUACGUGCAACGUUUAAAACAUUAACAUGCUUAAGCAUAUUUGACAUCUUCCUUUCCAUAAUCCAUUAAUGUAUUUUUUAUUUAUUUCCAAUUAAAAGCAAAAUUGAGUAAUUAGGUACUGAUUGUCAUCUAUAUUUACGUAAUUAGGGAGUUACUAUUAAUUUUAAAUUAGUUUUAAGCUGUGCAAUAUACGGAUAUGCAAUUAUAUAUAUAAUAUAAUUAAUAAAUUUUAUAUAAAAAAUAAAAAAUUUCAAUGUAAAAUAAUAGAAAAAUAAAAAUAUUGUAGAUCAAUAUGUACCUAUAUAAUAUAAAGAAAAAUAUAUUGUAUCUUAUCUCAUCUAAUAGUGAUAGUUAUAUAAAUUUAAAUAAUAUUUGAUUUCAAACCAUAGAAAUUUAUUCCACUUAAAAUCAAUUUUUUGUAGAAACUUUUAUUUGGUGCUGCCCCUUGCUUUGGUGCAAGACAUCUAAAACUCCCAAUAACAACAACAAAUCCUCGUCUAGGCAGUGUUCAUUCUUGCAUUGUAUUCAUAAAGGUCAAAUAAUUCAAAUUGAAUUUGAAUUAUUUGGCGAAAGAGAUUGAAAUCAUAUAUUACAUAUUAAACAUGAAUAAAAUUGUAAAUGAAAGGUAAAUAGGAGAGCAAAGACUUGUGCCAAAUUCUAACAAACUUUAAACUUAACUAAAAAAUCUCACCUCGUUUACAUCCAUUAUUAAUCAUGAAAAAAAAAUCUGACAAAAUAUUCAAGGACUAAAAACUAAAAAGAGAUAAAACAUAUGAAAUUAUUCAAUUCAAAAGUUUUUUUUUUAAAAAUUAAUAUUGAAAAUGAAUAAAUAAAUAAAUAGAGUAUGAACAUCCAUAAAAAAGUGAAUAAAAAAGAAAUAAAAUCACCCAACAAGCAUGAUAAAGAAAAAAGUUUAUAAACAUAAAAAAACAUGUAACUUGGUGAUCAAAAUUUUCUUGAUCAUAAAAAAUCAAAACAUUUGGAGGGUUUUGAAGAAUAACCUCCUAGUACUUUCAGCAUACAUAAUUCUGUAUUUAUAAUAAGAGUUUGAGAGAUUUUUAUAAAUUCUGAGUAAUUUAUGCAAAAAUUAUAAUGGGUUAUUAAUUAUUUAUGUAAUAUAUCUUUUAUUUUGAAAGGUCCACACUUAAUAUUUUGAAAAUUUUUUGUAAGACAAUAAAUUAUACCAAUUGUAAUUAAUACUUAUAUAGAAAUAAAUAUGAAAAUAUGUUUCCAUCUAAUUAGACUUUUAUUUUAGGUUUGAAUUUUUAGCAUUAUAUGCCUUAUAUAUUCAUUUAAAUUAAUAAAUACAUAAAUUAUUUCUUAAUUAAAUACAAAAAUCAUAGUCAUUAAAUGGCCAAUGCUUUCAAAGCAUAUUUCUUAUUUAUAGUAUACGUGUUUGAUGUUUAAUAAAUUAUUUCUUAAUUAAAUAAAAAAAUCAUGGUCAUUAAAUAGUCAAUGCUUUCAAAGCAUAUUUCUUAUUUAUAGUAUACGUGUCGAUAUUUAAAAUUAAGAAUUGAAUUUGGUUGAAAAUUAUUUAAAAUAAUUUAAUUGUAACACAUUUAUAAAAGGCCAGAAUAUUGGAAAUUUAUAAGAAAAUAAACAACCUAAUUUAGCCAAAUAAAUAUCUUUUAAAUUAAUAAAAUGUAUAUGAAAUCAAAUCGAAAUAACUAAGUGUAAGAUACGUGACGAUUGUUUAAAACAAUUCACAUAUAAAAAAAAAGAUUAUCCACAUUGGAUUUUUUUUUUUUUUUUACCAAAAAUUUUGGUUUUUAUAUAUUUAUAUAAAAUGGGAUGCACAACUUAUUGAUUAUAACCUGUAUACAUAAAAUCUAACAUUAUAAUGUAAGAUUGAUUUAUACAAAAUUGAAAAGAAAAUAAAUAUAAUUAAUGCAUUGAAAUAUUUUAAAAUUUUUAUGAAAUCAAAUUAAUUUAUAUCAAUUUGAAAAGAAGUAAAUACAAAUAAAUAUAUUUAAUACAAGACAUGUGGCUAUUGAUAAAGGUUGUCCACAUCAUCCACAUUAAACAUUUUCCUUUUUUGCCCAAAGUUUUUAGCAUUUAUAUAUUUAUAUAAGAUUAAAUAAGAUGUAAUUUAAGAGUUUAAUAUUAUAAUUGGAAAAAGAGAAACAUAAAAUUUUUAUAUUACGAUGGCAGUUAAAGUUUUAUUACUUUAAUAUGAAUUUAAUUGAUAGUGAUUUAAAGUAAAAAAAUUAAUAAAAAUAAUUGUAAUUAAUUUAAUUUUUUAAAAAUAACUCAAAUAAAAUAAAAUACAUGAUGCAUGGUGAUUUUCAAGAUUGUUCCCAUGUCAAUAAUAUAGGUCAUCCACAUUGAAAAUUUUCUUUUUUUAUCAAAAGUUUUAGCUUUUAUUAAUUUAUAUAAGAUGAAUAAUACAUCAAAGAAUAAGAAAUAUUUUAUACUGAAGGAAAAAAAAAAAAGAAACUGCUCUCGUUUCAAUCACAACAGCACAAUUAUAAAGAGAAAUUAUUAAUAAGAAAAAAUUUCUUAUACUCCAAAUUUAAAAAUGGAAAAGCAAAAAUAAAACCCUAACUCCCUAAUGUGCUUAUCAAUAAAAAAGCGGAAAUUGUUGAUCCUAAUAUUAACAAACUGGCAAAAUUUUAAAUGAAGUUUUUUUGUGAAAUUUGUGAAAUUCUUUAUUAUAAACAAUUAAAUAAUAUUUAAAAUUGAAAAUAAAAAAUGAUAAAUUAAAAGAUUUUAUUAUAUAGAUUAAGUGUAUAAAUUUUUAAAAAAUUUUAAUAUAUUUUUUUAUAUAGAUAUUUUUAGUAAUAUUAAUAGAAUUUUUAACGAUGAAUAAGUGUCGAUCAAAUUUGAAUUAUAAACAACAUUUUUAAUAUUUUUUUAAUAUUAUUGAUUUUCAUAUUAAACUCUAUCAAUUUAUCAUUUUGGAUAUUUUAUUAAAAUUUUUAUUAAAUCAUUUUUUAAAAAAAAUUUCACAAAGUCCACCUAAAUAACUUCAUGUAAGUUUUGUCCUAACAAACUAUCAUUAAAAAAAAAGAUAAUGUCUUAUUUAACUCUUGAAAUAUUGUAGUUUGUUAGUUUUGAUAUCUAAACUAAAAAAAUUACUAAAUAGGUACCUAAACUCUCGAAUUGUAUAUCUAUUUGAUUCUUGAGUCAACUCCAUUAGAAGAGUUAUUGACUUAGCUAUUUUAGUCAAUGAAAAGUCGUCAUUUGGACACAAAAUGAUAUGUCAAUUUAAGUUAUUGCUUACAUGUCAUGAUUAUGUGGUCAUAUAUUCUAGAGAAGGCAAUCUAACUCGAAACUAGGGGGUUUCGACCCGACCUUUUAAGAUUUUUUUUUUUAAAAUUGGGUAUCGGGUUAGGUCGGGUUGGAUAAUAUAAGAAAAAAUUUGAAGUCAGGUCGGGGUCGGGUUUUAAGCAAACCUAACCCUACCCGACUUGAUAUGUAUAAAAAUUAUUUUUUAAUUAUUUAUUUAAUUUUAUAUUUUUAUAUAUAUUUAAUUUUAUAUUUAUAUUAAAAAAUAUAUUUUAUAUUUAAAAAUAGUAUUUUAUUAAUUUUGGUCGGAUCUGAUAUGAUUUUAUAUAAUGUUGAAUCAGGUCAAUUUGGGUAUAAAAAAUAAGAAAAUUACCAUGUAGGGUUGAGUUCGGGUUUUGCAUAUAUAAAGUCGGGUCAAGUUUGAGGUGAGUAAAAAUCCGCUUUAACUCGAUCCAUUGUUACCACUAAUAUAUUCUAAAAAAAAUUAAAUCAGUAAAAAAAAUAAUUCUCCCUUAAACCGUACACCUCAAAUUCAAUACUCAUACCACCAUCCACCCCAAAUUGAAAAAACUAUGAAAUUUUAGCAAAACCAAAGCUUAUGAAUUCGAAACUGCUACCUUGUAAAAUCGAAGUUGGUGCCUUCACGAAAUCAACGACAAAUGAACCAAUUAAUCAUCCCCAUCCAUCAUCACAACCCCAUUUAACCCAUGAAAACCACCCAUGCCAGACCCUUCUCAACAAUCGAAUCAACCCAACAACCCAAAAACCGAAACCUAUGCUCACCACCAUAAAUUUUAAUAUAUUUUUUAAUUAAAAAAUUAUUUUUUUAUCCUUAUAUAUCAAUUUAAAUCUGAACUCGAGUUUGAACAUAUGAUUAAGCUCAAAAUUGAGUAUAAGAAUUAAAUUUAUAUUUUAUUAAACAAAUUUAAUUGAUCGAGUUUGAAUAAUUUGAUUUUUAUCUCAAAUCGCACUUAAAUUUAAAAAUUAAAUCUGGAUCAAAUUUGAAUCAAAUUUUAAACUAUAAAUUUUAAAUCAAAUUCAAACUUUUUAUUAUAUCGACUCAAUUCAAUUACACCCGAGAGGAUCAGUGGCAGCACGGUUAAAAGUCAAAACAUUUACACAGCUUUCGAUCUUAAAUGCACUGCUAAAAGUUUGACAUUUGACCCCUUCCACUUUAUUUUGGCCUAAGCGAUUUUUUCGUUUACUUGUAAGCUACGAUGCAACUCAAGAAGAAAAGAAAAAGUUUUAGACAUUAAAAUUUGAAUUUUAAAUUUAUUAUGUAUCAUAUUUUAAAAAUAAUUAUAUGAUUAAUUUAAAUUUUGUAUUUAAUUAUUUUUAUCACUUUGAAUCACACAACCAAUUAAAAACCAUUUGCAUGAAACAAAAAUUAUAGGAGUAAUUAAUGAACUAUUGCUUAAUCAUUUGCUUAUAGUUGUAGUAAUAAGUUAGUUUGAGUAAUUAUAAAAAGACCAAACAUCCUAUAUUUUUGCAUGAUUGAAAGAUUGACGAUAUUUCCUUAUGUUUUUUAAAGGGAAACAAAUGAAAAAGGGAAAAAAAGGAAAACUGAAAGUCUUUUCUCUUUUCCCAACAUCGUACUUCACUGAUCCCCCUUAUAUGAGUUAAAAUAUUGGGUUAAUUGAAGGGAGAAAACAUAGAAUAAAACAGAGAUGACAACAUCAAAAUUCAGUCAAGAAUUAACAAUUUUAUUAUACAACAGAUAGGAGACAUCAAACAAAACCUUUAUCACACUUUCACUAUCAGAAAUCUGGCCCUUCUCAUUCCUCCACCACCCUUUGCUGUUUUCCUAACACAAUAUACGAUAAAAUUCAAAACUGAAAAUAAAAAAUAAAUAAAUAAAGGGCAACAAGUCUAUCUCACAUGGACACUAUUGCCUGCUUAAAUUUUACAUUUCCUUCAUGAUAUGAGACGUAGAAAUUAGAGCUCUGUUGACAUGUUGUUCGUGAACUGCAAGAUAUAGUAUUAAAUUUCUCAAACUCAGCUGCAUCUGUCUCUUUUCUUGUCCCCUGUAAAAUCCCUGUCCCCUACAUGAUGGAGCAAGGGUCGUGGUGCUGGGCAUAUCCAUAUGGUGGCACCUCUUGAUACACAUAUAAAGGUUGAUUAUAUGGCCACACAUACGCCGCUGGCUUUACCUCGUCUUUCUUCUCAUCUUUCUUUUCACCACCCAUGGCACUCACGCUCACAAGCUCUGUAUGCCCCACACUCUUUCUUAGCUUGUAAAUUUUUUUUUUUUCUUCAAGCUUCGGUAUCUUUUGUAUAAAAAAUUAUCAAUGAAUUGAUAAUUUCGUGGUGUUAGAAUCGAAUUUAGAAUGAAUAAUUUUGAGUUCGAACCGCAACCGUAAUUUAAGAAAAAAAAGACUUUUUUGAUUAAAUUAAGAUAAGUGAAAAUUGUGACUUGUUAAUUUUAUUUAUAUUUGAUUGUUGGUAGUUUAAAAUGUAGUGCGUCUCACAUUGAAUAGAAAGAUUUAAUUAUUGAUAAAUAAAAUUAAUUUUUGUAUUAAUUUUAUUCAUAUUUUAAAUAAUUAUGUUUGAAUACAAAUAAUUAUCAUAUGACAAAUCGACAUAACUAUUUGAAUAUAAAUAGAUUAUUAUUUAUAAAGGUUAUGAUUAUAUAAAAUAUCAUAACCAUCUAAAUAAAAUUUUAUUUUGUUUAUUCAUUAUAAAUAAAUCUUUCAGUAUAACUAUUUUAACUGCUUCUGAUUAGAAAGUUUGGACUUUGUUGUAUCCUACAGGCAUAAUUGCCUUUAAGAAAGUUUUCUUCACGUCUUAAAACCAAAAUUUUUUUUCAGUUAUUUCUCUUCUCUUAGUUAUUUUUUUUAACAAUUGGUAGUUUAGAAUAUGAUGCAUCCUACAUUGGAUAGAAAAUUUUAAUUAUUGAUAAAUAAAAUAACUUUUGUAUUAAUUUUAUUCAUGUUUUAAAUAAUUAUAUUUGAACACAAAUAAGUAUCAUAUGAAAAUUUGUUAUAACUGUUUGAAUAUAAAUAGAUUAUUAUUUAUAAAGGUCAUGACUAUACAAAAGAUCAUAACCAUUUCGACUGCUUUUGAUUGGAGAGUUUGAGGCUUUGUUGUAUUCUAAAGUUAUAAUUACCUUUAAGAAAGUAUUUUUCACGUCUCAAAGCCAAAAAAAUUUUUCUAUUAUUUAUUUUUUUUAACAAUUUAAAAGUAAUUAUAAGACAGUUAAAUUUUAUAUAAGGAAGAUACAAGGAAAAAAUAUUGGCACGAUUUGGAGAUCAAUAUUAGAAAAGGCUCAAGGUGUUAAAGGAUUAAUGUUUUUAUGGACCAAAAUAUUAAUUUUCAUAAAAAUCUUUAUUAAAGGUAAGUAUUUUAUUUUUCGCAUAAUUGUUGGUAAAAAGAUUGACUAAAUAAGAUAAAUAUAUUAACAAUUUAUUUUAUUAGUAUAUAAAGUUAAAACACAAUAUGUAAAAUAUUAAUUACAUUGUAUAAGUUUAUGCAUAUACUGAAAUUGACUUCACAAUUGAGUUUAAUGAAUUAUAUUAUAUCUAUUUGAAAAAUCUAUAUUUAUAAAGACUAGGAUGGGAAAUAGUCUGAAAACAUAAAAAAGAAAGAUAUGAAUUGAUCUACAACCAAAAAAAUUAUCACUUAUUAUAAAGUAAUGAAUUAAAUUGGGUUCUAAUGGAAUAGCCAAUUAUUUAAUUGUCAUGUCUUGGUUAUAUAUGGAACAGGUAAAUUGUCCCAUGAUUUCUAUGAAAACAAACGAAAAUAGGUAAAGGUAAUUGCCAUGAAAAAUUAGAUAUAAGUGAAGAAUAUACGCGAAAAAUAAGAUUUGACUGUAAGAUUAGUUUUAUUUUUAAAUCAUGACACCAAAAUUGAGAUAAUAAGUUGAGUCAAGCUAUUUGUAUGGUUCUAUCUUUGUUGGUCAUUUAUAAAUCAAAUGUUGAUAUAUUUUUUUUUAAAUUUAUUAUUGGUUUAAAUUUUGACUUGUGUUCAAUUUUCAAAAAAUCAAUUAAAAUUAAAUUGAUAUAUGUGAAUAAUUAUUAUUAAGAUAUAGUGUUUCAUGGAUUAAUUAGUGGAUAAUAAACCAAAUAAUUGUUAUUAUAAAAAAUAUGGACAAUGUGACAAGUAUUUUUACUUGCUAGGUGUAUUACACUAAAAGUGAUUUUAAAAAAUAAAUUUUAUUGUGAACAAUCACAAAGUUAAAAUCAUAAAUAGCCAUCAAAGAGUUAAUCAAUCGUUACAAAAAAGCAUUGUUGCUUUUCGCAUAUGGGACAUUGAUUAAAUGAAAUGGCAUGUUAUUAAAAAAUAUUGAAGCAUUUAUCGAUUAGUAGCAUUUUGAAGGAUGCUUAUCAAUGUAUAAUUAGGCAUGUUUAUAAAUGAGAAAAAAACAUGCAAAUUCAAUGUUCUAAAUGCACCAAUACUUGCAUGUGUUGAAUUUUAUUUUGUGAUAGCAUGAAAAACAUUGGUACAGUUUGUCAUAUAUUACAAAAAUGAACAGAAUGAGAUGAAAUUUUCUUUGUUAUACAUAUCCAAUAUUAUAUAUGUUGUAUAUGAUAGGCAAACUAGAGGCGUUAAGUCUCUUUUUUAAUCAAACUCGGUUCUCCUAUUUACUUUUUAUUUUAUUAUUAAAAUAUAAAAUAUUAGAUUAUAUUAAUAUCAUAACAUUUUAAAUAUAUUUAAUAAUUAAUGAUAAAUAAAGAUAUAUUAUUUGUUAAUAAAAUAAUUUAAUCCAACUAAGCUCAAGUUUAAAAAUUCAAUGCUUGAAUUGAUAUUUUUAUUAAAAUUUAAUUUUUAAUACUUAAAUUUAAUGAUUUUUAAUAUUAAAAUUUAAAAAAUCAUAAAAUAUAUAUCUCGUCCAAGUUGAAUGUCUACCUUUUUGGGUUACUCAGACUAUGUUUGUUACUCUUACUUUUAUCUGUAUUUCAUUUUUUAAUAAAAUGGUUUUUUACUUUAUUGAUGUUAAAAAACUUAUACUUCAACAUUUUAUUAAAAUUAUUUAAAAAUACUAUAAAAAAUAUACAAUAAGAAUGACGAAUGGGAGUGAAUGUUAUCGUCAGCAGUCAUUCACAUUCCAGUCCCCGUACACGGUAGCUGUAGCUUUCACACAUUUAUUAAUUAAAAGAAAUUAGCUUUAUUGACUCGUCAAGUCUUUCUCAUAUGUUUUGCAUGUAAGAAUAGUCCUUAAGUUGAGACUUAUUUUAUUUAGGAGCAUUAUUGGUUUUUACCCUAAAUUGUUAGAAAUGAAAUAUAAAAUUAAUUAAAAAAUAAAUAAGCAGUUAGAACUUAGAAUUGAUGAGAUCGAAAUUUGUCAUAAUUAUUCACUGUGAUAUUGCUAAAAUAGAAGUGUUUAUAAACGGAAUCUCUCUUCUAGUCAAAUUCGAGCUUCCUUUGUUUCAUUUAUUUAAUUAUUAUUUUAUCAUUAAAAUAUAAAAAUAUUCUAUUAUAUUGAUAUAUAAUAUUUUAAAUAUAUUUAAGAAUUAGUAAUAACUAAUAAUAUAUUAUAUUAAUUUAUUAAUAAAAUAAUUUAAUCUAGACGAAACUCCAGUUUAAAAUAAUUGGGGAAAAAAAAAAGAAAAAACCUCCAGCUUAAAAUUCCACGGAGCUCGUUUUAAUCGUGAGUGCAUAAUUUUAUGAGGCACUGCAAAUUUUGUUUUGAUUCGGAGAUUACCUAAUCUCUCAAAGUUCUUUUGACAAAAGAUGGGCUCAAUUGAAUUACACUUCUCAAACCUUUUUUUUUUAAUUUGUUUUUAAUUUAUAUUUAAUAAAUAUAUUUUAUAUUUUAUAUUUUUUAUGUGUUGGUCUCGUUGAGAUGACAUGUGUCAAAUUUUUAUUUAUUAAUUUAUAUUUUAUAUUUUUAUAUUUUAAAUUAUUUUGUACAGUUCAUUUGAUAUUAUGUAUCAAUUUAUUUUAUUUUAUUUUCUUUUUCUUUUUUAUAUUUAUAUUUCUUUUUCUUUUUCAUUUAUCUCUUUUUUAUAUUUAAUAAAUAUAUUUUAAUUUUUAGAAACUCAUUUAAUAUUAUUGAUUAAAAACAUAUUUUUUAAUAAAUUUUUAAAUAAAAUAAAUUUGUAAAAAAAUAAUAUUAAUAAAGGCAUCUACAUGAUCUGAAUUUUUUUUCAGUCUUUUUAGUUUUUAAAAAUUAAUUAUAUAAAUUUUGUAAGAACAGUUCAUAAUUUUUAAUAAUGUGUGAUAAUUAAUUUUUUUCAUUUUGUUGUAGAUCGAUUUUUUUUAUUGGGGUUUAAAGUUUUUUAAUGCUAUAUUUAUAAAAUCAUAAAAUAUUAAUACACCCUUCCAAUUUGAUGUUUAUCUCAAAAAAUAUAUUCAUUAUUCUUUUUCUAUAUUUCAUUUAUUUUUUUUUAAUAAAAACUUAAAUUUUUUUAACAAUUUUAUUUAAAAAUUGUUAAAAAAUUUAAGAAUAACAUAAAAAAGACAUUAAAAUAAGAAUAACAUUGAUACGUGAGAGCGACCCUUCCCCUCUUCAAUUCCGUCGUAUAAAGAGAGGUCGAUUUUAGAGUGUCGUCAUUAUUCACACACGGUGAAGCCGCGAUGAAGGCUGUCGCUUUCUCGCAUUGCUGGAACUGUCAGAUUGAAGCUUUACUCAUUCAUCACGUCUUCCUCUGACUUUCUCAUUUGCAGCUUUGUAUGCUAGAAUAGUCGGCAACUUAGAUAUUUUUUAUUUUUUUAAUAUCCAUAAAUAUCCUAAUCCAAAAAUGGAUCUGCCAUUGCAUGGUUGUCAAUGUUAGAGAAAAUUUAACUUUUUUUUUUUUAAAUCUUGCUUAUUAAAUUAAAAAGAUAAUGAAACUCAAAGAUAAAAACAAAUUUAGAAUUGUUCUUCUAUAUUUAUUUAUAAAAAUUACAAUAAUAUUUAUGCAUGAAAAAAUUAUAUACACAAAAAUAUAUAUACCUAUCUAUACAUAAUUGAUUCAGGAACCCUUGCCGUUAAAUUAAAAAAAUAAUUAAUAUAAAAGAUUUUUUCCCUGAAAAAUAAUCCAUAUUAAUUAAGUGGUCGAAGGAAUCCAAACUCACAUUUAGCAUUUUGAUCCUUACCCCUGAUUUUUAUGGAAAAUGACUGUUUUACCAAACUUCACCCUUUUCCUCUUACAAAAGAUCAACUUUGUAGUUUAAAAUGAAUGGUGAAACAGGAUCUAAGAUAAUAGAGAUACAACAUCAGCAGCAGCACAAUUUUAUGUCAAAACAAGUACUUAGCUUUCAAUCUUAAAUGCACUGUUAAAAGUUUGACAUUUCACCACCUCCAACUUAUUUUGGUCCAAGUGAUUUUUUUUUUUUUGGACACAAAGUAAACUACAAUGCAAUAUGAUAUAAAAAAAACAGAUUUUAUAAUUUAAAUUUUAAAUUUAUUGUAUAUCAUAUUUUUAAAAUAAUUAUACGAAUCAUUUAAAUUUUGCAUUCAAUUAUUUCUACUACUUUGAUCCACACAACCAAUUAAAAACCAUUUGCAUGAAACAAAAAUUAUUGGAGUAAUUAAUAAACUAUUGCUUAAUCAUUGGCUUAUAGCUGUAGAAAUAAGUUAGUUUGAGUAAUUAUAAAAAGAGUAAACAUCCUAUAUUUGCAUGAUUGAAAGAUUGACGAUGUUUCCUUAUUUUUUGUAAAAGGAAACAAAUGAAAAAGAGAAAUUGAAAGUCUUCUCUCUUUUCCCAACAUGGUACUUCACUGAUUCCCCUUAUAUGAGUCAAAAUAUCUGGUUAAUUGGAGGGAGAAAACAGAGAAUAAAACAGAGACGAAGACAUAAAAAUUCAAUCAAGAAUUAACAAUUUUAUUAUGCAACAGAUAGGGGACAUCAAACAAAAACUUUAUCACUCUUUCGCUAUAAGAAAUCUAGUCCUUCUCAUUCCUCCACCACCCCUUUUUUGUUUUCCCACCACCAUAUAUGAUAAAAUUCAAACCUGAAAAAAAAAGAAAAGAAAAGAAAAGGGCAACAAGUCUUUCUUACAUGGACACUAUUGUCUGUUUAAAUUUUAAUUUUCCUUCAUAAUAUGAAACGUAGAGAUCAGAGCUCUGUUGACAUGUUGUUCGUGAACUGCAAGAUAUAGUAUUAAAUUUCUCAAGCUCAGCUGCAUCUGUCUCUUUUGUUGUCCCCUGUAAAAUCCCUGUCUCUUACAUGAUGGAGCAAGGGUCAUGGUGCUGGGUGUAUCCAUAUGAUGGCAACUCUUGAUACACAUAUAAAGGUUGAUUAUAUGGCCACACAUACGCCGCUGGCUUUACCUCGUCUUUGUUCUCAGCUUUCUUCUCAUCCUUCUUUUCACCACCCACGGCACUCACGCUUACCAGCUCUGUAUGCCCCACACUCUUUCUUAGCUUACUUGUUAGCUUAACUGGAUCAAACCCAUCUCCUGUUACCUCUAUUUGGCUCUUGUCAUCGCCUUUCAAUGAAGCAGACUCCACUCCUUGACACACACAAUAAAGAAAAAAAAAAUCAGCAAUCAGCAUAAAAAAUGUUCUCAAUAUUUUAUUAUCAGAAUGAAUGAAAUCAAAGUGGGUUUCAGCUUGUUUUUACUACCUGAGAGACCGACUAUAAUUUUCAAGGCCUUGGAGCGGGACUUGUCUCCAUUCAUGGUUACCUUGACUACAAUCGUUUGCUGCAAAAAGGAAAAUUUCAAUUCAACAUAAAAUUCAUCAAUCAAAGAAACUUUUAAUUUCAUGAUUCAUUUUCAUACCUUCAUGGUGUCGUUUAUCUGUUAAGAUAGACUUAGAGAGAGUAGGAAAAUGAUGGCGAUGGCGAGGGAAAGAUGUUUGGAGGAAGAAGCUAGAAAGGAACUAACUGCUUACUUGUUUUGUUUUGAACGAGGCAGAACAUGUUGUCGGUAUUUAUAGACCGUUCGGGAUUGAGAAUUUGUUACGACCCGAGCUGUAUGGAUAUUUCUUUGGAACUUCCAGGAACCAUUGAUGACCUUUAUUACAAGCUGACCCCACCAAGUUUACUUAAGUCAGCUCUUUCACUUUAGCUCCAUGCACUGGACCAUCGGAGUCAGCUCAAACAAAACAUUUUUUUUUUUUUUUUGUUUACAAAGUCCGUUUUGAAUCUUCUUCUUCUGAUAAAAUGCAUAAAAAUAUAAACGACGCAUAUAUGUAACUCUCAUUAUAAUUUUAAAUACCAGUCUUGUAAUCAUCUUGACGAAGAAAGAAGUAUACUCAAAUUUUAAAAUUUAAUUUAAUUGAUUUAUAUAAUUAUUUUUAAAAAAUUAUAUUCAAUAAAUUUAAAAUUUAAAUUUAAAUACUUAUAAUCUUUUUUAUUAUUUUCAAAUUACAACUUAUUUUGUAAAAAAUAUAAAAUUAUAUAUAAUUUUAAAUUCCAAUCGUGUAAUCAUCUUUAGCGGUAAAAGAAGCAUAUUCAUAAAAUUUAAAAUUUAAUUUAAUUGAUUUUUAUAAUAUUUUUAAAAAUAACAUUUAAUAAAUAUAUAAUUUAAAAUUUAAUACCUACAAUUUCUUUUAUUAUUUUCAAGUUACAACCUAUUUUGUAAAAAUAUGUAAAAAAAAAAAAAAGAAAAACAAAGAUAUAUUUUACUUAUGAGGUCAUGAAUAUUAAUAAAGACAAAGGUUUCCUGAUACAAUUUAAUUUUUUUUUAAAACUUCGGCAAUACUUUCACAUAAAGGUCUUCACCAUUAAAUCCUAUAUAUAAUUCAAAGAUUUUACAAAAUUAAAAAAGAUAAACUUUCAUUGUCCAAAUCUCUUAUACGAUUUGCUCGAUUAGCAAUGACACAGACAUAUCAUAUACUUAAUUUUAUAAAGAAAAAGGAAAGAAGGAUGUUUAAGUAACAUCUCAUCCUUCUUUCAUUUUAUUUUUAUUUUUUUAUAUUUAACUUUUAUAUUUAGUUUUUUAACUUUAUUUUUUAUUAGAUGAUUAAUGGAGUUAAGAGAUGAUAGAAAAAUCUUUUUCUAAUUAAUUUUUAUUUGCAAUAAUUCAACAUAAAUGUGUUUUUUUUUUUUAAAUUAAAAUCUAGUCGAGGUUUUUUUUUUCUUUUAAAUGUGAUUAGGUUAAAAAUGGAUUUAAAAUAUCCCAUUCCAACUUGAGUGUCCAUGAGACACCUCAUUCUUUUUGUUUUUAUCAUUUUAUUUGUUUUUUAAUUUUUACAUUUUUUUCUUUUUUUAAAAAAUUAUUUAUACUUUUAUUUUUUAUUAGAUAAAUUUUAUAAUAAAAAAUCCAUUGAGAUAGAGAUAACUAAAUAAUCUAUAUCCGAUAGGUUUAGAUUCAACUCGAUCUAAUUGGUGUGCUUUUUUUUUUUUUUUUUAAUUUCAGAUAAUUUGGGUUGAGUUCUUUUAAAUCGAAUUCAAAUAAAAUAAGAUUUUGAGUAUUACGCCUCAAUCUUAAUAUAUAAAAAUUAUUUUUUAUUAUUUAUUUAAUUCUAUUUUUAUAUUUUUUUAUUAAAAAUAUAAUUUAAUACUUUAAUUUAAUAAAAAUUAUAUUUAUAAAUAAUUAAGUUAUAAUUUAUAUUAAAAAUAAAUAUACUUAUAUUUGUUUAUAUGUUGUCACCCAUUAAAAUUUGAUAUAAAAAUUUUACUUUUGUCAUUUUUAAAAUAUAAUUUAAAAAUAAAAAAUUAAUCUCACGUUACAAUGUGGGUCUAAUUCUAAUAUAUAUUAACAGUAACUAAUUCCUUUCCCAUUGACAAUGACUCCCACUGAUAAACAACGAAUUAGACUAAACAAACCCAAAUUAAUGUAAUUAAUUUAGUGAAAUAAUUUAUACAACGGAGAAAGUGAAACAAAGGAGUUGUUAAAUGUGAACCUGAGUUAAAUAUUAGUAUUAUAUUUAAUAUUUUAGAUGAAAAAGUAAUCAUAUAAACAACAAUAACGCAAAAGAAUGAUUUGAUGGAAAAAUGUUGAAGCAACUUUCUUUCUUUCCUGUAGAAUAGAUUUAUUAGAAUUAGAUGGUUUUGGUUACUUUAGAAUGGUCAUUGGCCAGUUGGAGGGCGUGACCUUUCUUCUCCGUUCGUUGGAUUUUUCCUCAUUCUAGAAAUUAAUUAAUAAUAUACUCCCUUCCAUCACAUAUUUUAAUCUAUUAAUUUUCGUGCAAUUUAAGAAAAAAAUUUUAAUUUUAAUGGUUUUAUAAAUUUGAUGUGCCAUAAAUUUUAAUAUAAAAAAUUUUAAAAAAAAGUUAAAAAAUCAUUUUGGAAUAUUAAAAAUAAGAUUUAAGUGUUAAAAAACAUUACCUUAAGUCAUUAAAAAAAUGAACAAAGAAUGAGUAUACAAUUAAAUUAGUAAGUCUUUUCUUUGCAUAGGGAAUUUUAGCAUAGUUGAUUGGUUUCAUUGACUUCCUACGUCAACUUGACCCAGUCAUUUGCUCUUAAAUUAGUGAUAUAUAAUUUGAUCAAAAUAGCCAUGUGCUUCAUAAUUAAGCUGGUCAAAAUUGGAUGAAACAUGACAUGAGUUUAGAAAUAUAUUUACUUAAGAGUAAAACAAUAGUUACAUGAAGGUUUUGAGGCAAAUUAAGUUCACAAACUUUGAUUAAAUGAAAAUUAAAGUAAAAAAUUGAAAAGAGAAUAUAGCAGUAGAAUUUCAUGAUUUGACAAAUAAUAUUAAGAAUAAGUGAAAAUGUUAUGACAAUUAAAAAGAUUAUCAUAAUCAUUCAUAGAGAACAUUAUUUAAAUAAAAUCAAUUCAACAAAACUCUAACAAUCCACAAGUUUUUAUUUAGAUUUAAUUUAAUCUUCAUUUAAUCAUUUUGAUUAAAGAGUUUCACAAUUAAUGGAGCUAUGUUACCAAUGACCUAAAGGUUGUAAGUCCUUUUAAUAGGGUUUCAUUGGCUAACUUUUAGUUAUGUUCUUUGUAGACACCCAAUUGGGUCCGGGCCCAGAUCAAUUGGGUCUGGCCCAAAUGGGUAAGGCCCAUUUCAAUCCUGUAUUUUUUUUUCUUUUCUUUUUCUUCUUUUGUAUUUUAUGUAUUUCAUUAUUAUUAUUAUUAUGUAUAUCUUUGUGUAUUUAUUUUUAUUUAGAUUAGAUUUAUAUGUAUUGUAUGUAUAUAGUUAUAUAUUUAUUAUUAUUAUUAUCUUUUUUUUUUUGUUUUGUAAUAUAUUUUUGGGUUUAUCUUAUGUUAUUUUUUUUUAUUAUCUGUUAAUUUUAUCUGAUUUUUUUUUCUGAAUUACCUGAUAUUAUUUUUUUAUUUUUAUACUAUCAUAUCUUUUGAUUAUCUAGUAUUUUUUUAUUUAUUUUGAUUUUAAUUCUGGAUGGCUAAGAUUCAAAGUUGAAGAAUCCCACUCUGGAGGGGAAUUCAAUCAGAAGAGUCCAGUUGGAUUCAAAGACUGAAUUUCCGUCCAAGGAGGAAUUGGGAUUGAUCAGGAACUCCUGAUCACCCCUAUAAAAGGGAUCCCCCUGGAACAGAGAAAAAACACAGAAAAACAGUAAGCAAAGCUACUGAUUUGAGAGAAAAGGAGGCGUAUAGGAAGCUAGGAAAAGUUUAGGAGUGUUCUGGGAGUGAGAAAAAAUUUUUAGAGAUUUUUUGGCGAAAAUUUUUUCUGGAAAUUUCUGGGAAAUUUCCAGAAUCCGGCGAAAAUUUCGGCGAAUUUUGAAUUUUUCGGCAACAAUUCCGGCGAACAUUGAAGUUUCCGACGACCAGUCCAGUUUCCGACGAAGAAUCCUAGAAGCCGGCGAUCUUCCGGCCAACUUCCGAUGAAAUUUCCAGAUUCCGGCGAAAAUUUUUAGAAUCCGGCACCGGUGUUCUUCAGUUUCUAGAGAGAAGGGAGAGAAAAAGGAAGAAGAGAGAGAGAGGGGGAGGAGCGUUCUGCCGAAAAACGGAGGAAGGUGCCUUUUAUACCCUCCCAAAACGACGUCGUUUUGGCCUUAAGUAACCCAGAGGAUCCGCGCGUUUUGCCGAACCCGACCCGACCCGAGCGUCGACCCGCUUUCUGACCCGCGCGUGCUAGCCCCCCUCCAAGCCGAGCCGAGCCGAGCCGCGAUCCGAGCCGCUCCAGGUUUUUUUUUUUUUCUUUGUUUAUUUGUUCAUUUUAUUUUUUAUUUUUUAUUUAUUAGAUUAGGUUUAUGUAAUAUUCUUUUUAUUUAUUUUUUAUUAUUUUAUUUUCUUUAAAUAAAAAUAAAAAAAUUCUAAAAAAAUAUAUUUUUAGGGAAAAGUUGAAAGUAUCAAUUUUCCUUAGAAAUAAAUUUCCAAAAAAAUAUUUUUGGAGAAAAGUUGAAAGUAUCAAUUUUCCUUAAAAGAAAAAUAAAUUUCCAAAAAAAAAAGUAUUUUUGGGGAAAAGUUGAAAGUAUCAAUUUUCCUUGAAAAUCAAAUUUUCAAAAAAAAUAUUUUUGGGGAAAAGUUGAAAGUAUCAAUUUUCCUUGAAAAUCGAAAUUUCCAAAAAAUAUUUUUAGGGAAAAGUUGAAAGUAUCAAUUUUCCCUAAAAAAAAAUCAUUCUUUCCUUCCUUUCUAUCUUAAUUUUGAUUUUGUUUUUUUUCUUUAAAUAAUCCGACGACGGAGCCUCUGCGAGUGAAACAGUAGUUUUUCUUGCAUACUCUUGAGGUGAGGGAAUUUUCUCAAUUUUCUGCUAAAAGUAUUAGAGUCAAUUGAGAAUAAUUUUCAACAACUAACUACUUGGUAAAAUUUUAAGGCUUUUGGAUAACACAAAUUCAAGCUGAUACCAUCUUUUGAUGGGCGUUAUGAGGGUGCUAUAACCUUCCUCACACGUAACCGAACUCCCGAACCCUGUUCUGGUUAGUAGACCUGAACCUAUUCUUUUAGGGACCCUUAAACUUAGGUGUUCCCUUGAAGGACAGAUUCUUUAGGUGACCAAUCGCACCUAGACAAAAAAGAUUGGUGGCGACUCCCAAAAGUCAAUGUCUAGCGAUAGAUCCCCGGAUCUAGACGUUAUGACAGCUUGGCGACUCCGCUGGGGACUUUGAGAGUCAGGCCAGCAAAUAAUUUGUGUUAUCCAAAAGCCUAAUAAAAUUGAACCCUUUUGUAUAUAUGUAUUAUUACUCAUUCAUGUUUAUUUACUUUAUUAAUUAUGUCAUUCAUAUGCAUGUGCAUAACAUGAGCUCUACACCCGAGCUCCGUCCCUCUAGGAGGGAGUAAAGUACCUAUUGCUUUCGUGAGGUCUAAUACCUCCGCAGUGGCUAGCGAAAUACUCCCACUCAAAUUGAACCUUUUCCGCUUGUAGCCUGUAAUGGGUGAGGAUUAGGGUGCCUUACUAGUCUGUGAUGGACAAGGAUGUAAGGAGCAAUUUGAGGACCUUUAGACUCUGACCUUAAAACCGCCUGUAGUGAACCUUAAGAGUGCCUAAACCUAGGAUAGAGCUCUUUCUACCCAAUGAUAGAUAUACCCUAAAAUUAGGACACAAAAAGGGUGUUUAUCUAAUCAUUUUGAUUGCUUGACUUUGUGUAUUAUUUUUACCAUAUGUAACAUUAUGCAUCAGCAUCACUUACGUUUCAUCCACGGAACUAACUAUGUUGUUUGUCUGAUUGUAUGCAUCUGUAUUCUUUCCAUGAUCAUGUUUCAACACAAUUAUUUGCAUUCAUUUCAUACUAGAUCUCAUUCAAAAAAUGUACAUUUCAUUUGUGCAUCAAAGCAUCAUACAUAAGGCACAGCAUAACAUUUCUAAUCAUAAGUAUGGUACUCAAGGUCCGAGGAUAGCUCCAUCUAGCGAAAACUUUGCCCAUCCAUACAACACAAGAUCCAGAGCAAGGCAAAUGGAGGAGAAAAGUUCUCAUAGAUUUGAAAAGCUAGAAAAAGCUCAGGAGAAGAUUGAAAAUGAACUUAGCAAAAUUCUGGAGGCUCUUAAUAACAUGAACAAAGGAAAAAGAGUUGAAGGAAGUACAAGCCAGCAAAUUCCCCCAUUACAAGAAAUAGCUGACCCCCUGUACCCUCCAGGUUUUGGCCCACCUCAAGCUCAGUCUGCUCAAGAGGUCCCACCACAACACUUCGUAUAUCCAACAUAUCCUGGAAUGCCAUCGACUUUCAACCCCGGGCAGUAUAACAGCUAUAUAAAUCCUGUCUUCACUGAAAAGGCAGUAGAACCAAUUCCUGAUCUAGAUGAUUUAAAAGAGAAGGAGAAGGAAAAGAUGAGAGUAGAGGCUGAGAAAAGUUCCAAGAUAAGCAUGCUAGAGCAAAGGCUAAGGGCUGUGGAAGGAUUUAGCUUCUAUAGGUCAGUUGAUGCCACGGGGCUCUGCCUAGUUCCUGAUGUGGUUAUCCCCCAUAAGUUCAAGGUACCAAAUUUUGAAAAAUAUGAUGGUACAAAGUGCCCCAAAACCCACAUCACCAUGUAUUGCAGGAAGAUGGCAGCUCAUGCACAGGAUGAGAAACUCUUGAUGCAUGUUUUCCAAGACAGUCUUACUGGCUCUGCGGCCAGAUGGUAUGUUCAGUUGGAUAGAACCCACAUUCGCUCCUGGAGCGAUAUGGCUUAUGACUUCAUCAGCCAAUAUCGACACAUCAUCGAUUUGGCCCCUGAUCGUUUAUCUUUGCAAAAUCUGAAGAAAAAGUCAAAUGAGUCUUUUAAAGAAUACGCCCAGAGAUGGAGGGAUAUAGCUUCACAGGUACAACCUCCACUGACAGAGAAAGAGACCACAGUGCUAUUUGUUAGCACUUUAAAGCCUCCCUAUUAUGAAAAGAUGAUAGGGAAUGCAACAAAGAAUUUUGCUGACAUGGUAAUCUCUGGAGAAAUUAUUGAAAGUGCCAUAAAAAAUGGUAAGUUGAGAGGAGGAGAAACCAAGAAGACAUCAGAAAAAAAAGAAGCUGAAGCUCAAGCUGUGAGCUUUGAUAGACAACAAUUCGGGGGUUAUCAACCCUAUCCAUCCCAAGGUUACUUUCCAUACUAUCCUGUUGUGAAUAAUGCCUCAUCCUACCCCUACCAGCUAGCCCCACAACCAUCUUAUUCAUUCACUUACCGCCUUAACAUUCAAGCUCCUGUAAGAACCCAAAUUCGUCCUACUCACCCAGCAAGUGGCUCACGAGAACAACGGACUACUCGAGAAAAACUUGUAUUUGAUCCAAUCCCUAUGACUUAUACAGAGUUAUAUCAAGAACUCUAUAAUAGCCAUUUGAUUGCCCCCAGCCAUGUGGAGCCGCUUAAACCACCCUAUCCAAAGUGGUAUGAUCCUACAGCUCGUUGUGACUACCAUUAUGGGAAUUACUGGCCAUUCUACUGAAAAUUGCACUGCUUUAAAGUAUAAGGUGCAACGGUUGAUCAAUGAUGGAAUGGUAAGUUUUGAUCAGGGAAAAACAACAACACCUCAUGUUAGCGUACUGAGUGAAAGUCAAGAACAGAAAGGAUUUGGAGAGUCACAAUGAAUUGAGGGGCAAGAUGUCAAUGGGGAUUUCUUCACCUGAUCAUAUAGGGAGCUAAUUUUUAAUGGAGAUAAGGCGGGUUGAAGGUUUUUUGUCAUUUUAAGAUUUCUUUUCGAGUGAUUGUUGGAUUUCUUUGUGCAAUAUGAUUUCACUUGUUAUCAUCUUAAUAAGGGCAAGUUAAUGCAUUUCAUUUACAUUUUCUCUUUCACUCGACCAUAUUUCAUGCCCUGUUACCUUUCAUGACUUUACAUUCCCAUUUUCAAAUUUCAGAUGAUGAAUAUUUAGACAAUGGUAACAAUAAUUCUGGAAUUUAAUUUUGAGAACUCAUUCACAGAGGAGAUGAUUUGAGCGAAAAUAAAGAGGGUAAGCCAUUACCAGAGAUGAAAGAGAUAUACCUUGAAGGUGUGCAAUCUUUUAUACAAGUUCAUGAGCUUUGUUCAAUAGAUGAUGUUCAAGAAAGGUAUUCACAAUUGAGAUGAAAAAUGGCCAUCUUUCUUUUACCAUUUGAAAAACCAUUUAUUGUUACCCCUUUGAGCUUAUCAUUUUUUUUUUUUUUGGAAGAACCCUAACCAAGGAUCACCCUCUACACUGGAGGGUAAAUUUUGAAAAAAAAAAAGAAAAAAAACACCACAAAAGGUCUCAAAAAUGGAAAGAGAAAGAAAAGCAAAAGAAAAAUAAGAGCCACACAUGACUUGGGGCAAAGUAAUGAGAAUCCUUUGUGUGAGGAAAAAGAAAAGUAGUGAAAUGAUGUGGGGGCAAAAUGCCAAGCUGCAUCAAAUGAUUCUUUGGUUUUGAACCUUUUUAAUAUAUGUUUUGAGCCUAUUAUAUCCUUUUUUUAUGACCCUUCACCUUGGCCUACAUUACAACCUUGAAAAGUCCAUUUGGAUCAAAUAUGAAUACUCAACUUGAAUGAUCAUAGGUUGAGCAAAGAUAUGCUCAUGAUGAAGCAAUGGAAUCAUGCUAUAUGAAAGAUAUCAACACUAGAUGAAAAAUGAGAAAAAAAAAAGAGAAAAAAUGAGAAAAUGAAAAAAUGAAAAAAGAGAUCCAAAUUGAAAACCUGAAAGGGUGAUUUUGGUAAAAAAAAAAAAAAAAAAAAAGAUCCAGGUCAAAUGGCUCACAUGAAUGAAAGAUCAAAGACAUCUGAAGAUCCCUCAAAGACUGGGACAGAGUUCGCCAAGCUCAAGAUGACUUCAAUAGUAAAUGGAAUGAGUUUUUGAAAAAGAAUCCUAGAUUAAUGUUGAAAAUUGUCUGAAUAUUCAUCAUUUGGACAUACCAUUCACCUCAAUGACAUCCAAUUUAUUUCCUUUCCCAUUUAUUUUUUUACCAAAAUAGAUCUUCCAUUGAUUAUCUUUAUCAUAAUUCACCUUCUGUUCUCUUAUUGUUUCACCCCUAGAAUAAAUUGAGAAAAUGCUUGAUUGCAUUAUAUUUGUCAAGAAUUGAAAUGAUAAUGAAUGAAUGAAUAUGUGCUUAAAAGAGUCUUGCAUUCAUUUGAAAAGAAAUCUAAGAUGAUGGUGGUAGAAACCUAAAAGAGAUGAUUGGGAAGGAUAUAUGAUGUGACCAAAUCAAGAAUAUGAUGAGGCAAAUCUUGAAAAGCGAUACAACCAAGUGAUGAGUACAAGGAUGAAUUGGUCGAAUGGUAGGAACAAUCAGUGGACAGAGUUUGUUUUGGAAUGGUUGAUGCUGAGGCAAGGACCCAGUGAUGGUGGAUGAAAUUUGUUUUAAAAUUUGUUAUGAAAUUUGCUAGCGCUGAGAAAUUCAUUGAAUGAUGGUCAAGGGAUGAUCGAUUGAUGAAGCUUAUUCCAAAGUAUUGAAAAACAGAACAAGGAAGAAUCUGAGCGGAAAGGACAAUUGAGAGCUACACUGGUUCGAUCUUAGAAGAGCAGUGUAAUUGGAUCCUUGAGGGAUCAAAGGGCUUGACGCCCAAGAAAGAAAAGAGCUUGAGAAACUUGAGUACCAUACAUUGAACAGGAAUUGAUUGACCAACAUUUGCAUACCAUGCAUUGAAAAUCAUGCAUAUUGCAUAGCAUACACUACUUUCAGAAAAGUAUAGUGUACAAAUUCAAGAAGCAGGGGUGUUCCAACAUCCCACAUGAAAAAGAUAGAUAUGAAAAGACUUUGCAAGUUUGAGAAGAAACUUGUCAGGUAAGUUCCUAAUCCUUGAGAUAGGAUGUCUCUUGGUAUCGGGGUUGAUUUAUAAGACCUUUGGGCAUAAUCUCCUGAAAUCCCUUUAAACACAACUUUCAACUCCUUCAGACAUGAUCGUCUAGGAGUAUUUACUUUUUCAAAGUUCGUUGCCUCUGUUUAGAGGAGCAAUUUAUUUUUCAAAGUUUCGUUGCCUCUGUUUAGAGGAGCAAUUUAUUUUUCAAAGUUUCGUUGCCUCUGUUUAGAGGAGCAAUUUAUUUUUCCAAAGUCGUGGUACCUCUGUUGAGAGGAGCAAUUUACUUUCCAAAGUCGUGUUGCCUCUGUUUAGAGGAGCAAUUUAUUUUUCCAAAGUCGUGGUACCUCUGUUGAGAGGAGCAAUUUACUUUCAAAAGUCGUGGUGCCUCUGUUUAGAGGAGCAAUUUACUUUUUCAAAGUUCGUUGCCUCUGUUUAGAGGAGCAAUUUACUUUUCCAAAGUCGUGUUGCCUCUGUUUAGAGGAGCAAUUUAUUUUUCAAAGUUCGUUGCCUCUGUUUAGAGGAGCAAUUUAUUUUUCAAAGUUCCGUUGCCUUUGUUUAGAGGAGCAAUUUAUUUUUCCAAAGUCGUGGUACCUCUGUUGAAAGGAGCAAUUUACUUUCCAAAGUCGUGGUACCUCUGUUGAGAGGAGCAAUUUAUUUUUCAAAGUCGUGGUACCUCUGUUGAGAGGAGCAAUUUACUUUCCAAAGUCGUGGUGCCUCUGUUUAGAGGAGCAAUUUACUUUUCAAAGUCGUGGUGCCUCUGUUGAGAGGAGCAAUUUAUUUUUCCAAAGUCGUGGUGCCUCUGUUUAGAGGAACUUCGACAAAAACAAAAAAAACAAAAAAAAACAAAAAAACAAAAAACAAAAAAUAAAAAACAAAAAACAAAAAACAAAAAUUUUAAAAAAAAAAUCAAAAAAUAAAAAUGUUGAGUUGAGUCUUGAUUGGGUGUCUACGUCUUUGCGCAAUUUCUGUUUCACAGAAAAUGUGCAAAGAGGGGCAGCUGUAGACACCCAAUUGGGUCCGGGCCCAGAUCAAUUGGGCCUGACCCAAAUGGGUAAGGCCUAUUUCAAUCCUGUAUUUUUUUUUCUUUUCUUUUUCUUCUUUUGUAUUUUAUGUAUUUCAUUAUUAUUAUUAUUAUGUAUAUCUUUGUGUAUUUAUUUUUAUUUAGAUUAGAUUUAUAUGUAUUGUAUGUAUAUAGUUAUAUAUUUAUUAUUAUUAUUAUCUUUUUUUUUUGUUUUGUAAUAUAUUUUUGGGUUUAUCUUAUGUUAUUUUUUUUUAUUAUCUGUUAAUUUUAUCUGAUUUUUUUUUCGAAUUACCUGAUAUUAUUUUUUUAUUUUUAUACUAUCAUAUCUUUUGAUUAUCUAGUAUUUUUUUAUUUAUUUUGAUUUUAAUUCUGGAUGGCUAAGAUUCAAAGUUGAAGAAUCCCACUCUGGAGGGGAAUUCAAUCAGAAGAGUCCAGUUGGAUUCAAAGACUGAAUUUCCGUCCAAGGAGGAAUUGGGAUUGAUCAGGAACUCCUGAUCAACCCCUAUAAAAGGGAUCCCCCUGGAACAGAGAAAAAACACAGAAAAACAGUAAGCAAAGCUACUGAUUUGAGAGAAAAGGAGGCGUAUAGGAAGCUAGGAAAAGUUUAGGAGUGUUCUGGGAGUGAGAAAAAAUUUUUAGAGAUUUUUUGGCGAAAAUUUUUUCUGGAAAUUUCUGGGAAAUUUCCAGAAUCCGGCGAAAAUUCCGGCGAAUUUUGAAUUUUCCGGCAACAAUUCCGGCUAACAUUGAAGUUUCCGGCGACCAGUCCAGUUUCCGGUGAAGAAUCCUAGAAACCGGCGAUCUUCCGGCCAACUUCCGACGAAAUUUCCAGAUUCCGGCGAAAAUUUCCAGAAUCCGGCGAAAAUUUUUAGAAUCCGGCACCGGUGUUCUUCAGUUUCUAGAGAGAAGGGAGAGAAAAAGGAAGAAGAGAGAGAGAGGGGGAGGAGCGUUCUGCCGAAAAACGGAGGAAGGUGCCUUUUAUACCCUCCCAAAACGACGUCGUUUUGGCCUUAAGUAACCCAGAGGAUCCGCGCGUUUUGCCGAACCCGACCCGACCCGAGCGUUGACCCGCUUUCUGACCCGCGCGUGCUAGCCCCCCUCCAAGCCGAGCCGAGCCGAGCCAAGCCGCUCCCCCGAGCCGUUUUCUCUUCCUUGAGCCGAGCCGAGCCGAGCCGCAAUCCGAGCCGCUCCAGGUUUUUUUUUUUUUCUUUGUUUAUUUGUUCAUUUUAUUUUUUAUUUAUUAGAUUAGGUUUAUGUAAUAUUCUUUUUAUUUAUUUUUUAUUAUUUUAUUUUCUUUAAAUAAAAAUAAAAAAAUUCUAAAAAAAUAUAUUUUUAGGGAAAAGUUGAAAGUAUCAAUUUUCCUUAGAAAUAAAUUUUCAAAAAAAUAUUUUUGGAGAAAAGUUGAAAGUAUCAAUUUUCCUUAAAAGAAAAAUAAAUUUCCAAAAUAAAAUAUUUUUAGGGAAAAGUUGAAAGUAUCAAUUUUCCUUGAAAAUCAAAUUUUCAAAAAAAAUAUUUUUGGGGAAAAGUUGAAAGUAUCAAUUUUCCUUGAAAAUCGAAAUUUCCAAAAAAUAUUUUUAGGGAAAAGUUGAAAGUAUCAAUUUUCCCUAAAAAAAAAUCAUUCUUUCCUUCCUUUCUAUCUUAAUUUUUAUUUUGUUUUUUUUCUUUAAAUAAUCCGACGACGGAGCCUCUGCGAGUGAAACAGUAGUUUUUCUUGCAUACUCUUGAGGUGAGGGAAUUUUCUCAAUUUUCUGCUAAAAGUAUUAGAGUCAAUUGAGAAUAAUUUUCAACAACUAACUAUUUGGUAAAAUUUUAAGGCUUUUGGAUAACACAAAUUCAAGCUGGUACCAUCUUUUGAUGGGCGUUGUGAGGGUGCUAUAACCUUCCUCACACGUAACCGAACUCCCGAACCCUGUUCUGGUUAGUAGACCUGAACCUAUUCUUUUAGGGACCCUUAAACUUAGGUGUUCCCUUGAAGGACAGAUUCUUUAGGUGACCAAUCGCACCUAGACAAAAAAGAUUGGUGGCGACUCCCAAAAGUCAAUGUCUAACGAUAGAUCCCCGGAUCUAGACGUUAUGACAUUCUUCUCUGUUUGGUUCCACUUAAUAAAUAAAUAUAACGAAAAAAAUGAAAAAAAUAUCAAUGAGUUUAGUUUAAUUGGAUCACAUAACAAAUUUGAAUUUUAAAUUUCAAUACUUAUAGUAAUAUUUUUUUAUUCUCAAGUUGCAACUGUUUUUGUAUAAAAAAAUAUUAAUGAAUUAAUGCUUCAUUGAUUUUAGGUUUGACUCCACAAUGAAGAAUCUCGAAUUUGAAUUACAAUUAAAAUUGAAAAAAAAAAAAAGAAUGAACGAAUGACUUCUCUAAUUAAAUUAAUAAGAGGUAAGUAAAAAUUAUGACUUGUGAAUGUAUAUAUAGCAUUAUGCUGAAAUGGACAUGUGAAACCAAGUCACAAGAAUUUCUUCAUGCCCCAUGAAGUGAGAUCUUGGCUACUAGCUGCAAGGUGAUCGAGGAAUUAAAAGCCAACUGGCGAAAGAGUCCCCACCAAGAAAAUAUUUUAGCUAUAGGGCCCUUCCAAGUCUACCACAGAUUUGUAGGAUAAGGGCGUUAGGCUACGCGGUUUAGCCUCGCUCUUUUGCUUGACUUUCUCAGUCAACACAUAUGCCAAGGCUUUUGCUUUCACCCCUAUUCAUGGCCUGUUCCAAAGAAGUACUGCUUCUUUCCAAAUAUCAGCGUUAAAUCCAAAUAAAGCUCCACUUUUUUCUUUCAUACUUUUAGAAAGAACCUUUUUUUUUUGGCUUUUGGGGCCAAAAGCCAAAAAAAAAGGAAAGUGUAAGCUCGGAAAUAUACAUGAUUCAUUUCUUUUUAGAGUGUAUCUUGAAAAACCAAGAUUUUCUGUUUACUUUAGAGACAUAAAGUUAAAUUGUUUAGACCAAAAACAAUGACUAAUGAAGAAACAGGGAAAAUUGUUUUCUCAGUUUUGUUCAAUAUCAUCGAUUCAUAUAGUAGGCCAUAGCAUGAAAAACGUGUUUUGAAUAAAUAUGAUUAAAUUAUUACUUAUUAAAUUGAAGAAAAAAAAAAGAAAUCUAUUAAAGCUUCAUUUGUCAUUGCUCUUAAAGCUAUAAAGUUUGUUGCAACGUUAAAUACUAGGGCUAAACCAACAAAAUUAUGAAAGAAAGCCCAAAUAGUAAAUUAAAGCAAUAACUUCAUUUGGAGUUACUGCAAAUUUUGUCUCUCUUUUUUUUUUUAAUAAUACAUUAAUCACAAUUUUCACUUUUAAAUGCAACUUUUUAUCACAAUCUUAAUGACAAAUUUAAAUCCAAUCCAAGUUUCUCAUCUAUUUUCCGAACAUAUAGUUGUUUUCUUAAUACUAUUAAGGCAUAAAUUGUUUUCCAAAUAGGCGUAAAGUCUUAUUAUUAUUAUUUCAUAAUAUAUACAGUGAAGAUAAAGUCAAUUCCCAUCUCUUUUUGGGCAGCGCAAGUUCUUUUGUUUCGGAGGGAGAUUUUAACUCUUCCCUGAGUUAGAAAAAUACAUGCAUCUAUUUUUUUCAUCUCUUUAUAAUCAUUAUAGGUCGAAAACUUUUUAAAUUUAGUAUUUAAUAUACUAUAAAUAUAAAUUUUUAAUUCGAAAAAUAAUAUUAAGAGUGAAAAAUAUCUUUUUUUUAUUUUUUAUUUUUUUAUUUUAUUACAUAUAUCUUAAGAGAUAUGUGACACUUUUUAAAUUUUAUUUAUGAAAUUAAAAAUUUUACUAUAAGUGUUUUGGAUAAUUUUUAAUUUUUUUUUUAUCAUUUAAAAGUUUUAGAAUGAAAAUGAAGCAUGGAUGAAAAAUUAAAAAAAAAAGAUUUAUCACAAUCUUAAUGACAAAUUUAAAUCCAAUCCAAGUUUCUCAUCUAUUUUCCGAACAUAUAGUUGUUUUCUUAAUAGUAUUAAGGCAUAAAUUGUUUUCCCAAUAGGCGUAAAGUCUUAUUAUUAUUAUUAUUAUUAUUAUUAUUAUUAUUAUUAUUAUUAUUUCAUAAUAUAUACAGUGAAGCUAAAGUCAAUUCCCAUCUCUUUGUGGGCAGCGCAAGUUCUUUUGUUUCGGAGUGAGAUUUUAACUGUUCCCUGAGUUAGAAAAAUGCAUGCAUCUAUUUUUUCAUCUCUUUAUAAUCAUUAUAGGUUGAAAUUUUAUUUAUGAAAUUAAAAUUUUAUUUAUAAGUGUUUUCGAUAAUUUUUAAUUUUUUUAUCAUUUAAAAGUUUUAGAAUGAAAAUGAAGCAGGGAUGAAAAAAAAAAAUGAAAUGAUUACUUCUAAGUUUUGAUUCUCUUAUGAAUCCACAUUAUUACCGAUAAAAAAUUAUUAGGAUUUACCUUGAAUCUCAGAAUCCCACAUCGAAUAAGUUUGAAUUUGUCUUGUAUCCCACAUCGAGAGUUUAGUAAAGGUAUAAAGGGUUUCACCCUUAUAAAUAAGAUGUUUUGGUUUUAGUUUAGUAACCCCAGAGAGUUAGACACCAAGAGAAUAGCUAAAUAAGUAGGCUAUUAAAGGGUGUAAUUAGGUUUUGGGUUAAGUUUUGAGUAAAGAGUUUUAGGAGACUUUUCUCAUUCUAAAAGUCUCACAAUUGUAAAGAUUUAUUUGAUAGUGGAUUUGGUUUGGAGUAGGCUAUUUUGAGUUGGGCUGAACCAAAUACAUUUGUGUGUUUUUAUUCUUGAUUUGAGCUUGUUAUUUUGUGUGUGGUUGCUGCGCGUGGGUAUUGUUUUUCCCAACAAGUGGUAUCAGAGCGAGGUUCGAGGUUCGAGGUUUAAGGUUCGUGGGUUCAAUAGAUCGUGAAGCAGUGUUUGAAGAUGUCUGAAGAAGGUAUGUUUGGUAUGUCUAUGCCUAAGUUUGAGAUUCCGUUAUUUGAUGGAAAGAGUAAUUUUAUGUUAUGACAAAGUACGAUUCAAGAUCUGUUAAUACAACAAGGGUUGGAUCAGGCAUUAGAGAGUAGUAAGCCUGAGGGAAUGUCUGAUGCUAAUUGGAAUAUGAUUCAGAAGAAGGUUGUUAGUACUAUUAGAUUGGAGUUAACUCUAGAAGUAAAGUACAAUGUGUUGACUGAGAGUACUCCGAAGAGUUUGUGGGAUAAGCUUGAAGGUAUUUAUGCUUCGAAGUCGUUGACUAAUAGAUUAUGUUUGAAGAUGGAUCUGUAUUCUCUGAAAAUGGAAGAAGGUAUGAGUCUUCAUAAUCACUUGAAUGAGUUUAAUAGAUUGGUUUCUCAAUUGCUAGCGAUUUCUGUUGAUGAGUUAAAAGAUGAAGAGAAGGCUUUAAUUUUGCUGUCAUCUUUGCCCAAGUCUUAUAAGCCUUUAGUUCAGACUGUGUUGGUAGGCAGGUCUACUUUGAAGUUAGAUGAUGUGACUGCCCUAUUGCGUGAGAAUGAAAGGUUUAUGGGAGCUCAGAACUCAUCACCUGAGGGGAGUACACUAGCUGUAGAGGGUUUUGAUCGAGAGAGGACUCAAAAGAGGAUUGAUGGAUCAAGAUAGAGAUCUAAGUCAAGAGACAGAGAUUACAGUGAUGUAGAAUGUUAUUAUUGUGGUGAGAAGGGACAUAUCCAAGUGCGCUGCAGGAAGCUGAGAAGGGAUAUGACUGCUUUCAAAAAGGCGAAUGAUGAGAAGAAAUCAAAUGAAGAAAAUAGUGAUAUUGCUGCUGUCGUGUCUGAUGAUGAUGAUGUUGUUUUGACAACUUGUGUGGAUGAGACCCAGACUUUGAAAAGUGAUAAAGGUUGGGUUUUAGAUUCAGCUGCUACAGUUCAUGUUUGCAAUGAUAGGAGCUAUUUUGUGGAGUUGAAUGAGAAUGAAAGGUAUGGGGAUAUUGUGGUUGCUAACAAAAAAAAGGUGCAGAUUCAAGGCAUUGAGAGUGUUCGCCUUAGAUCUCACAAUGGUGUUAUUAGGACACUUCGUCAUGUAAGGUAUGUACCAAAUUGUCACUACAAUUUGAUUGCUUUGGGUGAGUUAGCUUCUCGGGGGUACACAUAUUAUGGUAGUAAUGAUUGGUUGAAAGUAUACAAGAAUGGUAGUGUGAUUCUACAAAGGAAUAGGGUCAAUAAUCAUUUGUACAUGUUUGAUGGAAGCUCAGUUGCUGAGAUGCCUGUGAUGAACGAAAAGAAGAAAGGUAAGCGUGUUAGCUUUGCAGAUACUGUUGAAGUGUUUGGAGAUUCAAGUCAAGGGAGGAUUUGUUGGGAUUUGCCUUGAAUCUCAGAAUCCCACAUCGAAAGUUAAGUAAGUUUGAAUUUGUCUUGUAUCCCACAUCGGGAGUUUAGUAAAAGUAUAAAGGGUUUCACACUUAUAAAUAAGAUAUUUUGGUUUUAGUUUAGUAACCCCAGAGAGUUAGACACCAAGAGAAUAGCUAAAUGAGUAGGCUAUUAAAGGGUGUAAUUGGAUUUUGGGUUAAGUUUUGAGUAAGGAGUUUUAGGAGACUUUUCUCAUUCUAAAAGUCUCACAAUUGUAAAGAUUUAUUUGAUAGUGGAUUUAGUUUGGAGUAGACCAUUUUGAGUUGGGCUGAACCAAAUACAUUUGUGUGUUUUUAUUCUUGAUUUGAGCUUGUUAUUUUGUGUGUGGUUGCUGCGCGUGGGUGUUAUUUUUCCAAACAAAAAUAACCUCCCAAAUCUCAACUAUGAAUUUUAUAAAAUUAAAAAAAAAUUAUAAGUAUCAUUAAUAAACUAAAGGAAUCUAUGAUCAGCCAAUAGUUUAAAAUGAAUUUCAGACCACGUCGGGAGACUUGCAUGAAUAUAUCCAUAUGAUGUCUGAUUUUGAUCGUUGCCAUUAGCAGGGUGCUGUAAACUAACCAUUAAAUUAGAGACAAAUUUUGCAAAGGUCAUUUGACAAAUACCUUUAAAUUUUACUAUUCAUAAAUUUGAAAGAGACCAAAAUUUUGGAUCAGAAGAUAGGACUCCUAAUCUCUUGAGGUCAUAAAAUAAUGUUUAGAUUAAAACGUGACGCUCUUUUUUUUAACAUAAAAUAUGGUGGGAGAUUUGCUACUUCAACUCUCAGGUCAUGAUGUAGAUGAUUUACUUAAAAUUUUCUACUCAAAUAAUAUCCAACAUGUAAGUAGAGAAGAAGAGAAGUAGUCUUGUUAUCAGUUGAUGUUAAUUUCGAGAGUGGAGUUGUCCCUUUCUGUUUCCGAGAGCCACUCUUAAUUUCUACACCAUGUCUAUUUAUCCUUUCUUCACUUUGUUAAUUUGAGAGUGACUAUACAUGAUGUUGAUGAUGCUGACGAUAUUUGAAGGGUGUCCCUUAAUCACUAAAUUAUUCUUUGCAUGUGUCAAAGAAAAUGUAAAUUAUUUUCUAGAGAAUAAAAUGUAAGUAUUUAUAAAGCAAGGUGAAAAAGGAAACAAGCCAUUUUAAUAUGAUACAAGGAUCACUUUCCGGCAAUUAACUGCCGGUUUAUAUAUAUAUUUCUUUAAUAUUGUAUUUUAUAAAGUUAUUACAUGGCAUUUUUUUCUGGUAAGCAUAAAUUAUACUGAUAAGAUAGGCAUUUCUCAUGGACAGAUACCACACCAAUUGAAUCAAUAAUGGGUUCCCCGUUGAGUCCAGCCACAAACUUCACCAUCUUACAACUCACUCCUACUUACCUUGGGGCAAGCACUGGGCAAUGAAUCCUUUCUCUCUCACCACCAAGAAUGCAUAGCAAUUUGCUGAAAAAAUACAAACUAACACACAACAAACAAUAAAUACAUUUCUUUAAUAAAAAAAAAAAACAUGUUGAAAUUUUUUUGUAAGGACAGGUUUCAUCAAAAAUAGAAGAUGUAACUUGAAUACUUACUGUUGAAUUUGCUGCAGGCGGAUUCUCCCUAAUAACAUCAUUUACAUGCAACGUUUAAAACAUUAACAUGCUUAAGCAUAUUUGACAUCUUCCUUUCCAUAAUCCAUUAAUAUAUUUUUUAUUUAUUUCCAAUUAAAAGCAAAAUUGAGUAAUUAGGUACUGAUUGUCAUCUAUAUUUACGUAAUUAGGGAGUUACUAUUAGUUUUAAAUUAGUUUUAGGCUGUGCAAUAUACGGAUAUGCAAUUUUAUAUAUAAUAUAAUUAAUAAAUUUUAUACAAAAAAUAAAAAAUUUCAAUGUAAAAUAAUAGAAAAAUAAAAAUAUUGUAGAUCAAUAUGUACCUAUAUAAUAUAAAGAAAAAUAUAUUGAAUCAUAUCUCAUCUAAUAGUGAUAUUUAUAUAAAUUUAAAUAAUAUUUGAUUUCCAACCAUAGAAAUUUAUUCCACUUAAAAUCAAUUUUUUGUAGAGACUUUUAUUUGGUGCUGCCCCUUGCUUUGGUGCAAGACAUCUAAAACUCCCAAUAACAACAACAAAUCCUCGGCUAGGUGGUGUUCAUUCUUGCAUUGUAUUCAUAAAGGUCAAAGUAAUUCAAAUUGAAUUUGCAUUAUUUGGCGAAAGAGAUUGAAAUCAUAUAUUACAUAUUAAACAUGAAUAAAAUUGUAAAUGAAAGGUAAAUAGGAGAGCAAAGACUUGUGCCAAAUUCUAACAAACUCUAAACUUAACUAAAAAAUCUCACCUUGUUUACAUCCAUUAUUAAUCAUGAAACAAAAAUCUGACAAAAUAUUCAAGGACUAAAAACUAAAAAGAGAUAAAACAUAUGAAAUUAUUCAAUUCAAAAGUUUUUUUUAAAAAAAUUAAUAUUAAAAAUGAAUAAAUAAAUAAAUAGAGUAUGAACAAGCAUAAAAAAGUGAAUAAAAGAGAAAUAAAAUCACCCAACAAGCAUGAUAAAGAAAAAAGUUUAUAAACAUAAAAAAAUAUGUAACUUGGUGAUUAAAAUUUUCUUGAUCAUAAAAAAUCAAAACAUUUGGAGGGUUUUGAAGAAUAACUUCCUAGUACUUUCAGCAUACAUAAUUCUGUAUUUAUAAUAAGAGUUUGAGAGAUUUUUAUAAAUUCUGAGUAAUUUAUGCAAAAAUUAUAAUGAGUUAUUAAUUAUUUAUGUAAUAUAUCUUUUAUUUUGAAAGGUCCACACUUAAUAUUUUGAAAAUUUUCUGUAAGACAAUAAAUUAUACCAUUUGUAAUUAAUACUUAUAUAGAAAUAAAUAUGAAAAUAUGUUUCCAUCUAAUUAGACUUUUAUUUUAGGUUUGAAUUUUCAGCAUUACAUACCUUAUAUAUUCAUUUAGAUUAAUAAAUACAUAAAUUAUUUCUUAAUUAAAUACAAAAAUCAUAGUCAUUAAAUGGUCAAUGCUUUCAAAGCAUAUUUCUUAUUUAUAAUAUAUGUAUUUGAUGUUUAAUAAAUUAUUUCUUAAUUAAAUAAAAAAAUCAUGGUCAUUAAAUAAUCAAUGCUUUCAAAGCAUAUUUCUUAUUUAUAGUAUAUGUGUUGAUAUUUAAAAUUAAGAAUUAAAUUUGGUUGAAAAUUAUUUAAGAUAAUUUAAUUGUAACACAUUUAUAAAAGGCGAGAAUAUUGAAAAUUUAUAAGAAAAUAAAUAACCUAAUUUAACCAAAUAAAUAUCUUUUAAAUUAAUUAAAUGUAUAUGAAAUCAAAUUGAAAUAACUAAGUGUAAGAUACGUGACGAUUGUUUAAAACAAUUCACAUAUAAAAAAAAAAAUUUCCACAUUAGAUUUUUUCUUUUUUUGUUUACCAAAAAUUUUGGUUUUUAUAUAUUUAUAUAAAAUCGGAUGCACAACUUAUUGGUUACAACCUGUAUAUAUAAAAUCUAAUAUUAUAAUGUAAGAUUGAUUUAUACAAAAUUGAAAAGAAAAUAAAUAUAAUUAAUGCAUUGAAAUAUUUUAAAAUUUUUAUGAAAUCAAAUCAAUUUAUAUCAAUUUGAAAAGAAAUAAAUACAAAUAAAUAUAUUUAGUACAAGACAUGUGGCUAUUGAUAAAGGUUGUCUACAUCAUCCACAUUAAACAAUUUUCUUUUUAGCCCAAAGUUUUUAGCUUGUAUAUAUUUAUAUAAGAUUAAAUAAAUGUAAUUUAAGAGUUUAAUAUUAUAAUUGGAAAAAGAGAACAUAAAAUUAUUAUAUUACGAUGACAGUUAAAGCUUUAUUACUUUAAUAUAAAUUUAAUUGAGAGUGAUUUAAGGUAAAAAUUUAAUAAAAAUAACUAUAAUUAAUUUAAUUUUUUAAAAAUAACUCAAAUAAAAUAAAAUACAUGACGCAUGACGAUUUUCAAGAUCGUUCACAUGUCAAUAAUAUAGGUCAUCCACAUUAAAAAUUUUCUUUUUUUAUCAAAAGUUUUAGCUUUUAUUAAUUUAUAUAAGAUGAAUAAUACAUCAAUUAAUAAGAAAUAUUUUAUAGUGAAGGAAAAAAAAAAAAAAAAGAAACUGCUCUCGUUUCAAUCACAACAGCACAAUUAUAAAGAGAAAUUAUUAAUAAGAAAAAAUUUCUUAUACUCCAAAUUUAAAACUGGAAUAAGCAAAAAUAAAACCCUAACUCCCUAAUGUGCUUAUCAAUAAAAAAGCGGAAAUUGAUGAUCCUAAUAUUAACAAACUGGCAAAAUUUUAAAUGAAGUUUUUUUGUGAAAUUUGUGAAAUUCUUUAUUAUAAAAAAUUAAAUAAUAAUUAAAAUUGAAAAUAAAAAAUGAUAAAUUAAAAGAUUUUAUUAUAUAGAUUAAGUGUAUAAAUUUUUAAAAAUUUUUAAUAUAUUUUUUUAUAUAGAUAUUUUUAGUAAUAUUAAUAGAAUUUUUAACGAUGAAUAAGUAUCGAUCAAAUUUGAAUUAUAAACAACAUUUUUAAUUGUUUUUUAAUAUUAUUGAUUUUCUUAUUAAAUUCUAUCAAUUUAUCGUUUUGGAUAUUUUAUUAAAAUUUUUAUUAAAUCAUUUUUAAAAAACAAUUUACAAAGUCCACCUAAAUAACUUUAUGUAAGUUUUGUCCUAACAAACUAUCAUUAAAAAAAAAGAUAAUGUCUUAUUUAACUCCUGAAAUAUUGUAGUUUGUUAGUUUUGAUAUCUAAACUAAAAAAGUUACUAAAUAGGUACCUAAACUCUCAAAUUGUAUAUCUAUUUGAUUCAUGAGUUAACUCCAUUAGAAGAGUUAUUGACUUAGCUAUUUUAGUCAAUAAAAAGUCACCAUUUGGACACAAAAUUAAAUGUCAAUUUAAGUUGUUGUUUACAUGUCAUGCUUAUGUGACCAUAUAUUCUAGAGAAGGCAAUAUAACUCGAAAUCGAGGGAUUUCGAUCCGAUCCGAUUUUUUAAGAUUUUUUUUUUUAAAAUUAGGUAUCAGGUUAGAUCGGGUUGGAUAAUAUAAGAAAAAAUUCGGAGUCGGGUCAAGGUCGGGUUUUAGGCAAAUCUGACUCUACUUGACUUGAUAUAAUAUAAAAUUAUUUUUUAAUUAUUUAUUUAAUUUUAUAUUUUUAUAUAUAUUUAAUUUUAUAUUUAUAUUAAAAAAUUUUAUAUUUAAAAAAUAAUAUUUUAUUAAUUUUGGGUCGGAAUAGGUAUGAUUUUAUAUAAUGUCGAAUCAGGUCAAUUUGGGUAUAAAAAAUAAGAAAAUUAUCAGGUAGGAUCGAGUUCGGGUUUUGUAUAUAUAAAAUCGAGUCAAAUUCGGAAUGAGCAAAAAUCUGCUUUGACCUAAUCCAUUGUUAUCACUAAUAUAUUCUAAAAAAAAUUAAAUUAGUAAAAAAAAAUAAUUCUCCCUUAAACCGUACACCUCAAAUUCAAUACUCAUACCACCAUCCACCCCAAAUUGGACAAAUUAUGAAAUUUUAGCAAAACCAAAGCUUAUGAAUUCGAAACUGCUACCUUGUAAAAUCGAAGUUGGUGCCUUCAUGAAAUCAACAACAAAUGAACCAAUUAAUCAUCCCCAUCCAUCUUCACAACCCCACUUUACCCACGAAAACCACCCAUGCCAAGACCUCUCUCAACAAUUGAAUCAACCCAACAACCCAAAAACCAAAACCUACGCUCACCACCAUAAAUUUUAAUAUAUUUUUUAAUUAAGCUUAAAAUUGAGUAUAAAAAUCAAAUUUAUAUUUUAUUAAAUAAAUAUAAUUGAUUAAGCUUGAAUAAUUUAAUUUUUAUUUCAAGUCAAACUUAAAUUUAAAAAUUAAAUCUCGAUCAAAUUCGAAUCGAAUUUUAAAUUAUAAAUUUUAAAUUAAAUUCAAAUUUUUACUAUAUCGAUUCAACUCAAUUACACCUGAUCAGUGGCAGUACGGUUAGAAGCCAAAACAUUUACACAGCUUUCGAUCUUAAAUGCACUGCUAAAAGUUUGACAUUUGAUCCCUUCCACUUUAUUUUGGCCUAAGCGAUUUUUUCGUUUACUUGUAAGCUACGAUGCAACACGAGAAGAAAAGAAAAAGUUUUAGACAUUAAAAUUUGAAUUUUAAAUUUAUUAUGUAUCAUAUUUUAAAAAUAAUUAUAUGAUUAAUUUAAAUUUUGUAUGUAAUUAUUUUUAUCACUUUGAAUCACACAACCAAUUAAAAACCAUUUGCAUGAAACAAAAUUUAUAGGAGUAAUUAAUGAACUAUUGCUUAAUCAUUUGCUUAUAGUUGUAGUAAUAAGUUAGUUUGAGUAAUUAUAAAAAGACCAAACAUCCUAUAUUUUUGCAUGAUUGAAAGAUUGGCGAUAUUUCCUUAUGUUUUUUAAAGGGAAACAAAUGAAAAUGGGAAAAAAGGAAAACUGAAAGUCUUUUCUCUUUUCCCAACAUCGUACUUCACUGAUCCCCCUUAUAUGAGUUAAAAUAUUGGGUUAAUGAAGGGAGAAAACAUAGAAUAAAACAGAGAUGACAACAUCAAAAUUCAGUCAAGAAUUAACAAUUUUAUUAUACAACAGAUAGGAGACAUCAAACAAAACCUUUAUCACACUUUCACUAUCAGAAAUCUAGCCCUUCUCAUUCCUCCACCACCCCUUGCUGUUUUCCUAACACAAAAUACGAUAAAAUUCAAAACUGAAAAAAAAAUAGAAAUAAAAAAAAGGCAACAAGUCUAUCUCACAUGGACACUAUUGCCUACUUUAAAUUUUACAUUUCCUUCAUGAUAUGAGACGUAGAAAUUAGAGCUCUGUUGACAUGUUGUUCGUGAACUGCAAGAUAGAGUAUUAAAUUUCUCAAACUCAGCUGCAUCUGUCUCUUUUCUUGUCCCCUGUAAAAUCCCUGUCCCUUACAUGAUGCAGCCAGGGUCGUGGUGCUGGGCAUAUCCAUAUGGUGGCACCUCUUGAUACACAUAUAAAGGUUGAUUAUAUGGCCACACAUAGGCCACUGGCUUUACCUCGUCUUUCUUCUCAUCUUUCUUUUCACCACCCAUGGCACUUACGCUCACAAGCUCUGUAUGCCCCACACUCUUUCUUAGCUUAAAAUUUUUAUUUUAUCUUCAAGCUUCGGUAUCUUUUGUAUAAAAAAUUAUCAAUGAAUUGAUAAUUUCGUGGUGUUAGAGUCGAAUUUAGAAUGAAUAAUUUUGAGUUCGAACCACAACUGUAAUUUAAGAAAAAAAGACUUUUUUUAUUAAAUUAAGAUAAGUGAAAAUUGUGACUUGUUAAUUUUAUUUAUAUUUGAUUGUUGGUAAUUUAAAAUGUAAUGCGUCUCAUAUUGAAUAAAAAAUUUUAAUUAUUGAUAAAUAAAAUUAAUUUUUGUAUUAAUUUUAUUCAUAUUUUAAAUAAUUAUGUUUGAAUACAAAUAAUUAUUAUAUGACAAAUCGUCAUAACUAUUUGAAUAUAAAUAGAUUAUUAUUCAUAAAGGUUAUGAUUAUACAAAAUAUCAUAACCAUCUAAAUAAAAGUUUAUUUUGUUCAUUCAUUAUAAAUAAAUAUUUCAGUAUAACCAUUUUCACUGCUUCUGAUUAGAAAGUUCGAACUUUGUUGUAUCAUAAAUGUAUAAUUGCCUUUAAGAAGUUUUCUUCACAUCUCAAAACCAAAAUUCUUUUCUAUUAUUUCUCUUCUCUUAUUUAUUUUUUUUAACAAUUGGUAGUUUAGAAUGUGAUGCAUCCUACAUUGGAUAGAAAAUUUUAAUUAUUGAUGAAUAAAAUAAUUUUUGUAUUAAUUUUAUUCAUAUUUUAAAUAAUUAUAUUUGAACACAAAUAAUUAUCAUAUGAAAAAUGGUCAUAACUAUUUGAAUAUAAAUAGAUUAUUAUUUAUAAAGGUCAUAACUAUAUAAAAGGUCACAACCAUUUCGACUGCUUUUGAUUGGAGAGUUUAAGGCUUUAUCAUAUCUUAAAGUUAUAAUUACCUUUAAAAAAGUAUUUUUCCGUGUCAAAGCCAAAUUUUUUUUUUUAUUAUUUCUCUUCUCUUAUUUAUUUUUUCUAACAAUUUAAAAGCAAUUAUAAAACAGUUAUAUUUUAUAUAAGGAAGAUAUAAGGAAAAGAAAUUAGCAUGAUUUGGAGAUCAGUAUUAAAAAAGGCUCAAGGUGUUAAAGGAUUAAUGUUUUUAUGGACCAAAAUAUUAAUUUUCAUAAAAAUCUUUAUUAGAGGUAAGUAUUUUAUUUUUCGCAUAAUUGUUGGUAAAAAGAUUGACUGAAUAAGAUAAAUAUAUUAACAAUUUAUUUUAUUAGUGUAUAAAGUUAAAACACAAUAUGUAAAAUAUUAAUUACAUUGUAUAAGUUUAUGCAUAUACUGAAAUUGACUUCACAAUUGGGUUUAAUGGAUUAUAUUAUAUCUAUUUGAAAAAUCGAUAUUUAUAAAGACUAGGAUGGGAAAUGGUCUGAAAACAUAAAAAAAGAAAGAUAUGAAUUAAUCUACGAUAAAAAAAAUUAUCACUUAUUAUAAAGUAACGAAUUAAAUUGGGUUCUAAUGAAAUAGUUAAUUAUUUAAUUGUCAUGUCUUGGUUAUAUAUAGAAUAGGUAAAUUGUCCCAUGAUUUCUAUGAAAACAAACGAAAAUAGGUAAAGGUAAUUGCCAUAAAAAAUUAGAUAUAAGUGAAGAAUAUAUUCGAAAAAUAAGAUUUGACUGUAAGAUUAGUUUUAUUUUUAAAUCAUGGCACCAAAAUUGAGAUAAUAAGUUGAGUCAAGCUAUUUGUAUAGUUCUAUGUUUGUUGGUCAUUUAUAAAUCAAAUGUUGAUAUAUUUUUUUUAAUUUAUUAUUGCUUUAAAUUUUGACUUGUGUUCAAUUUUCAAAAAACCAAUUAAAAUUAAAUUGAUAUAUGUGAAUAAUUAUUAUUAAGAUAUGGUGUUUUAAGGAUUAAUUGGUGGAUAAUAAACCAAAUAAUUGUUAUUAUAAAAAACAUGGACAAUGUGACAAGUAUUUUUACCUGCUAGGUGUAUUACACUAGAAAUGAUUUUAGAAAAUAAAUUUUAUUGUGAACAAUGACAAAGUUAAAUUCAUAAAUAGCCAUCAAAGAGUUAAUCAAUCUUUACAAAAAAGCAUUGUUGCUUUUCGCAUAUGGGACAUUGAUUAAACGAAAGGGCAUGUCAUUAAAAAAUAUUGAAGCAUUUGUCGGUUAGUAGCAUUUUGAAGGAUGCUUAUCAAUGUGUAAUUAGGCAUUUUUAUAAAUGAGAAAAGAACAUGCAAAUUCAAUGUUCCAAAUGCACCAAUACAUGUAUGUGUUGAAUUUCAUUUUGUGAUAGCAUGGAGAACAUUGGUACAGUUUGUCAUAUAUUACAAAAAUGAACAGAAUGAGAUGAAAUUUUCUUUGUUAUACGUAUAAGAAAGAUAUGGACUAUGGAGAUAGAAUGCCAUCAUCCAAUUAAUACAUUAUUGGUUAAAGACAAUGAAGAUAUUUUUACUUUUUGUGCCAAAAAAAAUGGCCUUUUGCAGGUUAUUAAAAUGAAAAGUGAAAAAUUUCUUGAGAUUUUCAAUAGUUUCAUGACAAUGGUAAGGAUGUGACUGGUUAUACAUUAUAUUAACAUAUGAGCUUAGAUAAUAAUUUGAUUUGUGAAAGCCGCAAGCCUUAGAGUUAAUCAAUCAAUGAUUUAACCAAUGCAAAUACAUCAUAAAUUUUUGUAUGAAAUAUGAGUGGAACUGAUAUUAUAAUUAUUGUUUUAUUUUAUUUUAUGAAAAUGAUUCUUUGGAUUUAUGUUUCAUGACUCGUACUAAUAUGGGGAUCUAGAUAUGAACAUAUUGAUCAUAAAAUGAUUGUGAAAGUAUUUAAAAUUGGAGCUAAAUAUACUAUGAACUCUUAUUUUAUAUAGGCAUAUUGAUCCUAUGAGUAAAGUUUUAAUUUAUUAUAUAUCCAAAAAUGUUAUGACCAAUUAAAGUGGUAAAUAAUAGAGAUAUAUAAGUUGCACAAUGAUGGAUAAAAAAAGUUCUCAUAAAAAAUUUUUUGAAAUCAAAUUUAGAGGUUUCAAUAGUCAUGAACUUGGAAUUGGCUAUUGGGCAAUUAAUAUAUGCACUUGAAACUCAUGAUAACUUUGAGAUAGUUGGUUUUUACAAAAAGCCAUCAUUAUAAAUGAAAUAACUUCAAUAGCCAAAUCUACAUGAUUUGUAGGUAUGAUGUGGAUUAUUAUAGUUGGCUUAGAAUAGCCAUAAGUCAAAAUUGAUGCCACAAUCUUGAUCAUGUUAUGGUCAUUUUUUAUUAUCAUAUGGUCUAAUUCAUGGAUUGUACAAAUAAUUUAUAGUUUAUGGUUUUAUAUAGUGAAAUUUUCAAUGUAUAUUUACUUUAGAAGCCAUGGGUUCAAAAUCUUAUGAAUAUGAAAUAGCAAAAGGAAUGCUAUUUGAUCCAUUUGGGUGAUGGAAAUGGUUUUGUUCAUGGUAAUAAAAAAUUAUUAAUAGUAUCCACGAUGAAAUAUAUUUAUAUAAGUAUUUAUGAAUUGACAUAAAAGUCUUAAAAGGAGACUAUAGAAGCAUGAUUAUAUUUGAAAUUUGCUUAUUAAUGUAAACUCUUAUAUUGAGUUUAAAUAUAAAAGGUUUAGAACUUUUAUAGAAAUAUUAAGAUAUUUGCUAGUUAUUUUUCACUAAGGGUGGAUUUGGAAGCCUCAUACUUAAAAACAAAAAUAUCACCAAUUAGUGAAAAGAUAAAUAAAAUGGCAACUUGAUUAAGUAUAUAUAAUAUCUUAAAUAAUUGAAUGAGACAUUCUUUAAUAAAAGAAUGCAUACUUGCAUAAGUAAGGGUGAUAAGAAUCAAAAUAAAUAAAAAUUACCAGUAUAGUAUUGUAAGAUUUUAGUAUAAUUUUAUGAGCAAAUUAUACAAACUAAUAAGUUUAGACAUUUAUUAAAGUAAACUCAUAAAAAAGGUCCUUAAAAAUCUUAAAAAGACUAAAAUCAUUUGGUUUAUUCAUUGAGUUUAUCAAAUUAUACUAGAAGUAUAAUUGUAUUAAAAAUGUAUAAAAGUAUGGAAAUAGAAUGGUUGAAAUUAAUGAAUAUAGAGUUAUGGCCACAACCAAAACUAAUUAUUUUUUAAAAUGAUAAGAAUGAGACAACAAUGUCUACAGCAUAUAAAUGAUAUGCAAAAUAAAAAUUUUGGACAUAUUAGCCUGAAGUGAUUAUAUUAGAGAUUCAAUUUCAAGUGGAGAUAAUUACGAUAAAAGAAAAUUAAAUUUCAAGAUAUUUGAUUAGUAGUACUACAAGUAAAAUGGAUUUAAACCUUUACUAUUAGACACCAAUAAUGGGAACCCAACAUUAAAUUAGUAACCUCUAAUUAUAAAGUUUAAUGGGUAAAAAUAAGUUAUUGUUAUGUGUUUGUUAAGCACUAGUAAAAUACAUUUAAAUUUUAGAAACUAGUGUGAUCCAUUGUAUGGGGAAGAUGAGUUUUUAUACUCUUACUGGAGUUUUAAAUGUCUAAAGCAAUAGAUACAUAAUGGAAACUCUACCUAUAUAAAUAUAGAAGUGGUGUCAUUUCAACAAAAAGAAUCAGGGUCUCUCUUGUAAAUGUUUAUUAAUAGGAUAAGCACAUUGCCAUAAUAGUGAUAAAAGCGGUUAUAAACCUCUUAUAGAAGAAUAAAUAAGUAUUAUGUGUAUUAUAUCUUCAAUUUUAAUAUUAGGAGUUGAGGUUUAAUUUGCGGACACCAUUAACUUCGUUAAAAUUUUAAGAUAUAUAUACUAAUUAAAUGUUUAAAUCAAGAGAUAUUUUUUUGUAUUCAUAAUAUUUAUUUGUAUGAAAGGUAAAAAUUAAACACCAACAUUCCAAAUUAGUAGAGGAUUGUUGGUAGUUUAGAAUGUGGUGCAUCCUACAUUGGAUAGAAGGAUUUAAUUAUUAAUGAAUAAAAUUAAUUUUUUAUAUUAAUUUUAUUCAUAUUUUAAAUAAUUUUGUUUGAACACAAAUAAUUAUCAUAUGACAAAUGAUCACAACUAUUUGAAUGUAAAUAAAUUAUUAUUAAUAAAUGUUAUGAUUAUACAAAAGGUUAUAAUAGUCUAUAUAGAAGUUUAUGUCUGUUCGUUUAUUAUAAAUAAAUCUUUCAAUAUAAUCAUUUUCACUACUUCUGAUUGGAGAGCUUAAGAUUUUUUUAUAUCCUAAAGGCAUAAUUACCUUUAAGAAAAUAUUCUUUAUACCUCAAAACCAAAAUUUUUUUUUAUUAUUUCUCUUCUCUUAUUUAUUUUUUCUAACAUAUAUAGCAUUCUGCCGAAAUUGAUACGUGAAACCCACUCACAAGAAUUUUCUCCACACCUCAUAAAAUAGGAUAUUAGCUACCAGGUGUAAGUAGGAAUAGUAAUAGAGUAGAUAUAUGUUAUUUUUAAAAUAUUCAAUUCUGAAUUUAUUUAAUAUUUAUAAUAUCUAAAUUCGUUUAAAUAUUUGUUUAAGUUUAAUAUUUUUAUUCAAAUCUGAAUCUGUUUAAAUAAAUAUUAUCCAUUUAAAUUUUAAUUCGUUAAAAUAUCUAUUUAUUUAAAUUUUUUUGUCAAAAUAUAAAAUAAAUAAGAAUUUAAUUUAAAAUUUAAAUUUACUCUUAAUUAAUAAUAAAUAAAAGUUAUUUUUUAAUAUUCGAAAGGACAAACCUUUUACAAGCAUAAAAUUUUAUAUAAUUUAUAUUCGUAAUGGAUAAUAAAUUCGGUUACAAAUUCAAAUAUUUAUUAUUAUUUACUAAAAUUUAAACAAAUUUAAAUAUUAGAUAUCCAAUAAAUAUUAUUCAUAUUCAUUCUAAAUUUAUCACAAAUAAUAAAUUUUUUGUUUGAAUCUAUUAAUUAUCCACUUAUAAUUAUUUUAAUCCAAUAUAAAGGAAUCAAAGAAUAUCCAUCUAUUUAUUAUCCAUUCCCAUCCCCAGCUUUAAGGUGAUCAAGGAAUUGAAAGGCUUUGCCAAUUGGCGAAAGAGUCUCCACCAAGAAAAAUAUUAGCUAGGGCCCUUCCAUGUCUACCACGGAUUUGCAGGACAGCGUUAGGCUACGCGGUUUAGCCUCCUUCUUUUGCUUGACUCUCUCAGUCAACACAUACGCCAAGCCUUUCGCUUUCUCCCCCGUUCAUGGCCUGGCCCAAGGAAGUCCCGCUUCUUUUUAAUAUCGCCAUUAAAUCCAAAUAAAUCUCCACUUUUAGAAAGAACCAUUUUUUUUUUUUAACUUUUGGGGCCAAAUAAAUGGAAAGUGGAAUCUUGGAUGUGUAAAUUACUCAUUUCUUGUUUAGACUGCAUCUUGAAAAACGAAGAUUUUCUGUUUACUUUAGAGAUAUAAAGUUAAAUUGUUUUGGGUCAUACACGUUGUAAUCAAAUAAUUUAGACCAAAAACAAUGACUAAUGAAGAAACAAGGCAAAUACGCAAUAUCAUAGUAGGCCAUAGAAUGAAAAACGUGUUCCGAAUGAAUAUGAUUAAAUUACUACUUAUUAAAUUGAAGAAAAAAGGAAUUCUAUUAAAGCUUCAUUUUUUGACAUUGCUCUUAAAGCAAUAUGUCAUAACGUCUAGAUCCGAAGAUCUAUCGUUAGACAUUGACUUUUAGGAAGUCGCCACCAAUCUUUUUUAUUUAGGUGCGAUUGUUCACCUUAAGAAUCUAUCCUUCCAGGGAACACCUAAGUUUAAGGGUCCCUAAAAGAAUAGGUUCAGGUCUACUAACCAGAACAGGGUUCGUGAGUUCGGUUACGUGUGAGGAAGGUUAUAGUACCCUCGCAACGCCCAUCAAAAGAUGGUACCAGCUUAAAUUUGUGUUAUCCAAUGAGCCUUAAAAUUUUACCAAAUAAUUAACUAUUAGAAAUUAUUCUCAAUUGACUCUAAUACUUUUAGCAGAAAAUUAAAAAAAUCCCCUCACCUCAAGAAUAUACAAGAAAAACUAUUGUUUCACUUGCAGAAGCUUCAUCGUCGGAUUAAUUAAGGAAAAAUAAAAAUCAAAAUCAAAAUAGAAAGGAAUGAAAUGAUGAUUGUUCUUGUGUAGAGAAAAUUGAUACUUUCAACUUUUCUCCAAAAAUAUUUUUUGAUUUUUAUUUAAAGAAAAUAAAACAAAAUAAAAGUGAAAAUAAAAAAAAUAAAGAAAAGUAAAACAAAAAUAAAAAUAAGAUAAAGAUAAAAAAUAUUAAAUAAAUCUAAUCUAAUAAAUAAAAAAUAAAUAAAUAAACAAAACAAAUAAACAAAUAAAUUAAAAAAAAAAACCUGGAGCGGCUCGGCUAUCGGCUCGGCUUGGCUCGGAGGGGGGCAGACACGCGCGGGUCAGGAAGCGGGUCGACGCUCGGGUUGGGUCGGAUCUCGGUAAAACACACGGAUCUUCUAGGUCACUUAAGGCCAAAACGACGUCGUUUUGGGAGGGUAUAAAAGGCAGUUCCCUUUAUUUUUCGGCAGAAACCUUCUCCCCUCUCUUUCUCUUCCUUCCCUUUUCUCUCAUUUCUCUCUAAAAGGCUGAAGAACUCCGGUUGAAGAUUCAUCGGAUUCUGAGAUUUGUUACCGGAAUCUGAGUUUUUUCGUCGGAAGUUCACCGGAAGUUGGUCGAAAAUUGGUUGGUUUCUGGGAAAGGUCGUCGAAAACUGGGCAGCUCACCGGAAACUUCAAAGUUGAUCGAAAUUUUUACCGAAAAAUUUAACUUUCGUCGAAAAAUUCACCGAAAUCUGGAAUUUUCCAGAAAUUCCCAGAAAAAAAAUUGCUAGAAAUCUUCAAAAAAAUUCAUACUAACUCCAGAACAUUUUUUAAUAUUUCCUUAGCCUUCUAUACUCUUCUAUCUCUCAAAUCAGUAGCUUUGCUCACUGUUUUUUCUCUAUCCAGCAUCUGUUCCAGGAGGUCCCUUUUAUAGAGAUUCAUCAAGAGUUUCUGAUCAAUCUCAAUUUCUGUUUGGACGGGGAUUCAAUCUUUAAAUCCAAUCUGGACUCUUCAGAUUGAAUUCCCAUUCACAAUGGGAUUCUUCAACUUUCAAUCAUAGCCUUCAAAAAAAAUUAUAAUAAUAAAAUAAUCGAAAAAAAAAUCAGAUAAAUGAAUAAAAAUAAAAUUAACAGAUAAUUAAUUAAAAAAAUUAAAAUAAGAUAAAUCCAAAAAAUAUUACAAGAUAAAAAAAAUAAUAAUAAUAUAAUAAUAAUAAAUAUAACUAUAUAAAUAAAAUACAUAUAAAUAUUAAAAUAAAUAAAUAAAUAAAUAAAGAUAUACAUAUAUUAAUACAUAAUAAUAAUAAUAAUAAAUAAUAAAAUACAUAAAAUACAAAAGAAGAAAAAGAAAAAAAAAUAACACAAGAUAAAAAUUGGAUUGGGCUUACCCAUUUGGGUCAGGCCCAAUUGGUCUGGGCCUGGACCCAAUUGGGUGUCUACAGCUGCCCCUCUUUACACAUUUUCUGUAAAACAGAAAUUGCGCAAAGACAUAGACACCCAAUCAAAACUCAACUCAACAUUGUCAUUUUUUAUUUUUUUUAUGUUUUUUUUGUUUUUUUUAUUUUUUUAUUUUUUUUUUUACCAAAGCUCCUCUAAAUAGAGGCUCAACGACUUUGAGAAACAUAAAUUGCUCCUCUAAACAGAGGCACCACGACUUUUGAAAGUAAAUUGCUCCUCUAAACAGAGGCACCAUGACUUUUGGAAAGUAAAUUGCUCAUCUAAAUAGAGGCACCACAACUUUGAAAAAGUAAAUUGCUCCUCUAAACAGAGGCACCACGACUUUUGGAAAAGUAAAUUGCUCCUCUAAACAGAGGCACUACGACUUUGGAAAGUAAAUUGCUCCUCUAAACAGAGGCACCAUGACUUUGGAAAAAGUAAAUUGUUCCCUGACAAUCAUGUCCAAAGGAGUUGAAAAUUGUGUUUGAAGGAGUUUCAGGAGAUUAUGCCCAAAGGUCUUAUAAAUCAAUCCUGAUACCACAAGACAUCUUAUUUCAAGGAUUAGGAACUUACCUGAUCAGUUUCUUCUCAAAUUUGCAAGAUAUCAAGAUUUGCAUUUGCAACUUGUAAGACUCGCAUCAAAGAUCCUCAUUUGAAUUUUGGAGGCUCACAUCCAAAAGUUCAAAGCUUUUUUAAAGGUUCUUAUUUGGCAAACUUGGAAUUCAUAUCCAAAAGUCUAAAGCUUUUCAUUUGAAUUUUGAAAAUUCACAUCCAAAAAAUUCAAAGCUUUUCAUUUGAGUUCAAAGGCUCACAUGCAAUAAAACUUAGAGUUUCACAUCUAAGUUCAAAGGCCCUUAUUUAAAAUAUUGGAAAUUCAUAUCCAAAAGGUUGAAUUUUGUAUUUUGGAGAUCCACAUCCAAAAGUUUAAAACUUUUCAUUUGUUCGAAGAUUCACAUUCGAUGAACUUUAGGGUUUCACUCCUCAAAGAUUCUCAUUUUGAAAUUCAAAGAUUCUCAUUUGAGUUCUCAAAAAUUAUCAUCAAAACAUUCACAAUUUCUUUUUCAAGUGACUCAAAAUUUUGCAUGAAUGACUGUUAUGACCAAAGAUGCAAAUACUUUCUUAAUGAUGCAAAUGUGGCAACCUAUAUUCUCAUAGUGCCAUGCAUGUCCAAACAAAGUUUAAUUCAUCAAAUCAUGUGCAUGUACUAUUCAAGCGACGAUGCCACCAUGAUGCAUGUAAUGCAAAUGUCUAUGCAACAAAAUUCUAAAUUAUUAUGGUGAUAUGGCUCUCAAAACUCCACCAUUUCGUAUGUCUUCCUUGUUCAGUUUCUCCAUAUUUUGAAACAAGUUUCAUCAAUCAAUCAUCACUUGACCACUGUUCAUAGACUUCUUAGCACUAAAAAUUUCAGAACAAGUUUCACCCACUAUCACUGAGUCAUUACUCAUAAGUGUCUCAGCAUUAACCAUUCCAAAACAAACUUUGUCCACUGAUUGCUUUCAUCAUUCAAUCAUAACUUGCAAGUCAUAUCGACCAAUUCAUCCUUGUAUUCAUCACUUGGUUAUACCAUUUUUCAACCCAUUAUAUCCUCCAUUUGAUCAUAUCACAUAUCCUUCCAAAUCAUCUCUUUUGGGUUUCUACCAUUUCUUUAUCAUCUUAGAUUUCUUUUCAAAUGAAUGCAAGAUUCUUUUAAGCACAUAUUCAUUCAUUCAUUAUCAUUUCAAAUCUUGACAAAUAUAAUGCAAUCAAGCAUUUUCUGAAUUCAUUCUAGGGGUGUAACAAUAAGAGAACACAUGGUAAAUUAUGGUAAAGAUAAUCAAUAAAGAUCUAUUUUGAUACAAAACAAAUGGGAAAGGAAAUGAAUUGGAUACAUGUCAUUGGGAUGGAUGGUAUGUCCAAAUGAUGAAUAUUCAAACAAUUCUCAACAUUAAUCUAGGAUUCUUUUUCAAAAACUCAUUCCAUUUACAAUUGAAGUCAUAUGGAGUUUGGCAAACUUUGCCCCAGUCUUUGAGGGAUCUUCAAAUGUCUUUGAUCUUCCAUUCAUGUGAGCCAUUUGACCUAGAUCUUUCUCUAUCAAAAUCACCCUUUCAGGUUUUCAAUUUGGAUCUCUUUUUUCCAUUUUUUCAUUUUUUCUUUUUUUUUAUCAUCUUUUUUUUUUCUCAUUUUUCAUCUAUUGUUGAUAUCUUUCAUACAUCAAACUUUACAGCAAUGUAGCAUGAUUCCAUUGCUUCAUCAUAAGCAUACCUUUGCUCAACAUGUGAUCAUUCAAGUUGAGUAUUCACACUUGAUCCAAAUGGACUUUUCAAGGUUGUAAUAUAGGCCAAGGUGAAGGGUCAUAAAAAAAUGGAUAUAAUAGGCUUAAAACAUGUAUUAAAAAGGUUCAAAACCAAAGGAUCAUUUGAUGCAGCUUGGCAUUUUGCCCCCACAUCAUUUUUUCUUUCCUCACACAAAGGAUUCUCAUUACUUUGCCCCAAGUCAUGUGUGGCAUUUAUUUUUUUCUUUUUUUUUUCUUUUUUUUUUCUUUUUUGAGACCUUUUGUAAAAAAUUUUUCAAAAAUUGCCCCCCAGUGUAGAAGGUGAUCUUUGGUUGGGGUUCCUUCGAAAAAGAAAUCAUAAUAGGCUCAAAGGGAUAGCAAUAAAUGGUUUUUCGAAUGGUAAAAGAAAGAUGGCCAUUUUUCAUCUCAAUUGUGAAUAUCUUUCUUGAACAUCAUCUAUUGAACAAAGCUCAUGAAUCUAUAUAAAAGAUUAUACAUCUUCAAGAUAUAUCUAUUUCACCUCCGGUAACAGCCUAUUUUUGCUCAAAUCAUCUUCUCAUAUUAAUAUGGAUAAGUUCUCAAAAUUAAAUCCCAAAAUUAUUGUUAUCAUUGUCUAAAUAUUCAUCAUCUGAAAUUUAAGAAUGGGGGUAUAAAGUUAUGAAAGGUAACAGAGCAUGGAGUAAUGGUCAAGUGAAAGAGAAAAAUGUAAUAAAAUGCAUUAACUUGCCUUUAUUAAAAUGAUAACAAGUAAAGUCACAUUGCAAAAGAAAAUCUAACAUUAUUUGAAAAGAAAUCCUAAAAUGACAGAAGAAACCUUCAACCAGCCUUAUCUCCAUUUUUUAAAAUUGUUGCCCUAUGCGAUCAGGUGAAGAAUCUCUAUUGACAUCUUGCCCCUCAAUUCAUUAUGACUUUUUGGACCCUUUCUGUUCUUGACUUUCACUCGGAGUGCUAACAUUAGAUGUUGUUGCUUUUCCUUGAUCAAAACUUACCAUUCCAUCAUUAAUCAAUCGUUGCACCUUAUACUUUAAAGCAGUGCAAUUUUCAGUAGAAUGGCCAGUAAUUCCAUAGUGGUAGUCGCAGUGGGCUAUAGGAUCAUACCACUUUGGAUAGGGUGGUUUAAGCGGCUCCAUAUGGCUGGGGGCAAUCAAAUGGCUAUUAUAGAGUUCUUGAUAUAACUCUGUAUAAGUCAUAGGGAUUGGAUCGAAUACAGGUUUUUCUUGAGUAGUCCGUUGUUCUCGUGAACCACUUGCUGGGUUAGUAAAGCGGAUUUGGGUUCUUGCAGGAGCUUGAAUGUUAAGGCUAUAUGUAAGAUCUUGAGGGCUAAAAAUUGAUCGAUAUGUGGAUGAAUAAGGUGGUUGUGGAGCUAGCUGAUAUGGGUAGGAUGAGGCAUUAUUCACAGCAGGAUAGUAUGGAGAGUAACCUUGGGGUGGAUAGGGUUGAUAACUCCUGAAUUGUUGUCUAUCAAAGCUCACAGCUUGAGCUUUAGCUUCUUUCUUUUCUGAUGCCUUCUUGGUUUCUCCUCCUUUCAACUUAUCAUUUUUUAUGGCACUAUCAAUAAUUUCUCCAGAGAUUACCAUGUCAGCAAAAUUUUUUGCUGCAUUCCCUAUCAUCUUUUCAUAAUAUGGAGGUUUUAAAGUGCUAACAAACAGCACUGUGGUCUCUUUCUCAGUCAGUGGAGGUUGUACUUGUGAAGCUAUAUCUCUCCAUCUCUGGGCAUAUUUUUUAAAAGACUCAUUUACCUUUUUCUCUAGAUUCUGUAAAGAUAAACGAUCAGGAGCUAAAUCGAUAAUGUGUCGAUAAUGACUGAUGAAGUCAUGAGCUAUAUCGGUCCAAGAUCGAAUGUGAGUCAUAUCCAACUGAACAUACCAUCUGGCAGCUGAACCUGUAAGGCUAUCCUGAAAGACAUGCAUCAAGAGCUUUUUAUCAUGAGCAUGAGCUGUCAUUUUUCGGUAAUACAUUGUGAUGUGAGUUUUGGGGUACUUUGUACCGUCAUAUUUUUCAAAUUUUGGUACUUUAAACUUAUGGGGGAUAACCACAUUAGGAACUAGGCAAAGCCCAGCAGCAUCAACUGACCCAUAAAAGCUAAAUCCUUCCACAGCCCGUAGCCUUUACUCUAGCAUACUAAUCUUGGAGCUUUUCUAAACUUUCACUCUUAUCUUUUUUUUCUCUUUCUCUUUUAAAUCAUCUAGAUCAGGAAUUGGUUCUGCGGCUUUUUCAUUAAAGAUAGGAUUUACAUAGCUGUUAUACUACCCUGGGUUAAAAGUUGAUGGCAUUCCAGGAUAUGUUGGAUAUGCGAAGUGUUGUGGCGAGACCUCUUGAGUAGACUGGACUUGAGGUGGGCCAAAACCUGGAGGAUAUAAAGGGUCAGCCACUUCCUGCAACGGGGGAACUUGUUGGCUUGUAUCUUCUUCAACUCUUUUUCCUUUAUUCAUGUUAUUAAGAGCCUCCAGAAUUUUGCUCAGCUCACUUUCAAUCUUUUCCUGUGCUUUUUCUAUUUUUUCAAAUCUAUGAGAAUUUUUCUGCUCCAUUUGUUUUGCUUUGGAUCUUGUGUUGUAUCGAUGGGCAGGGUUCUCACUAGAUGGAGCUAUCCUUGAACCUUUAGCACCAUAUCUUAUGAUUAGAAAUGUAUGCUAUGCUUUAUGUCUGAUGCUUUGAUGCACUAAUGAAAUGUACAUUUUUCUAAAUGAAAUCUAGUAUGAAAUGGAUGUAAAUGAUUGUGUUAAAACAUGAUCAUAAAAAUAAUGCAGAUGCAUACAAUCAGACAAACAACAUAGUUAGUUCCAUGGAUGAAAUGAAAGUGAUGUUGAUGCAUAAUGUUACAUAUGAUAAUGAAAAUGAUACACAAAGUUAAACAACCAAAAUGAUUAGAUAAACACCCUUUUUGUGUCUUAAUUUCAGGGUAUAUCUAUCAUUGGGUAGAAAGGGCUCUAUCCUAGGUUUAGGCACUCUUAAGGUUCACUAUAUGCGGUUUUUAGGUCAAAGUCUAAAGGUCCUCAAAUUGUUCCUUACAUCCUUGUCCAUCACAGACUAGUAAGGCACCCUAAUCCUUACCCAUUACAGGCUACAAGCGAAAAAGGUUCAAUUUGAGUGAGAGUAUUUUGCUAGCCACUGCGGAGGCAUUAGACCUCACGAAAGCAAUAGGUACUUUACUCCCUCCUAGAGGGUCGGAGCUCGGGUAUAGAGCUCAUGUUAUGCACAUGCAUAUGAAUGACAUAAUUAACAAGGUAAAUAAACAUGAAUGAAUAAUAACACAUAUAUACAAAAAGGUUCAAUUUUAUUAGGCUUUUGGAUAACACAAAUUAUUUGCUGGCCUGACUCUCAAAAUCCCCAGCGGAGUCGCCAAGCUGUCAUAACAUCUAGAUCCAGGGAUCUAUCGCUAGACAUUGACUUUUAGGGAGUCGCCACCAAUCUUUUUUAUCUAGGUGCGAUUGGUCACCUUAAGAAUCUGUCUUUCCAAGGAACACCUAAGUUUAAGGGUCCCUAAAAGAAUAGGUUCAGGUCUACUAACCAGAACAGGGUUUGGGAGUUCGAUUACGUGUGAGGAAGGUUAUAGCACCCUCGCAACGCCCAUCAAAAGAUGGUACCAGCUUAAAUUUAUGUUAUCCAAUGAGCCUUAAAAUUUUACCAAGUAAUUAACUAUUAGAAAUUAUUCUCAAUUGACUCUAAUACUUUUAGCAGAAAAUUGAGAAAAUCCCCUCACCUCAAGAGUAUGCAAGAAAAACUACUGUUUCACUUGCAGAGGCUCCAUCGUCGAAUUAAUUAAGAAAAAAUCAAAAUCAAAAUCAAAAUAAAAAGGAAUGAAAGGAUGAUUGUUCUUGUGUAGGGAAAAUUGAUACUUUCAACUUUUUCUCAAAAAUAUUUUUUUGAAAUUUAUUUUUUUAGGAAAAUUGAUACUUUCAACUUUUCCCCAAAAAUAUUUUUUGAUUUUUAUUUAAAGAAAAUAAAAAAAAUAAAAGUGAAAAUAAAAAAAUUAAAAAAAAAGUAAAACAAAAAUAAAAAUAAGAUAAAGAUAAAAAAUAUUAAAUAAAUCUAAUCUAAUAAAUAAUAAAUAAAUAAAUAAAACAAAUAAACAAAUAAAUUAAAAAAAAAACUGGAGCGGCUUGGCUAUCGGCUCGGCUCGGCUCGGCUCAAGGAAGAGAAACGGCUCAGGUGGGCAACUUGGGAAGCUCGGCUCGGCUCGACUUGGCUCGGAGGGGGGCAGACACGCACGAGUCAGAAAACGGGUCGACGUUCGGGUCGGGUCGGAUCUCGGUAAAACGCGGAUCCUCUGGGUCACUUAAGGCCAAAACGACGUCGUUUUGAGAGGGUAUAAAAGGCAGUUCCUUUCAUUUUUCGACAGAAACCUUCUCCCUUCUCUCUCUCUUCUUUCCUUUUCUCUCUCUUCUCUCUAAAAGGCCGAAGAACUCCGAUUGAAGAUUCACCAGAUUCUGAGAUUUGUCACCAGAAUCUGAGUUUUUUCGCUGGAAGUUCACUGGAAGUUGGCCGAAAGUUGGUUGGUUUCUGGGAAAGGUCGUCGAAAACUGGGUAGCUCGUCGGAAACUUCAAAGUUGGCCGAAAUUUUUGCCGAAAAAUUUAACUUUCGUCGAAAAAUUCACCGAAAUCUGGAAUUUUUCAGAAAUUCCCAGAAAAAAAAUCGCCAGAAAUCUUCAAAAAAAUUCCUACUAACUCCAAAACACUUCUUAAUCUUUCUUUAGCCUUCUAUACUCUUCUAUCUCUCAAAUCAGUAGCUUUGCUCACUGUUUUUUUCUCUGUCCAGCAUCUGUUCCAGGAGGUCCCUUUUAUAAGGAUUGAUCAAGAGUUUUUGAUCAAUCCAAAUUCCUGUUUGGACGGAGAUUCAAUCUUUGAAUCCAAUCUGGACUCUUCAGAUUGAAUUCCCAUUCACAAUGGGAUUCUUCAAUUUUCAAUCACAACCUUAAAAAAAAAUCAUAAUAAUCAGAUAAUUGAAAAAAAAAUCAGAUAAAUGAAUAAAAAUAAAAUUAACAGAUAAUUAAUUAAAAAAAUUAAAAUAAGAUAAAUCCAAAAAAUAUUACAAGAUAAAAAAAUAAUAAUAAUAUAAUAAUAAUAAAUAUAACUAUAUAAAUAAAAUACAUAUAAAUAUUAAUAGAAAAAAAAUAAAUAAAGAUAUACAUAUAUUAAUACAUAAUAAUAAUAAUAAUAAAUAAUAAAAUACAAAAAAUACAAAAAAAAAAAGAAAAAAAAUAACACAAAAUAAAAAAUUAGAUUGGACUUACCCAUUUAAACCAGAUCCAAUUGAUCUGGGUUUGGACCCAAUUGGAUGUCUACACAAUAAAAUUUCUUGCAACGUUAGAUACAAGGGCAAAACCAACAAAAUUAUGAAAGAAGGUCGAAAUAGUAAAUUAAGUUAGAAAAAGGAACGGAGUUUUAUAUUAAAGGUACCGAGCCACCAGAAUAGCCCUUGGUUAAAUAGGAUAAGAAUUGUGAUAAAAAUUUCAAUUAUAAGAUGAAUUUGUUUCCAAUGAGUAAAGUAAGUACUUGCAUUGGAGUUACUGUAAAUUUUCUCUGUCUCUUUUUUUUUUUUUGAUAUAUUAAUUACAAACUUUACUUUUAAAUGCAAUUUGAUCACAAUCUUGAUACCAGACUAAAUCCAAUCAAAUUUUCUUAUUUUAUUUUCCGAACAUAUAUAUAGUUAUUUUCUUAACAAUAGGAAGGCAUAAAAUUGUUUUUGCAAUAAGCAUAAAGUCCUAUUAUUAUUAUUAUUAUUAUUAUUAUUAUUAUUAUAUAUACAGUGAAGAUAUAGUCAUUUCCCAUUUCUUUAUAGUCAACGCAAGUUCUUAUGUUUCGGAGGGAGAUUUUAACUCUUUCCUGAGUUAGAAAAUACAUGCACUGACUUUUUUCAUCACUUGAUAGAUAUUAUAUGAUGAAAUUUGAAAUUUUUUUAGAGUUAGUAUUUGAUAUAUUGUUAGUGUAAAUUUUUAAUUUGACAAGUAAUAUUAAGAGAUUGAUAAAUAUUUUAUUUUUAAUUUUUUUAAAUAAUCUAAAAAAAUGCAUGACACCUUUUAAACCUUAUUUUCUGAAAUUUAAAAAUUUUAUUACUAAUGUAUUUAAAGUUUUAGAAUGAAAAAGACACAUGGAUGACAAAAAUCACUGUACAUGAUGACGAUGAUAUUUGAAGGGUGCCACCUUAAUCACUAAAUUAUUCAUUGGAUGUGUCAAAGAAUAUGUAAAUUAUUCUCUAAAGAAUAAAAAUUUAAGUAUUUAUGGAGCAAAGUGAAAAGAACAAAUCAUAAUAUAUGAUACAAUAUCACUUUUUGAUCGGUAUUGUGAGUAUUAUAUUUUUUUUAUUGUGUUUCAUAAAUUAUAUAUGCAUUUUCUUCUAUAAGUAUAAAUUAUAUUAUAAGAUAGGAUUCCUAUGGACAGAUACCACACCAAUUGCAUCCAUGAUGGAUUCUCUGUUGAGUCCACCCACAAACUUCACCAUACUACAACUCACUCUUACUUACCUCGGAGGCAAGUAUUGGACAAUGAAUGCUUUCUCUCUCACCACCAAAAAUGCAUAGCAAGUUGCAAAAAAGUAAAAAUAACACACAACAAACAAUAAAUACAUUUCUUUGAUAAAAUAAAAAUCGACAAAAAAAAAAAAACAUGUUGAUAUUUUUUUGUAACGACAGGUUUCAACAAAAUAGAAGAUGUAACUUAAAUACUUACUGUUGAAGUUACUACUGCUGGAUUCUCCCUAGCUUCCUGAUUAGUCUCUAGUAACAUCAUUACAUGCAACGUUUAAUUAAUCAAUAUCACAAAAAAACACUAAUUAAGGGUAAUUUAAACUUGCGACAAUAAAUACAAUUCUUUAAGUUGGUACAUGCCAGCUGGUUAUGUAUUUUCUGACUACAGGUUGUUGAUAAACUACUCACAAUGAUUUUAGCAUCAACAUCGUCUUACACAGAGAAACAAGAAAUGAAAUCAAGAAGGCAAGAUGUGAAGAAGCUCGAAUAAAGCCCUCAAACACUUAUACAAAACAAAGGCAUGCAUCGAGUCUUUUAGGGAUUUUCAAUAAAACAAACACAGUAAUAACAAUCUUGUAUGACUUUUUGUCAAAUUAAUAUUUUCCAUCCAAAUUGACGCUUAUCUCUAACACCCUUCUUGUGUUCGUUUUUAGAGUGUAGUUAUUAUUCAGACACGGUGGAACCGCGGAGAAGGCUGUCGCUUUCUCGCAUUGAUGAUACUAUCAAAUUGUAGCUUUAUCCACUAAUCUAGUCCGCCUUCCGACUUUCUUAUUUGCAGCUUUGUAUGCAAGAAUAGCCCACAACUUAGACUUAUUUUAUUUAGUAUUACUUUUUUUUUCAAAAUUUUUAGAAAUAAAAGGUAAAUUUUAUUAAAAAUGUAAGGUACACACUAAUUUGAGUAGGUACUUAAACCUUUAUCACACUUUCAAUAUAAGAAAUCUAGCGCUUCUCAUUCCUCCACCACCCCUUGUUGUUUUCCUACCACAAUAUAUGAUAAAAUUCAAAACUGAAAUAAAAAAAGAAAUAAAAAAAGGGCAACAAGUCUAUCUCACAUGGACACUAUUGUCUCUUUAAAUUUUACAUUCCCUUCAUGAUAUGAGACGUAGAGAUUAGAGCUCUGUUGACAUGUUGUUCGUGAACUGCAAGAUAUAGUAUUAAAUUUCUCAAGCUCAGCUGCACCUGUCUCUUUUGUUGCCCCCUGUAAAAUCCCUGUCUCUUACAUGAUGGAGAAGAUGUCAUGGUGCUGGGCAUAUCCAUAUGAUGGCACCUCUUGAUACACAUAUAAAGCAUGAUUAUAUGGCCACACAUACUCCGCUGGCUUUACCUCAUCUUUCUUCUCAUCCUUCUUUUCACCACCCACGGCACUCAUGCUUACCAGCUCUGUAUGCCCCACGCUCUUUCUUAGCUUAUUUGUUAGCUUAACUGGAUCAAACCCGUCUCUUGUUACUUCUAUUUGGCUCUUGUCAUUGUUGCGCCUGAAGCAAUAAUCACAACAAUAUAGAAGCAAUAGACAACAAUCAAUAAUAAAAAACGUAAGAAAAAUAAAACACACCAAGAUUUACAUGAAAAAUCCUUCAGUGUAGAGGAAAAAAAUCACGGACCACCAGAAAAAUCGUUACUAUCAAAUAAUAGGUAUACAAAGUUCUUCUCUAGCUAAAACAAGAGCUAAUCAACAACUAGAUAAACAAUUGGAAAAAUCUCAUCAAAUAAGUGACUUAACAAAUACACCUUGAAUUUGUUCCUAGAGAGCUUCAAACCCGAUUUUCACCGUUCAAAUGUAAAACUCUAAAUCAUAAAUCUCCUAACAAGGUUCCAACUCAAUCAGACCAUGGAUCGACUUCCGUUUAACCAACUCUCCCUUUUUUUUUUCUCUAUGCUUUUUCUGGCUUUUCUUUUUUCUCUACUUGGUUUUUGACACACCCUUAAAACAACCCCACCUCUUUUUUAUUAAGUAGCUAGGGCUAUGUGUAAAAUGAAAGAUCAAGACCCAUGACCUUUACUUGGUCCAAAAUCACUUACAUGGGGCUAGAUCCCAUUUUCCUAACAAUCUCCCCCUCCAAUCCCAUUAGGAAGAGAUUCAUCACCAUAGUAGUUUCAUUUGAAACUUACCUUGGCCAGGAAACUCAUUCCGUCCAAGUUACUGCAGAGCUCAAGCUUUUUCCUGAAAAGUAUCUUAGUCAACAUAUCUGCUAUAUUCUUAUCAGUAUGGACUUGCUUCAACAACAUCUAAUGUUCUUUGAUCACUAAACAUAACCAAUGAUAUCUAACAUCAAUGUGUUUUAUUCUAGCAUAGUACAUGGCAUUCUUACUCAAAUCUAAAGCACUCUGACUAUCAUAAAAUAUCACAUACUCUUUUUUAUUCAACCCCAAUUCAAAAAAAAAUGUUUCAUCCAAAGCAUUUUUUUACAUGCUUCGGUUGCUGCAAUAUACUCAGCCUCUGUAGUUGACAAAACAAUACACUUCUGCAACUUAGAUUGCCAAGAUAUAGCUCCUCCUGCAAAAGUGAACAAAUACCCUGAAGUAGAUUUUUUACCAUCAAGAUCGCCUGCCAUGUCAACAUCAGUAAAUCUUUCUAGAACUGAUUGUGAAACUUUAUAAGUCAAGCACAUUUUUUAGCUACCCUUCAAAUAUCUAAAAACUCAUUUCACUGCUUCCCAGUGAACUUUUCUCGAAUUAGAAAGAAAUCUGCUCACUACACCAACUGCAUGAGCAAUGUCAGGCCUUGUACAAACCAUAAGAUACAUUAAAAAACCGACUGCAAAAGAAUAAAGAAUACUAGACAUAGCUAGUUGCUCUUCCUUAGACACUGGAUAAGAUUUCUUACUUAGAUGAAAAUGGUUGGCAAGUGGACUACUAACUGAUUUAGCAUGUUGAAUGUUGAAUCUACCAAGCACUCGUUCAACAUACGUUUCCUGUGACAACCACAGCUUUCUAGCUCUUUUAUCUCGGAUAAUGUCCAUACUAAGAAUCUACUUUGCUGGACCUAAAUCUUUCAUAACAAAGGACUUAGACAAUUAUUCUUUCAACCUGCAAACCAUACUAGCAUUUUGUCCUACAAUCAACAUAUCAUCAACAUAUAAUAAUGGGAUAAUGAAGUUUCCAUUAGAAAAUUGUUUAACAUACACACAAGAAUCCGUUGCUGUUUUUUUAUAGCUAUGACUCACCAUAAAAGAAUCAAACUUCUUGUACCACUCUCGCGGAGCUUGUUUCAAGCCAUACAAGUUUUUCUUCAAUUUGCAAAUUAAGUGCUCUUUUCUUUUCACUUCAAAACCCCUCAGGCUGAUUCAUAUAAAUGUCUUCCUACAAAUCAACAUGCAAAAAUAUAGUUUUAACAUCAAGUUGCUCAAGCUCAAGAUUACACUCUAAGGGUAACCCUAUCAUCCUUUCAACCAUGACAUAAAAUUUUUGAAAAUACUGUAGUACCUGACUUUUGUAUUUCAACAUAUACACCCAAGUCUUACAUUAAGCAUCAUCAAUAAAAGUAACAAAAUAUUUGUUACUACUUAAUGACUUAACCUCAAUGAGAUCACAUACGUUAGAAUAAAUUAAUUUCAAUCUAUUUUCUUUUCUCUGAGAAUUUUUACGAAAAGAAACUCUAUGAUUCUUACCAAACAAACAAUAAUCACAUGAAUCGAGAAAUAUACUUUUAGUCAAGGGAAUAAGAGACUGCCUUGCCAAAACCUAUAACCCCUUUUCACUUAUGUGUGCCAGCCUCAUGUGCCACAAGUUUGCUGAAGCAUCAUUUUCAACGGUAUUUACCUGGUUACCGUUUAAUUGCAACAAUGUCUUAUACAUUGUGUAACAUAGUUUUCCCCUUGCAACUAUCAUAGAUCCUUUGAGAAGCUUCUACUGUCCAUUCUUUUAUCGGCUUUCAUAUCCCUUUUUAUCAAGGACAUUAAUAGCAAGCAAGUUCAUUUUCAUAUCUGAAAUGUGUCUGACAUCCCUUAAAGCCAACAUGCAGCCUGUACUAGUUUAUACAAUAAUAUCACCAAUCCCAAAAAUCUGUAACACACUCUUGUUUCUCAUCUUGGUACAACCAAAGUCUCAUACUUUGUAAGUUAUAAACAACUCACUCUUAGAAACACAAUGAUAUGUCGCUCCUGUGUCAACUAUCCACUCAAUGUCAGGAUCACUAACAUGAUUACAAUUACCAUGUGUACAAAUCAAAGUAAUUGAAUCACUAUCUGAAUUCACUGCUACAACAUUGCUAUCAUCUGAACUCUUGCCUUUCUCAUCUUUUCACUCUUGCUUUAAGAUUUUACAAUUUCAUUUUAUAUGACCUGCCUUAUCACAAUAGAAACACUUCACUUUACCUCUAGACUUGGAUCUAUGUUUAGACUUACCACGACCUUUUGAGUCCUGACCUCUGUCGAUGUUUUUAUCCUUAUUCUUUGUGACCAAAGCUUGAUUCUCAAGGUCUAUAUCUUUUCGUCAUGCUUCUUCAUUAAGCAUAUUGUCUUUUACCAUCUCCAAUGUCACCUUAUAAUCAGGAGUUGAAUUAAGAACAAUCACAACUAGAGUAUUCCAGCUGUCUGACAAUGAACCCAAAAAAAAUAACACCUUCAUUUCAUCAUCCAUCUUAAGCUCUAUAGUAGUUAUCCGAUUAAAUAUAUCUUGAAAAUCACUCAAGUGCUCUGUAACAGAUCGUCCAUCCAUGUACUAUAAAGUUGUAAGCUUUUUAACAAGCAUAAUUUUAUUCAUACAAGUUUUUCUCUCAUACAAUGCUGUCAAUUUUUUUCAAAUAAUGUGAGCAUCUGACUCCUGUGUUACAUGAUGAAACAUGCUGAUAUCAAUCCAUUUUCUGAUUGUAGCCAGCGUCUUUCUACCUAGCUUCUUCCAGUUUUCAUCUUUCAUAUCUGCUGGUUUAGUCGAAUCACCCAAUACUGGCUCAUACAAAUCUUUGCAGUAUAGAUGUUCCUUCAUCAUAGGCUUCCAAAUUGAAUAAUUUAAUGCUGUCAAUUUUAUCAUUGAACCUGUAUCACCCUCUAUGAUCUUAAAUAGAAUUUACUUCUAUCUUGGGUUGCUUUUGUAUCGAUGUCUCAAAAUAACCUUAGCUCUGAUACCACUUGUUGCGCCUGAAGCAAUAAUCACAACAAUACAGAAGCAAUAGACAACAAUCAAUAAUAAAAAACACAAAAAAAAUAAAGCACACCAAAAUUUACGUGAAAAACCCUUCAGUGUAGAGGAAAAAAAUCACGGACCACAAGAAAAAUUUUCACUAUCAAAUAAUAGGUAUACAAAGUUCUUCUCUAGCUAAAACUAGAGCUAAUCAACAACUAGAGAAACAAUUACAAAAAUCUCACCAAAUAAGUGACUCAACAAAUACACCAUGGAUUUGUUUCUAGAGAGCUUCAAACCCGAUCUUCACCGUUCAGAAUGUAGAACUCUGAAUCAUAAACCUCCUGACAAGGUUCCAACUCAAUCGGACUACGGAUUGACUUCUAUUCAACCAACUCUCCAUUCUCUUUUUUCUCUCUGCUUUUUCUGGCUUUUCUUCUUUCUCUACUUGAUUUUCAACACACCCUUAAAACAACCCCACUUUUUUUUUAUUAAAUAGCUAGGGCUAUGUGUAAAAUGAAAGAUUAAGACCUAUGACCUUUACUUGAUCCAAAACCAUUUACAUGGGGCUGAACCUCAUUUUCCUAACAGUCAUCACCUUUCAAUGAAGCAGACUCCACUCCUUGACACAAAAAAAAAAAAAAAAAAAUCAGCAAUCAGCAUAAAAAUUUUCCCAAUAUUUUAUUAUCAGAAUGAAUGAAAUCAAAGUGAGUUUCAGCUUGUUUUUACUACCUGAGAGACCGAGCACAAUUUGCAAGGCCUUGGAGCGGGACUUCUCUCCAUUCAUAGUUACCUUAACCACAAUCUUUUGCUGCAAAAAGGAAAAUCUCAGUUCAACAUAAAAUCCAUCAAUCAAAGAAACUUCUAAUUUCAUGAUUCAUUUUCAUACCUUCACGGUGUCGUUUAUCUGUUAAGAUAGAUUAAAAGAGAGUAGGAAAAUGCUGGCGAUGGCGAUGGCGAUGGCGAGGGAAAGAUGUUUGGAGGAAGCGGCUAGAGAGGAAGUAACUGCUUACUUGUUUUGUUUUGGCGCAGGCAGAAACAUUUUUUUGGCAUUUAUACACCGUUCGGGAUUGAGAAUUUGCUAGGACCUGAGCUGUAUGCAUAUUUCUUUGCAACUUCCAGGAACCGUUGAUCUUCAUUGUAAGGUGAACCACCAAGUUUACAUGGUCAGCUCUUCCACUUUAGUUCCGUACUUUGUCGCACUCGAACAUUCUCCGACUCAGUUCAAACAAAGAAUAUUUUUUUUUUACAAAGGCGGUUUGAAUCUUUUUAUUAUAAUAAAAUACAUAAAAAUAUAAACAUCACAUGUAUGUAGCUCUUAUUAUAAUUUUAAAUUCCAAUUUUGUAAUAGUCAUUGAUGAAAGAGAAGCAUUUUAGUAAAAUUAAUAAUUUAAUUUAAUUAAUUAAUAUAAUUAUUUUAAAAAAAUAUAUUAAAUAAAUUUAUUAUUCAAAUUUUAAUACUUAUAACUCCUUUCACUAUUUUCAAACUAUUAUUUGUAAAAAUGAUGUAAAAAAAAAUCAAAGAUAUAUUUCGCUUGUGAGGUCAUGAAUCUUGAUAAGGUUGAAGGUUUGCUAAUACAAUUAAUUUAAAAAAAAAAAAAAAAACAACUUCAACAAUACUUUCUGACCAUUAAAUCCUAUAUAUAAUUCAAACAUUUAUGCCCAAAUCUCUUAUACGAUUUGCUCAAUUAGCAAUGACAUUGGUUUAUCAUAUAAUUAAUUUUGUAGAGAAUAAGGAAAGAGGGAAUGUUUAUUGGUACCUCAUCCUUUCUCCAAUUUUUAUUUUUUUAUUUAUUUAAUUCUAUAUAUAAAAAUAUUUUUUCAUUAUUUAUUUAAUUUUAUAUGUAUAUAUAUUUUAAAAAAUAUUAUUUAAUAUCUUAAUCUAAUAAAUUUUUGUGUCAUCUCAUUUGACUUUUCUAUCAUUAUCUUUAUUUUUUAAAAUUUUAUUUAUUAGAUAAAUUUUCUAAAAAAAAAAAUAGAUGUACAGAUGACAAAACAUAUUAUGUCCAAUUAAUUUUGAAUUAUCAUAAUUCAAUAGAUGUGAUUUUUUUUUAAAAAAAAUUGAGUUAGAUUUAUCUCUUUGAAUAAUUUAGGUAAAAUCAAGAUUAAAUUUGGGAUAUUUUACCCUACCUUCCUCGGGAUAUAUAAAAAAAAUAUAUUUAAUUAUUUAUUUAAUUUAUAUCUAUAUAUGUAUUAUAUUAAUUAAAAUAUUAUUUAAUACUUUAAUUUAAUAAAAAAAUUACAUUUAUAUAUAAUUCAAUUAUAAUUUAUAUUAAAAAAUGAAUACAUUUAAAUUUGAUUAUACGUUUUCAUCCAUUAAAUUUGAUAUAAAAAUUUUAUUUCUUUUUUUUUUAAACAUAAUGUAGAUACCCAUUUUUUUCGAUAUCAAUUAUUAUUAUUAUAUUAUUAUUAUUAUUAUUAUAUUUUUCCUUUUUUCUUUUAUUUUCUUCCUUCUUAUUUUCUUUUUUGGUCUAUUUGACAAAAAUCUUGGUGUAUUAAAUGCACCCUCCCUAAAGUUUAAAAUCUUAGUCGCCACCAACUGCCGACAACCACCUGACACCUUUGCAUAACUUGGCAAUGUGGAUUUCAGCCACCAAAAGUCUACCAGACUCGUUGAAAAUAUGAUAUUUGAAUCUAAAAAAAUCUAAGAUUUAGAUCUAAAAAAACUCUAUAAAUAGAGCUACCUUCCUGCAAGAAAAGAGAGGAAGGAUCCAUAAAAGAAAAACUUUGCAAAAAAAAACAAAAAAAAAAAGAAAAGAAAACCUUGAAAAAAAAAACACCUAGAAAAAAAAAAAAGCUCUACUAGAUUAAAAAAAAAGUCGUUUUGUAAAAAAAAUUAAAAACAAAAACAAACACACAAAAAAUCACAGUCCCUAGAAUGGGAACCAACGUUACAAAAAAAAAACCAAGCAAAAAAAAAGGAUCCUUUUGGUUGAAUCUUUCAAGCUUGAUUUAUGCCAUUUGGAGCCUUAUUUUACAAAAUCAGGCCUAGAUUCUUGUUUAGGGGUUGAGGGAAAUGUUUUUUUUUUUUAAGCUUCAGGGUUUUUUGGCAAUUGACGAUCGACAAACGAUGACGGCAAUUGAAGAACAGCACGGUCAUUGACAUCCACUUUUGAGAGCAGCGACAGCCGGUUGAGGACUAGAAAGGGGGAGUUUGGGAAAGAGAGAGAAAGAGGAAGAAAUAAAAUAAAGUAAAAAAAAUUUUGGCUUUUAUAUAGUUGAAAAAAAAGAAGCAAAAUGACACUAUUUCACAGACCCAGGAUAUGCGUGUUAACCCGACAAUCCGACCCAGGGUCUGUGCAACCAACAUUCGAUUCGUACCUCUUUAACCAUUGACCGGUCCAGUUGAACCAUUAACAGGUCUAGACCAGACCGUUGCUGACCAACUUGCCCAAAUUAGCAUUGACUGAACCAUUGAUCGGUUUAGUUCAAGUAAAAAAAAUUUUAAUUUUUAAAAUUUUUUAAGUAUUAUUUUUAUUAUUUUAAAAUUUAUUAUUAGUAUUUAUGCAUAUUAAAAUGUUUAAAUUUGCUAUAAUAAAUUUUAUUGUGUUUAUGAUGAUAAUUAGUAAAAAAAUAAAAAUAAAAUAAAUAAAUAAUAAAAUACAUAGUUAAAUUUUUGAUAAUUUUGUUAAAUUUUGGAAUAAAUCUUAUAAAAUAAUGAUAAAAAUAAUAAUUAAUAAUUAAUGACUAUAAUAAUAAAAAAAUGGUUUCUAACCUUUGAUAAUUUUUUAAAAUUAAAAAUAAAAAAUCGUAAAAAUAACCAAAAAAAUAAUUAAUAUAAAUAAUAAAAAAUUAGUAAAAAUGUAAGAAAAAAUGUAAGAAAAAAAAUUUUAUCCAACGAUGAAAUUCAAAGGUACUCCGAGUAUCAAUGCCUACGAAAUCUUUAUAUGAAAAAAUUUUUUAAAAUACUACCAAGGUAUUGGAGUAUUUAUAAAAAAUUUUCAAUACAAUAAAAAAAAUUUUUUGCUAUAAAAUAGUAAAUAAAAAUAAAUAAUUUGUUAAAAAUAAGAAAAAAUAAAAUUUUAUCCAAUGAUAUGAUUCUAAAAGUAUUUUGAGAAGUGAUAUUUUACAAAAUCUCUAGGUGAGAAAUUUUUUUUUUAAAAUAUUACAAGUAUAUUAGAAUAUUCAUAGAAAAUCUUUAAUAUGAUAAAAUUUAUUCUUUUCUUCAAAAAUUGAAAUAAAAAAAUUAAUAAAAUUUUUAAAAAAAGAAUAAAAUGUGUGCAUCAACUUAUUAUCAUUUGCAUUGCAUACACAAUAUAGUUUUUCGCAAAAAGUAAAUCCAAGCUUUUAAUAAUGAGAUUCUAAAAUAUUAUAAGAAGUGAUGCCUAAAAAAUCUCAAUGUAAGAAAGAGUUUUUUUAAUGUUAUUAAUGUACCAAAAUAUUUGAAGAAUUAUUUUAAUAAAAAUAUUCAAAUUUAUUUUUUUUCGAAUAAAACAAAACAACAAUAAUAAUGGUAUUAAAAAAAUAAAAUUUCAAUAAAUAAAGGAAGUUAAUGAAAUUACUUUUUAAACACCAAAAUUAAGAUUAUUUUUGUCAAGAUUAAUAGAAAACAUGUAAUUAAUUAGUAUCAUUUUAAAUAGACGCUAUAAAGGUGCUAAUAAUUUUUCACACAUAACCAACUUUCAUACCUAAACUGUUUCACAAAUCUUAAAAUUAUCUUUUUAAUAAAUUUUAAUUAAUUUUAAUAGAUGACUAAUUACACCUAACAAAAAAAAAUUAGUGAUAAUUUUAUUUUUUUUAUUUUUGUUUCCAAAAUUAUUGGGUGACUCCAAAAUCAUUAUGGUACAUAAUUUAAAAAUAUAAGUUAAUCCCACAUUAAAAUGUGGGUCUAAUUCUAAUAUAUAUUAAUAGUAACUAAUUCCUUUCCCAUUGACAAAGACUCCCACUGGUAAACAACAAAUUAGACUAAACAAACCCAAAUUUAUGUAAUUAAUUUAGUGAAAUAAUUUAUACAAUGGAGAAUGUGAAACAAGGAGCUGUUGAAUGCGAACCUGAGUUAAAUAUUAGUAUCAUAUUUAAUAUUUUAGAUGAAAAAGUAAUCAUCUAAACAACAAUAACGCAAAAGAAUGAUUUGAUGGAAAAAAGUUGAAGCAACUUUCUUUCUUUCUUCUAGAAUAGAUUUAUUAGAAUUAGAUGGUUUUGGUUACUUUAGAAUAGUCAUUGGCCAGGUGGAGGCCGUGGCCUUUCUGCUCCAGCCGUUGGGUUUUUCUUCAUUCUAGAAAUUAUUUAAAUAAUAUACUCCCUCCCUCACAUAUUAUUAAUCCAUUAAUUUUCAUGUAAUUUAAGAAAAAAAUUUUAAUUUUAAUUUUUUAUAAAUUUCAUGUGCCAUAAAUUUUAAUAUCAAAAAAUUAAAAAACUUAAAAAAUUAUUUUAGAAUAUUAAAAAAAAGAUUUAAGUGUUAAAAAACAUUAUUCCAAGUCAUUCCAAAAAUGAACAAAGAAUGACUAUAUAAUUAAAUUAGUAAGCCUUUUCUUUGCAUAGUGACAAUUUUAGCAUAAUUGAUUGGUUUACGUCAACUUGACUCAGUCAUUUACUUUUAAAUUAGUGAUACAUAAUUUGAACAAAUAGCCACGUGCUUCACAAUUCAGCUAACCAAGCCUUUUCUUUUUCAUAGAGACAAUUUUAGCAUAGUUGAUUGGUUUCAUUGACUCCUACGUCAACUUGACUCAGUCAUUUACUCUUAAAUUAGUGAUAUAUAAUUUGAUCAAAUAGCCACGUGCUUCAUAAUUCAGCUAAUCAAAAUUGGAUGAAACAUGGCAUGAGUUUAGAAAUAUAUUUAUUUAAGGGUAAAACUAUCAUUAGCUGAAGGUUUUUCGAGGCAAUUUAAGUUCAUAAACUUCGAUUAAAUAAAAAUAAAAAUAAAAAUUUGAAAAGAGAAUAUACUAAUAGAAUUUCAUGAUUUGACAAAUAAUAUUAAGAAUAAUUGAUAGUGGUAUCACAAUUAAAAAAAAAUCAUAGAGCACAUUAUUUAAAAAAAUCAAUUCAACAAACUCUAACCAUCCACAAGUUCUUUAUAUAUAUAUAUAUAUAUAUAUAUAUAUAUAUAAAAUUUAAUCUUCAGGUAAUCAUUUUGACCAAAGAGUUUCAAAGUUAAUGGAGCUAUGUGACCUAUGAGCUGAAGGUUGUACGUCCUUGUUCUUUAUUGAAACAAGGUUUUAUUGGAUAACUUUUAGAUAUGUUCUUUUCGAAUUGAUUCUGCUUAAUAAAUAGGUAUAACGAAAUAAAUGAAAAAAACUAUCAAUGAGCUUAAUUUAGUUCGUAUGAAUUAUGUAAUCAUUUUAAAAUGCUGAUAUUUAAUAACUCUAAAUUUCAAAUUUUAAUACUUGUAAAUUUUUUUAUUUUUAAGUUAUGAUAUUUUUUAUAUAAAAACUUAUUAUUGAAUUAAUAAUUUCAUAGUGUUAGAAUCGAUUUUAAGAUAAAAAAUUUUGAGUGCGAAACACAAUGGUAAUUUAAAAAAAAAAAAGAUUUUUUUUAUUAAAUUAAGAUGAAAGAAGUGACGAUUGGGACUUGUGAGUGUAUAUAUAGCAUUGUGCCGAAUUUUAUAUGUGAAACUCACUCACAAGAAUUUUCUCCAUGUCCCAUAAAAUAAGAUCUUGGCUAUUAGUUGUAAGUUGGUGUAAACACCAAAUUUACCUAGGUUCUUUAAAAACUCAUUUUUAAUUUCACUCAGGUUUAAUAUGUUUUUGGGUUGAGGCCCAAUUUUAUUUUUUAGCCUAAGCCUACUUUCUUAUUUUCAUUCUUGCUUUUAUUUUAUUAUUUUUAUAGUUUAUAAUUAAAUAUUAAAUAAAACUUAAUUAAUUAGUAAACAAAAAAGGAAAGAAAAAAAAAUCAAGAGUGACAGUGGGUGCUGUGCAUGGCUAAAUCGUAAAAAAAAAAGGGUUGAGAAAAGCUUUUGGGUGAAUUUUUAGGCUUUUUCAAUCACCGAUAACACGAUCAAAGACUACAAACGGUGAACCAGGAGGUGAUCGACGUGAUGAACAACGGCUAAUUUCUGAAAAUUAGCUGGCUCUUUAGGUUUUUUUUGUUAAGAGGUUUUUAAAGUUUUUUUUUUUUUUUUGGAGAAAGGGGGAGAAAUGAGCUUAAAAAGAGAGUAUUAAUAUAAGUAGAUAAAGAGUCAAAACAAUGUCGUUUUGACAGUCUAAGAUCCGCUCGUUGACCUGAAGACCUGAUUCGAGGUCCGUGCUCCCAACCCUUUAACCCGCUUAACCCCAAGCCUCAAAUUGGUCCAACUGGACUGGUAUUGAACCACCCCUUAAAUCAGUCUAAACUUUACAAAUCGACCUAAAUCAUUGAAUCAAUUGGUUCAAGUAUUUUUUUUAAAAUUUUUUGAAUUUUUUUAUUUUUAUUUUUAUCAUUUUAAGUUUUAUUUUUAUUUUUAUUAUUAUUAUUAUUAUUAUUAUUAUUAUUUAUGCAUGUUUAAAGUUUUAAAUUUUUUAGAAUAAAUAUUUGUUGCUUUUUUAAUAAUAAUAAUAAUAAUAAUAAAUAUAUGAAAAAAAGAAUACAAAUAAAUAAUAUAAAAAUAAAGUUUACAUUCUUAAAAUUUUAAAUACCAUUAAAAACUAAAAUAAACUUUAUAAAGUAGUAAAAUAAAAAAUAACCAAAAAAUAAAUAAAUAUAGUAAAAAAUGAUAAAAAGGAAAUUUUUAUCCGAUGCCAAAAUUCUUAGGUAUUCUUAAUAACAAUUCUUACGAAAUCUCUAAGUGAAAAGAUUUUUUUAAUACUAUUAAUAUAUUGGAGUAUUUAUAAAAAAAUUUUAAUAUAAUAAAAAUUUCUUUUUUUAUUAAUAAAAUAAAAAUUAACUAAAAAGUCUUAAUAAAGAUAAAAAUAACUAAAAUAAGAAUAAAAAUACUAAAAAUGAUGGAAAAGAAAAUUUUAUCAGAUGAUAAGAUUUUAAGUAUUGAAAAUCUCUUUGUGAGAAGAUUUUCUUAAAUAUUAUUAGUAUAUUGAAGUAUUUAUAAAAAAUUUUCAAUAUGAAAAAAAUUUCUUUUUUUUUCAAAAAAUAAUAAUAAAAUUAAUAAAAAAAAAAACAAAAAAAUUUAAAAAAAUGUGUGCAUCAAUAUAUCAUCAUUUGCAUUACAUACAUGAUAUAAUUUUUAUGAAAAAUAAAUACAAACCUCUGAGGAUGAGAUUCUAAGGUAUUCCGAGAAGCGAUAAUUAAAAAAUCUUUAAAUAAUAAAAAAAUUUUUUAAUGUUACCGACAUACUGAAACAUUUUAUGAAUUAUUUCAAUAAAAUAAUUUCAAUUUAUUUUUCUUGAAUAAAAUAGAAUAACAAUGAAAAAAAUAAUAAAAUAAAAACUAAAACUUAAAUAAAUAAAAGAAGUCAAAAAAAUUAUUUUUAAAUAUAAAAAAUAAUAUCUUUUUUGUCAAGAUUAAAAGAUAACACAUAAUUAAUUAGUAUCGUUUUAAAUGGGCGCUAUGGGAGACUAAUCAUUCCUACAUAUAAUUCACUCCCGAAUAAAAACUGUUUUACAUACCUUAAAAUUAUUUUUUUAAUAAAUUUUAAUUAAUUUUAAAAUUUUAUUAAAAUUAUAUAUUUUAAUAGAUGACUAAUCACACUUAAUAAAAAAAUUAGUAGUGACUUUUUUUUUUGUUUUCCAAAUUCAUCGAACAAUUUCAAAUCGUUACAAUAGUAGAAAUAACAACAGAGUGGAUAUAUGCUAUUUUUGGAAUAUUUGUGUCUAAAUCUAUUUAAUAUUUAUAAUAUCCAAAUUUGUUUAAAUGUUUGUUUAAGUGUAAUAUUAUUAUCCAAAUCUAAAUUCGUUUAAAUAUCUUAAUCAAUCAGAAUAUUUAUUUAUUUAAAUUUUUGUAAAAAUAUAAAAUAAAUAAAAUUUUAAUUUAAAAUUCAAGUUUACUAUUAAUUAAUAAUAAAUAAAAAUUACAUUUUUAAUAUUUGAAAACUUUUAUAACUAUGAAAUUUUAUAUAAUUUACAUAUAUAAAUAUGUAUAGGAUUAAAUAUGAAUUUAAAUAUCUAUUAUUAUUAACUAAAAAUUAAACAAUUUUAAAUAUAAGAUAUUUAAAGAAUAUUAUUCGUAUUCAUUUUAAAUCUAUCAUAAGUAAUAAAAUUUUUAUUUAAAUUUAUUAAUUAUCUAUUUAUAAUUAUCUAAAUCUAAUCCAAAUAAAUUAAAUAAUAAUAAAUAUCUGCUUAUUUAUUAUCCAUCGCAAUCCCUAGCUGUAAAGCUGAUCAAGGAAUUCAAAGGCUUUACGAAUUGGCGAAAGAGUCUCCACCAAAAAACUAUAUUAGCUAGGGCCCUUCCUUGUCUACCACAUAUUUGUAGGAUGCGGACGUUAGGCUACGCGGUUUAGCCUCGGCCUUUUGCUUGACUCUGUCAGUCAACACAUACGCCAAGCCUUUUGCUUUCUCCCUUGUUCAUGGCCUGUUCCCAAGAAUAUCGCCAUUAAAUCCAAGUAAAGCUCCACUUUUUUUUUUUUUUGCAUACUUUUAGAAAGAACCUUUUUUUUUUUUUUUGGCUUUUGGGGCCAAAUAAAUGGAAAGUGGAAUCUCCGAUAUAUACAUGAUUCAUUUCUUGUUUAGACUGUAUCUUGAAAAAUGAAGGUUUUCCUUUUACUUUAGAGAUAUAAAAUUAAAUUGUUUUGGGUCAUGCGCAUUAUAAUUUAAUAAUUUAAAUUAAACAUUUAUCUUUAUUUUGUUCAACAUCAUAAACUCAUAUAGUAGACCCUAAGAUGAAAAACGUGUUUUAAAUGAAUAUAUGAUUAAAUUACUGCUUAUUCAAAAGAAGAAAAAAGAAUUGUAUUAAGGCUUCAUUUGACAUUGCUCUUAAAGCAAUAAUAAAAUUUCUUGCAACGUUAAAUACAAGGGCAAAACCAAGAAAAUUAUGAAAGAAGGUCGAAAUAGUUAAUUAAAUUAGAAAAAGAAGCCGAGUUUUAUAUUAAAGGUACCAAGCCACUAGAAUAGCCCUUAGUUAAAUAGGAUAAGAUUUGUGAUAAAAAUUUCAAUUAUAAGAUGAAUUUGUUUUCACCGACUAAAGUAAGUAUUUCUGUCUCUUUUUUUUUAAUACAUUUAUCACAAAUUUUACUUUUAAAUGCAACUUUUGAUCACAAUCUUAAUGCCAAACUAAAUCCAAUCAAAUUUUCUCAUUUUUUUUUCCAAACAUAUAUAUAGUUGUUUUCUUCAUAAUAUGAAGGCAUAAAAUUGUUUUCUCAAUAAGCAUAAAGUCCUACUAUUAUUAUUAUUAUUAUUAUUAUUCUUUCAUAAUGUAUACAGUAAAGAAAUAGUCAUUUCCCAUCUCUUUAUUGUCAACGCAAGUUUUAUGUUUUGGAGGGAGAUUUUAACUCUUCCCUGAGUUCGAAAAUACAUCAACCGACUUUUUUCAUCUUUUUAUAGUAAUUAUAGGUUGAAAUUUGAAAUUUUUUUAGAAUUAGUAUUUGAUAUAUUAUUAGUGAAAUUUUUAAUUUGACAAGUAAAUUAAAAUAUUGAAAAAUAUUUAAUUUAUAUUUUAUUUUUUAAAAUAAUUUUAAAAGAUACAUGUCACCUUUUAAUCUUAUUUUUUAAAUUUAAAAAUUUUAUUAUUAAUGUAUGUGAUAAUUUCUAUUUUUUUUAUCAUUUAAAAGUUUUAGAAUGAAAACGACACAUGGGUGAUAAACACAGAAAGAUACAGUGGAGUUGCCCUUUUCUAUUUCCAAGAGCUGCCUUGUCAAUUUAUCCAUUCAUCACUUUGUUAAUUUGACAGUGACCCUACAUAUGAAAAAUGACUAUGAUGCUGAUGAUAUUUGAAGGGUGUCACCUGAGUCACUAAUACACAACAAACAAUAAAUACAUUUCUUUAAUAAAAAAAAUUAUUGAGCAUUAACCCAAAAAAGAAAAACAAGUUAAAAUUUUUUCAUAAGGACAGGUUUCAACAAAAAUAGAAGAUGUAACUUGAAUACUUACUGUUGAAGUUGCUGCUGGUGUAUUCUCCUUAGCUUCCUGAUUAGUCCCUAAUAAAACAUCAUUACAUGCAACGUUUAAUCAAUAUCACAAAAAACACUAAUUAAGGGUAAUUUAAACUUGCAACAAUAAAUACAAUUCUUUAAUUUGUUAAAUGCCAGCAGGUUAUGCAUUUUCUGACUACAGGUUGUUGAUAAACUACUCACAAUGAUUUUAGCAUCAACAUCAUCUUACACAAAAAAACAAGAAAUGAAAUCAAGAAGGCAAGAAGUGAAGAAGCUCAAAUAAAGCCCUAAGACACUUGCAUAAAACAAAGGCAAGCAUUGAGUCUUUUAGGGGCUUUCAAUAAAACAAACACAGUAAAUAAUAAUCCUAUGUGACUUUUUGUCAAAUUAAUGUUUCCGUCCAAAUUGAUGUUUAUCUCAAACAAUAUAUUCACUAUUCUUUUUCUAUAUUUCAUUUAUGCUUUUUAAUAAAAUUUUAAAUUUUUAACAAUUUUAUUUAAAAUUUUAAGAAUAAUAUUAAAAGAAGACAUUAAAAUAAGAAUGACAAGUGAGAGUGACCCUUGAUGGCCAAAAACAAAAAAAAAAAUAGAAAACGAGAGCGACCCUUCCCUUCUUGACUUCCGUCAUAUAAACAGAGGUUCGUUUUCAGAGUUUAGUCAUUAUUCAGACACGAUGGAGCCGCGAAGAAGGCUGUCGCCUUCUCACAUUGAUGUAACUAUCAAAUUUGUAGCUUUAUUCAGUCAUCAAGUCUUCCUACGACUUUGUCACUGCAGCUUUGUAUGUAAGAAUAGUCCAUAACGUUGACUUUUUUUAUUUAGUAUUACUUUUGUUUGUUCGAAAUUUUUAAAAAUAAAAGAUAAAUUUAGUUAAAAAUGUAAAGUACAUACUAAUUCGAGUAGGCACUUAAACCUAAAAAUAUAUAAUAUUAAUGUCUAAUAAGAUUAAAAAUUUAUACAUAGAUAAUACUUGAAUUUGAUUGCAAUAAUAGGUUCAAAACUUUUUUGAAAGUGUUCAUUUAUAAUAUAUAUAUAUAUAUAUAUAAUUAUAAAAAAUUUAUUAAUUUUGUUGAUAGGAAGAAUGUCAAAAGGAAAUUUUAGAGUAUUUAAAAAAUUCUUUAAAAAUAUUUUUUUAAACCUUUUAGGAUUAUCCUUAAAUACCCUAAUCCGAAAAAUGUAUUUGCCACUACUUGAUUGUCAAUGCUAGAUAAAAUUUAACUUGCUUUUUUUUUUUAUUUUGAAACCUUGACUUGCUUAUUUAGUUAGAUAAUGAAACUCAAAGAUAAAAUAAAUUUAAAAGUUUUUAUUUAUUUAUUUACAAAAAUUAAAAUAAUAUUUAUGCAUGAAAAAGUUAUAUUCACAAAAAUAUAUAUACAUAUCUAUACAUAAUUAAUUCAGGAAACCAUGCAGUAAAAUUUUAAAAAUAAUUAAUAUAAUUAUUUUUUCCUAAAAAAUAAUCCAUAUUAGUUAAGUGGUUGAAGGAAUCCAAACUCGCAUUUAGCAUUUUGAUCCUUUCUCCUGUUUUUUAAUAGAAAAAAAAUGUACUCUUCUACGAAACUUUUCCCUUUUACCAUUUUAGGGGGUCAACUUUUGCAGUCUAAAACGAAUGAAGCAACAGGAUCCGAGAUGGAGAUGGGAGCAUCAGCAGCAGCACAAUGACAAGUCAAAACAUUGACUAAGCUUUCAAUCUUAAAUGCACUGUUAAAAGUUUGGCAUUUGACCCCUUCCACGAUGUUUUUUUUUUUUGGACUUUUUUAGACACAAAAUAAGCUUCAAUGCAACACGAUAAUUAAAAAAUUUUAAAUUUAAAUUUAUUAUAUAUCAUAUUUUUAAAAUGAUUAUACGAAUCAUUUAAAUUUUGCAUUCAAUUAUUUCUACUACUUUAAACCACUCAAUCAAUUAAAAACCAUUUGCAUGAAACAAAAAUUAUAGGAGUAAUUAAUGAACUAUUGCUUAAUCAUUGGCUUAUAGUUGUAGAAAAAAGUUAGUUUGAGUAAUUAUAAAAAGAGCAAACAUCCUAUACGUGCUUGAUAGAAAGAUUGACCAUGUUUCCUUAUGUUUUUUAAAGGGAAAAAAGGAAAACUGAAAGUCUUUUCUCUUUUCCCAACAUCGUUCUUCACUGAUCCCCUUAUAUGACUCAAAAUAUUGGGUUAAUUGAAGGGAGAAAACAGAGAAUAAAACAGAGAUGACAACAUCAAAAGAAUUAACAAUUUUAUCAUACAACAGAUAGGAGACAUCAACCAAAACCUCUAUCACACUUUCACUAUCAGAAAUCUAGCUCUUCUCAUUCCUCCACCAACCCUUGUUGUUUUCCCACUACAAUAUAUGAUAAAAUUCAAAACUGAAAAAAAAAAAAAAAGGGCAACAAGUCUCUCUCACAUGGACACUAUUGUCUGUUUAGAUUUUACAUUUCCUCCACGAUAUGAGACGUAGAGAUUAGAGCUCUUACAUGAUGGAGCAAGGGUCAUGAUGCUGGGCAUAUCCAUAUGAUGGCACCCCUUGAUACAUAUAUAAAGGUUGAUUAUAUGGCCACACAUACUCCGCUGGCUUUACCUCAUCUUUCUUCUCAUCCUUCUUUUCACCACCCACGGCACUCACGCUUACCAGCUCUGUAU
Molecule: long non-coding RNA, 105210 nt
Filed under: Durio zibethinus
Lineage: Eukaryota; Viridiplantae; Streptophyta; Magnoliopsida; Malvales; Malvaceae
Description: long non-coding RNA (DZIB_LNC000541)
Source: RNAcentral